ACUGCAUCAGCGGCCGGGGUGAGUAACUGGAGGAUCUCGUUGAGGGAAUCGAGGCGGUGGCCGAGCUCGCCUACCUGAGCCCUGAGUACCGAAUUGUCUGCGUCGAGGGACAGGAAAUGCUGGGUGGUGACGCUGAUGCUGGCGACGAUCUGGCCGUUCUCUUUCCUGAGCUGAUCAACCUGGGCCGUCAGAUCGUCGAGGUGUUUCUGCUUUCUCAUCCUCGACCUCCUCGCCGACUCCCUGUUCGACACCAUCCUCUUCCUCUUCCUCUCGUCCAUCAAAGCCUGGAGGUCCGAGUCCGACCCGGCUGAGUUGUUGCUCACCGGCGACGACGUCGCCGACGAUGUGCCGCUCGAAGACGUCAUUACAGAUUUUUUUUCGAAACCGAACAAAUUUAAAAAAGAGAAGCUAAUUAAUUAAAUAAAAAGUUGAUUACUUUAUAAGGGGAUGGCAAAAGGGAAAUUAAAGGUCGUUAUGAAACAUAGUAGAGGAAGUAAAGGAAGACGACUGAGAAAGAUUGAACGAGAUGAGUCCUUCGCCGGAAAGUGGAAUUUAUCAUACAACGGAGAAGGAACAGUUCACUAAGAAUUGAAGACAUGAAUCUCUAGACUAUGCAUCAAGCUUAGCCGUCCUUUUCAACUCCUUUUUUUUUUCUCACAAUGAAACCCACAGUCAAGAUUCCGUCGAUCGGAGAAAUCGAAACGGAGGAUCUGAAAAACAGAGCAAGGGGAAAGUGAACCCAAAUCGUAGAAAUUGGCUUAAGAAAUGAAGAGGGUUGGUGAUUUAAGAAACGGAGAUGGGAGAAAUCGAAACAGAGAGGGGUGAAAACAGAGGGAAGGGAAGGGGGAGGGGAAGAAGAGGGGGAGAAAUGAAGAGGGGUUGAGGGGUGAAUUUAUAGAAGGGGGAGAUUGCUGGACUGGUUUAAAGAAUUAUUAUGAAGGGAGGAGGAAAAAAUCUGGAAAAGGAAUUGAGAAAGUAAAGUGGUGGGGAGAGAGAAAGGUGAUGGAGACAUGUGGGGUGGUGAAGAAGGAGAGAGAAGAAGAGUCCAGAGAAUACAGCUGGGAACCAACAGUAGAGGGAGGAGGAGGAGGAGGAGGAGGAGGAAGAAGGAAUUGUUUUUUUUUUUUGCAUUGCAUCGCAUCAUUUUGUUUGAUUGUUUUUGUUGUUGUUGGUGGUGGUGGUGGUGGGGGAAGGGUCUUUUGAUGUUGGUGUUGUUGUGUUGUGUGAUGAUUUGCUCACUCAAAAUCUGGUGUUGGUUGUAUUUGGAUGCAAUCAUGGUGGUAUUAUAUGGCUUUUGUUGUUCAUGAUCAUGGGUGAAAGGUACAAGUUGGGGGAUUCUGUUUGUGGUUGAUGGGUUCUUUCAAGAAGGAUGAUCGAGUAGUGUGACUCAUAUGUGUUGUUUUUCGUGUAGUGUAUUAAUAGUUGCUUGUUAAGUUCUAAACUAGCUUUUAUAAUUAGUUGAGCAUAGCAUUGAAACUGAUGGAUAAUUUCAAUAAAGACGAUAGAGUAGUAUGAAUCCUAUGUAUUGUGUUCCGUUCUGAUGUCUCGGUAGUAGUUUGUUAGGUUGUUACUGGUUUUCUAAACUACGUUUGUAAUUCAUCGUCUUGGUCGAGCAUCAUUGCUGUAAUUCGAUUCCUAACAUUGUUAUACAUGGCAUAAUAACCGGCUAAUUCUAGAAGAGAAUCUACAAUUUAACAGCAAGUUGUAUAUUUAUUUACCACAUAUAAUAAAUCUACAAAAGGUACAUAAUCUUGUUUGUUAAUGAAAAAAAUAAAAUCACACAUCGCACUCCUGAAUAUUUUAUAAAUUUUGCACAUCCCCAAAUGUUGCCUAAAAGUUACCAAUGGAAUCAGAAAUUAAUGAACCGAAACAAAUAAAAAUAAUAAUUACAACAGCCAGAAAUGGAGACCCAAUUUGAGCCUGUUGGGCCACCGUGGUCAUCAGUUUAUUGGUUUAUAACUAUCUAGUCAUCAACAUUUAAAAAGUAAUAUACAUACCGCUAACCUAUUUCAAUUAUAAUACGUAAUUAAUCUCGUUAAUGCUCCAUCCGGAAAUUUUGCUAAUCCGACUGACCACCAUGCACUUCACUCUUUGCUAUGCAAACUGUUGUAUCUUUUAGAUCCAAUCUAUUCAAUUUGUUUGAGUUGGAUGAUUUUCAGUGAAUUGAGUUAAAUAUUUAAAUUAGAUUUUAAGUAUGUUCAUAUGUGUUAAGUUAGAUUGUUUGAAUGGAUCGAAUCUAUGAUGAAAUGCGUGAUAUGGUCGUUUUUUAAAUUAUAAAUUAGUGUGGUGAUUUGUCAAUUAAAAACAAUCGGUUAAUUAUAAUAGGUUUCAAUUGUUUGGUGACUACAAUGCAUAUUAUGAAUUUAUGAUUUUCUUGGGGAAAAAAGGUCCACCGACGAUGUACUGACAACACUGAGUUGCUUAGAAUCUUGGAAAUCUAGGGAUGUAGGUCUGUCAUUAUUUUAAUUUUCAUUCAAAUUUAUUUAUUUAUUUUUGGUAUAUAAGCUUCGAGCUGUUGAUGAAACGAAUCGAGCUGAGCAUUUUCCAAUUCGUUCGUUUGAAAUAGCAGUACGGGUUCGGCUAAUUCGUUUGAAAUAGCAGUUCGGGUUCGGCUAAUUUAUUAUCAAGCCGGUUUGCGAGCUAACUCAUUAAAAUCAAAUUGAAUUUCGAUCAAUUUUUUUUCAAAUCGAACGUCAAAUUGCUCGCGAACGACUUGAUUGGUCAACAACUCUAUUAAUGACCUCAUGGAAGUUCAAUGUUUUUCUUAUUACAAAAGGGUCCUCUUUAUUCUUCAUUUGUCUAUGAGAAGUCCCAUUGAUUAGUCCAUGGCCCAUGUUUUGGUACCUUUGGGCGGUUUGGGGGUCACCCCCCACUAUUUGAUGUCUUGUUUGUUAGUCGUACAACCUAACCAUUAUAGUGGUCUACAUUCGAAACUUGAAAUCGAUAGGAUAUUGCUAAUUGUAUAUAUUGUCAUAUUGAUAUGAGUUAUUAGAUCGAAUCAUACCAUCCACAAUUUUUUUACUUACCACUAACCACAAUUUCUAUAAAAUGAGUGUUGUAAACCGAACCUGACUCAAACCUGAUUUAGUCCUUCAAAUAAGUUUUUUCAGUGCCAUAUCUUAUAGAUUUCUCCUACCUUCAAAAUUUAAACUUCAGACUAGAUAAUUUUGACAAAUUAAACAAAACUAAUCAUUAAUAAAAAAAAUUUAGACCAUUUGGUUUAAUUUCAUCACAUAAUUAUUUUCGAAAAAAAUAAUGUUACAACAUCCGGACCAUGAUUAUCAUAUACCAAACCGAAAUUUGUUUCAUCAACGAUAAUAUUACAAAAUCCUAUCCAUGAUAAUGUUUUUCUNNNNNNNNNNNNNNNNNNNNNNNNNNNNNNNNNNNNNNNNNNNNNNNUAAAAUAAUAUUUAAUUUCCUGCACAUCGGGUUUGUUUAAACAAUAAUAGUAUCUUAUACUGAUUCGAAAUUCAUCACCGGUAAAUCCAAUUUAUCAAUUUAACAUGUUUCAUGUACAUAGGAUUUGCAUUCAAAGCAUCUAGCUAUUCAAUUGCCAACAUUUUCCACAAAAAUGUGCGGGGUCCUAUUUCUAAUCCACGAUCCCUUCAUCCCUUGCCCCUUGCCUUUAAGAUUUGAUUCCAAGGCUAAUUAACAGUUGGGUUUAUAAAGAAACAAAAUGAAAGGUGGAUACUUUCUUUUAUUAUUUAAUUAGUGAUCUAUGAUUUUUAAAAAAGGUUAAUUAGUGANNNNNNNNNNNNNNNNNNNNNNNNNNNNNNNNNNNNNNNNNNNNNNNNNNNNNCCAUAAAAUGGACAAAAGCCAUCAUUAGGGAGGCACUUAACAUUGAUAUUUGCAAGACCAUGGUAAUCAAGAGUUCAAUGAAUUAUGGUGCACCUUUAGGCAUGGACCAUCCACAAUAUGGCACUUGUCUUUAUGGAAUCAUGGGAUUUUGUUUUUGUUACAAAAUAAUUAAUAUUUUUUAUUAAAAUGACAAAAAGAUGAAGUAACGAAUCACAAACACAAUACCACAUAUUUUACGUAAUUAUUAAUGAUUAUAAGUUGAUAUUCGAUUGAACCAAAUACAUAAAUAUUGUCUAGCCGUCUUCCAUUACUAUUUAGUAUUUACUAGUAAUUGUAUUUUUCCUUAAACUAUUUUACUAUAUACAAGAUUUAUGACAUUCUCAAGGAAGAUAAUGAGAGAAUUUAUUUGCACUUAUCUUUGUUUUAUUAUAUUUUACAGAAUAAAAUAUCCAUGGAAAAUAAUAAUAGUCGAGCUGGACUUUAAAUUUGAAAUUUUGUCUACNNNNNNNNNNNNNNNNNNNNNNNNNNNNNNNNNNNNNNNNNNNNUCGAAAUGGUCAGAAAUCCUCGAUAAAAUUACAAAUAUGAGCCGAGUUUAAAAAUACUUUGGCGCAAGAUUUGAGAACUCGUCAUAUAUAUAAAUUUCAAUCUUAUUUGNNNNNNNNNNNNNNNNNNNNNNNNNNNNNNNNNNNNNNNNNNNNNNNNNNNNNNNNNNNNNNUUGAUGGAUUUCGAGUUUCAUCAGAACUUUGCUUGAUUAUAAGUAAGGAUACGCUAUAUUCUACCUUGGAAAUUUUUAUAAUAAAUUUACCAUAGUGGUUUCUUCAUUUUCGUUAUAAUAAAAAUAUAAUCAAGCAUUUUUUUAUAUAUGAAAGUAGUCGACAUCUUAAUUUGAAAAGCACGUGUAUGAACGAUGUAAACACCUUAUCUAGCUAGUCAUUUUUGCGACUUUAAUGAAAAAGAUAUUGCAUUGUCGUACAUCAUCGACUACUAACAUAAUUUUCGAAAACUCACCCUCAUAUUGUACAUCGAAUGAUCUUAAGUAUACAUUUGAGAUUCUGUAAUAAGGGAGACCGAACUUGACAAACACCUCCAUAGUUAAAAAAAUUCAAAGAGAACUUUGACUCCAUUUUGGCUACUCCUUUUCUGGUGCAUCCAACUUUUAAUGAUGGCUAAUAGGGUACGAUGAAUUCCAAAAAAAUGUGCUUAAAUCCCAUUUGUUUGAACCCAUUUUGCCUUCACGGCGAAGUAAUUAAAGUGCAUGAUAACAUGGUGGGCACACUAUACACAAGAUUGAGAGGAAAGGAAAAUAUUAAAGGAUGGUAUCGAAAUUCGUUAGCUAAUCGUUUCUUUGACCUAUUGGUUAGGUUAAUAUCAGCCGUUAGUCAAAACACAAUUAUCGGAUCUACUCGACUCCCUUGUAUUUUUAUAGAUUUUUCCAAUUUUUUUUUUUAAAUUGAAUCGAUCAGUUAAUCAAUUUAUAUUCUCGUCAGUUGGAUGGUCGAAGGUUAACAAAUUAUCCAAAUUUAGUUAUUAUCAACCUACCUACCGACUCCAUGAAUCUUUUGUACUUAUUUUCUUUAUUCGUUCUUCUAAAUUUGUAGGGACACAAGAGAUUUGAAUCGACAUUUUUACCACUCCUUUUUAUUUCUGAGUAACUUUUGAUUGUGCAAUUGUUGCCGAUGUUAUGAAAAAAAAUGUACUUUUUUCACAAAGGAUUUUGCUUUAGUGGUGGGUGUGGGGUUUGGAGGCAAAUGUGUGGUUGGGAUUUCUCAUUAUUUUACAGUUACCAUUGAUGUUAAAGUCAAUAAUUUGGUAAAAACAAAGCCCUCUCGUAUCACCUCAAUUUGAUUACACCAAAGCCACCACUUGUAUCCAUAUCUUGAAUUGAGAGUGAUUAGUCGAUGAUAAAGCUGGUCGAACGAAAUUGUGUUGGUUUAAUCAUGUUGUAUAUGAAUUGAUUGAUGGAGAUAUUAUUAUUUGACGCAACAAAUCUGAGCAACAGAAUACGCGUUGUGUUGUUGGUGGGUUGUUGUGGCUGAGAUCCUUACUUUUUGGUGGCGUGCCUGUGUUUGCAUGUGCAAGUGAUCCGAUGUGUCGCCAACGAAGCCACCCAUAAACUGACGAGAUAAGUUGUGUGGAGGCGAACCUCGCGAUUUGAAUUGAUAGUUGUUUUUGGUCAUAGGUAGCUCAAGGAGAGGAGGAACGAGGUGAAGAUCUUUGUAGUUCGUUAGUCUGCAUUUUCUUUCCUUAACACUUUGAUUUCUGCAUUGAUUGAUUCGAUGUGUAUCGCCCUCUUUUCAGGACUUGAGAGAAAGAAUAGAUGUUGUGUCUGAGCCCGUUGUUGAAUCGGGUAAGCUAAUAAUGUUUGUGCAGUUCUUUUCUUCUUCAUGUCUUAUUGGUUUUAUUCUCAGAAGAACAUCUGAACUGAUUCUUGUGAUAUAAAAAAGUAGGCACAGAGGAGAAUCCUCAGAAUGAUAACGUCUUCCUAGAUGAUGUUGAGUCUCUUGUUCCACCAGAGAGCAGUUUUGUCGCUCCUUCAGAAACCAGACAUGAAAGUGAGGGCACAAUGCCUGCAGCAGAAGAGGCAUAUGUUUAUGAUCUAUCGUCCUUGGGCUUCGACGAUUUUGUUCCUUCAGCUACUGCUGCCUCUGAGCUCCCAAUGAACUCAGAACAGACGGGUUAUGAGCAAACAUGUGUUUUGAACGAGGCAGGCAAAAAUUCAAGGGAGGAUGCUCCUGAAGUGGUGAAAAAGGUAAUGUCGUUUGAAAUGUAAGUAAGAUGCUAUACGACGCAUUUGUUACUAUGGUUGUAACCUGUUUCUCUCUCUCUCUCUCUUAUCAGAAUCGAGACAACAAUGAAAAGACUUCUUCAUUAGGCAGUGACGGGAGUGGCGGCAAGCUCUCAAUGCAGUUGAGGAAGCGAUCAGGUGGUCGUCAAGUUCUUAACGAGUCUGAGCCUGUGAGUGGUCAUGAUGAUAGCAGCUUCCUUGUUGAGUACCUGAAGGCCUCGGUACGAAUGGAGAUGAGGAUUAUGAAUAUCGGAUCGAGGAUUCUGAGGAUGAUGGAAAUGUUGAUGCUGGCGGGGAAAGAACUUCCAAGAAAAAGAAAGCUGCUAAAAGGUCAAAGAAAUCAGCUUCGGGUGAAGAGAAGCCUGGUCGAAAGCGCAAGAAAGCCAGUGACACAUCAGAACAGUUGGAGCAGAAGCAGCCAAAGAAGAAACUUUCCCAUUCAACUCGCCGAAGGAAAAGAUAUCGCAAGUUCGAUACUCUCUAUUAAAUAUGUGUCACUGUUUCGAUUCUUGACAAUGAUUUGAUCUUUUUAUACAGGAAAUGACGAGUUGCUUAAGGUGCCCGAAGAUGAAAUAGAAUUCCGGAGCUUGACCAUGCGGGAUAUAAUUGUUCUUGCUGAACACAAAGAACGGUUAGCUGUGAGUUUAUCGGUUGCACUAAAUCAUUGCUUAAGUUACUGCUACCAGGAUUGAUCUCGUUAAUGCUAAUUGUUUGCAAAACGUCUUUUGCAGGCUAAAGAUGCCAAAGCUUCUUUGCAAAUUCCUUCGACUGAUGAAAAGUAAGAAGUCAUUUGUGAUUAGUGGAAGGCUUUCUCUGAACCGUUUAUCUUGUUAAAUUAAUCGUGCUCACCUCAGAACCAUUUGUCUCAUCUUGUUUAAAUGUAUUACCCUGUGCAGCACCGAGGAAGCCAACGAUGAAGAGGAUAACUCUGAGUCCGAGGAACCUGUAGACGUAUACGAAACCCCUUUAUUCAACAGCCAUUCUUUCAUGAAUAGGACGCCCACCAUGAGAUGGUCAAAACCGGAUACUGAUUUAUUUUAUGAGGUAUAAACAUCUCUCUACAAUAAAUCGGUCGCAGAAAUUAUCUUCUGCUUUCUUAAUGCUUUCGAAGCUUCAAUAUUGCUGAUUGGUGGAAUCAAACCCUUGUAUGCGUGAUACAUUGAACUUAAUUAUGGUACAUUAUGCUUGUUCUGGGCUUUCAGGGAAUUCGACAGUUCGGAUCCGCCGACAAAUCAAGAAUAAAUUCAAAACUGAAGAGCGCCGACAUCCAUUCUUACUUUCUGACGCUCUGCAAAACCCCAACGGUGGUAAUGUUCUUUACCAUCACUGUGAAAGCCUUUUCCACGUCAAAUUGCUAGUUGAAUAAUAUAGCAGCAUCCUUGUCUUUUGCAGAUACUACGUAUUUUGAUAAGGUGUAUAAUAAGCUGGCGCAAGCUGCAGCUGAUGAAGGAAGAGAGCCUCUCGAUCUUACCGGAGAAAAAGAAGCAGAUUUGAAUCUGGAAACUAAUGUAUGCUUGCAGCCCGCUUCGAUUCCAAUCAGAAACUAAUUUGCUUCCUUUAUUCUAAUCCAUGUGUAAACGCCUGUAUGGUUGCAGGAGGAACCAGGAAAAAACUCGGAGCAGGACGAGCAGGCAACGGGUCAGGAUCCUGGAGAUAACCCUGAUGAAGCCCAUAGUAAUGAGAAGAUCGAGGACGAGGACGAGGAUGAUUUAUUCAGCUCGUAUAAAUGUGAAUUCUGAAGCAACAAGCUAAACAUAUUGUAGCUGUAUUAUUAUCGAGUCCAACGAUGAAACUAGAUAGCUUGAAACAGUGGUUAGUGAAUGAAAUAGAUAUUAGGUUCCUUCUCUGAUUACUUGCCUCUAUUUGUGCUUUAACACCCUACUUUUAUUUCAGGGUUAACAAAUGGUCCUUCGGGAAAGAUCAACAAUGAUUAUCGAAGAACGAGAGAACGAGAGAACGAGUUUGAAUGGAGCGAUCAUCGAAUUAGAUUUGAGUAUUCAACCUUGGUGUAAAACAUCCAGCUAACAAUCUCAUGUAUCACCAGAUUAGAAGGGGCUAUUAUUGUUCUAUUUGCAUCUCGAAAUCUGGAAGAAAAACGUACAUUUCAAGAAUCUACAAAAACAUUUUGAAUGGUAGUCCUUCCGUUGCUACCUCGAUAGACCGUAAAGAUGCAAAAAUUUGAGCACGAAAACGAAGACCGAAUGGGGGCAUCUUCAAUAUCAACCAUUAAUUGAUGGGUUUACUUGCCUGUCAAGUAACAAACUAGCAACCUUACACAAUCUUGUACAAUGCAGUCUUUCCAUUGCAAAACAUUCAAAACUCUUGUCCAGUUUUCCGGAACAACUCUGGGUCACGUGAUUUUCUGGAGAACGAUGCACCAAUUCGAUUUGUCGAAGAACUGAUCGACUAUGACUGCAUUCUUGAUUCCAGAUGUCAACCUGAAACAACAUAAGGUGAGAACAAAACCUUAUAGCUGAAACGAAUGCAGAAGGCAAAAGCGGUUGAUGAAACCCGACUUGUUACCUUUCGAGCUCUCCUUCGCUAAAGACGUGAUAGUACCGGUUGUAGAUGACUGCACCCUUCUUGUCAUCUUUCCUCGCCAAGCCGGAGGCCACAGCAGAGGCAGAAGCGCCCCCAACUUCAGCUCGAUGAUACGGCAGAUGCCAAGGCACGAAAUACUCGUGCUGACUUCCAUCCUCUCUCGAAACCACUGCAUCACCAGAUUCCGGGAUGCUUUUCAAUGCAACAGACGAAGGGGGACUCCGCCUCUCAUCGUGCAGUAUUUCCUUCCCUUCUGCGGAUUCUGGGAUGCUUUUCAAAGUCACGGACGAAGGGCUCCGGACACGAGGACUCCCCGGUCCAAUCCAUUCCUCGACAUACUUAUCAUUAAGAGGCGUCCACUUCGUAAGCAGCGACCGAUCCUCUUGCUCGGCAGCCCAGACAGUUAUCAACACAAGUCCACCCUUCUUCACAACCCUAACCAACUCCUCCACCGCCUUCUUCCUCCUGACCUCGGUGCUCAAAUGAUGCAGCACCGCAAUCGAAAUCGCAGCAUCGCCAAACCCGUCUCGGUAAGGAAGAUUCACAGCAUCUGCAACCAGAACCUCGCUCCCUCGAUCCGCACAAAUCUUGAUCAGCGGGCUGCUGAUAUCGCACCCGAUGAAAAAGCAAUCCGGAUUCAGCCCUAGAUACUUCCCGUUCCCACAUCCUGCAUCGAGCACGAGCGAUCCUACUGGCAAAUUGUUUAGGAAAGACGCUACCUUUGGCCAUUUAGCGAACCUCGUGGAGCUGAAAUGAGGCGCUAUCGCGUCGUAAACUCGAUGCACAUACUUCUUUUCAAUCUCCGGGGUCGAGCCGAUACAUGAAGCUGCCUGGUGAUCUUCAGCAUUGGAGCAGAAGCUGGCAGCAGAGCCAGUCACCUUGAUUUCCUUCAUCGGUUUUGAGAUCUGAGCAGCUAGUAAACCGUAUGACGAGCUACUUGCCCUAGUGAAUCCUAAUCGCAUCAGCUACCCCCGCCUGAAAUUGUACUCUCCGAUGAAAUGAAAACGAAUAGACCAGCUUUUUUCAGCUUUCUAAACUUAGAAUCGUACGGUUGGAAUCUGAAUACUGCUGAAAUCGAUAACAUGAAGAAAGGAAACUGAAUAGCUUACCGGCUCUGGCAGUUCGGAUCUGCAGCGAUGACGACUGAAUCCCUUAAUCCCUUUCUCCCCUAAUCAGCGGCGAUCUGGGAGGGAGUGGGGUGGGGCGAAAAGGUAGAAUGGAUUGAAAUUAGGGUUUUUGUAAAAUUAAAAAAUUGAUGAUUGGGGGAUAUCUCGGGAACUGGGUGGUAUUAUUAUUGUACAGCUACUGAGCUUAGCCAAUUUUUAAUUAUUAUUUUAUUCGCGGGUGCUAUACGAUCUCUGUAUCCAUACCGUAUACAUACGAGUAUACUUGUGUGAAAUUUGCCAACGUAAUUUGUUUCUCCUUCACACACUCUAUUUUUAUUAAUAUAGUUUGUUUUACUACAUAGUUCCUGAACUUCUCAAAUUUGUCUUUCAUUAUCCAAAUUAUUACGACGUUUUCACUGCCAACUCAUCAUCUCCACAAUUCCCACAAUAUUGCCAUAAUACAUCUUAGUCGAUUACUAAAGUGGCAAUCGAUGUAGAGACAUCAACAAACAAAAGAUAAAUUAGCGACGAAAUGACAUCAUAAUUUAACAAUCUAAUAAAAAAAAUCUACAAACAAAUUAGGCGAUUGAUUUAUUCCGACCUCCGAACAAUAUGUCUUUAUGCCAUUACUUACCAACUAGAUAAGUAAAUGGACCAAAAGCCAAAAAAGAUGAUUGAUUUACAUUCACACUGAAUAAAUAAAUAAAAACCCUAGCUAGGUAGCAUUUGAUUGAUAAUAAAGCUUAAUGAGUUCACUUUUGUUAUGUGGUCAAAUUAAGGGGGACAAUUUGAAUAUCAAAGAUGGCCAGCGAACUAGUAGUCGGUGGAGUGGAAAUAAUGUUAAUUAGUUAAAUUAGAAGCUUCUUUUAAGCAAGUGGCAAAGAUGGAUUCCUCAAUAGGGCACAAAAUUGUUUUUAAUUUUUAUGAGGAUAUAGUAAUUAUUGAUUUAUAGAUAGAAGAUAUAGAAAAGUUAGAUAUGUAUANNNNNNNNNNNNNNNNNNNNNNNNNNNNNNNNNNNNNNNNNNNNNNNNNNNNNNNNNNNNNNNNNNNNNNNNNNNNNNNNNNNNNNNNNNNNNNNNNNNNNNNNNNGUAUGAUCUCAUUUGUGUUGAACGAAUAUUGGCCUGAUUUGACUUGAGUGAAAACUAUAAAUUUAUUAGUCCUUACAACUUGUAAGAUACACGACAAAUAACUUUCUCAAAACGAGUAAUCUUUCAGAUGUUGAUAUGUACAUCACUCAGCAAACAAAUCUAAUUCAAUAUUCAGUACCCACAUUUAACUCUUGACAUAUUAAUCCACCCGAACUUCCAAGAAGAAGAGACAAAACAAUGAAAGAAUUGUUCACAUUUGAAGCUUUUAAUUAUUGAAUUAGAUUUCUUUAGUUUUCUCUAAUAGCAUUCCUUCUAUUUGUUUUCAUUUGUAAGUUUAAAUUAGAAGAAAACAAGUUGUUUAAUUAUUUAAACAAAACAAAAUCUCUUAUUGUUUGGUUGAAAUAGAACAUAAAAGUUUCCACAUGUACAAUCAAUUAAUUAGCUGUAAUUUUGGUGUUAGUGACAGCAAAUUAAUAAACAAUCACUAAGUACCCAACAAUUACACGAACCAAAAUAGGAAAAUGAAAUUCUUCCCAAGUGGCACCACGUCAGCAUUGUACUGAUUUUUUUUUCUAACUUUCUUCUUUGGUGAAGUUAGAACAAAACACAAUUAUCUGUUUGUGAGAGAUUCAUGAUAUCAAAAUACAUAUAUGAAAAUUACAAUGUUGAAUUUAGCGAAAUUGUUUGAAUUUAUUUUUGGCGAUGGGAGUCAAAAUCGUACAAAAUGUUUUUGAAUGUAAUUCGAAAUCUAGUUUUUUUUUAAGGAUUUUAAUUUCAAAAUCAACAUAUAAAAACUAAAAAGACACUAGAACAUAAUAGACUUUCAAACAAGGUAGUGUACACAAUUUUAUAAGAAAGUAAAAGAUUGAAAAUGGUAAAAAUAUUAACCCUAACUCAUCCUUGUGGAUCAAAUUAUCAACGAUACCUUACAACCCAUUAAACAUGUGAUUUUAUAUAUAUGAUAUAACCCAUUUAACCCAAAUAAAACACUCUCAACCCAUUAAAUAUAUAACUUUACGUUACCAACUUAGAACCCGAUCAACCCGACACUCGAAAAUAAUGAACCAGCCAGCCAUACAAUAGUCAACAUUAGCCAGCAGACAUAUCUGUUAAUUUAUUAUUAUUAUUUUAACUACGACCAAAAUUUACCUCGCCACGUGGCACUCUGGUGAAUAAAAAACGUAUGUCGGUGGACCCUACCCGCCACCAAAUUAGGUCUCCUACUAUUAAACCAAAUCUUCCCAACGCUCUCUGUAUUUCCUUCUUCUGCCGUAAUUUAAUUUAUUCAAUCGGCCAGAAGAGAAAUUUGAUGUUUCAGUUCCUCUAAUUUUUAAUUUAUUCCUCCCGAAGAUCAUAAUCUCCAUUUUGUAUCUGUAAAUUUCUGAUUUCCUAUCCUCUUUACCUAAAUUUACGCUGCAAUUUUCGUCUUACCAGAUGCGAUUGUUCUUGAUCGUUCGAUCUUCCUCGUGAUCGGCGCUCCCACCCACACUGAGUUUCUCCUUAUGCAAUCAAUCAUAACCCCAAAUUUCAGAUUCUGAUAAAGUGGUCAAAUUUGAUUUCUCUCUGUUUGGCUGGCUAAGCAUUUUAUUUUUCGAGCUCUGAAAGUGGGGGAGUUGGCGAAGGACACUGUCUCCCACUCGAAUUGUAAAGUUUUCCACUGCUAGGGUUCGUAAGCUUACUGCAUUUGGUCGUUUGAUCUGCUCUCUCGAUCGGUAAUUUUGGUGGUGCGGAGGAAAAACCCCUUUUUCAGACUGUGUGAGUCGUUGAUUUUCGGCGAAAGGAAGGAGCUUUGAAAUGUCUGGUCCGCUCGAUCGGUUCGCUAGGCCUUGUGAGUGCAUUUUUUAAUUGUGAUUUCUGACUUUAUUUAACUUUUUUUUUUCUUGGUUGAGCUAGGGUUUUGAGCUGUUUGUUACAGUGAGUUCAGUUUUUUAGAUCGGAUUUUAGUGCUUUAUAGCAUAAUUAUGAGAAUGCAGGUUCUCUGAAGUGAUUUCUGUUGGAAGAGAAGUGGUAAUUUGUUACUGAAUGUGAUUACUGAUGAUGAAUUGUUGUUAUGUCGCGUAGGUUUUGAGGGUUCAUCAGGGGGAGAUGAAAGGAGGGAGGAGAGGAGGGAGAGGAGAUCUGAUUUUGAGAACUCCGAGGACGAGAGAAGGACGAGGAUUGGGUCGCUGAAGAAGAAGGCAAUUAAUGCUUCUACCAAGUUCAAGCAUUCUCUGAAGAAGAAGAGCAGCACCAGGCGAAAGAGUGAUGGCCGGGUUAGCUCAGUUUCCAUCGAAGACAUACGGGACCUCGAGGAACUGCAGGCUGUCGAUGCAUUUCGCCAGUCGUUGAUCAUGGACGAGUUACUUCCUGAAAGACACGAUGACUACUACAUGAUGUUGAGGUGAACCCCCCUUGAUUAUGUGUUCAGGAUAGAAUGUGAGCUGUUCCUGAACUUGCUAUGAUUAAUUAGGCAUGUUUAUAGUAUACAUAUCGUCCUGUUUUGGGCAUAAUGAUCAAGUCCACUUUCAUUAAUGUAAUCUUCGGUUGCUUGUUUGUGUUACUCUUGCUAACCCUUUUAUGUGUCUCAGGUUCUUGAAAGCUAGGAAAUUCGACCUUGAGAAAGCAAAGCAUAUGUGGGCUGAUAUGCUUCAAUGGAGGAAGGAAUUUGGUACUGAUACUAUCAUGGAGGUAAUUCCGACUUUCAAUGAAUCUGGAGUUGAUAUUAUCAGCUUCCCCUUGUUUAGAACUUCACUUAGUUUCUUUUCUUGUAUCAGGAGUUUGAGUUUCAAGAAUUAGAGGAAGUUUUGAAGUAUUACCCACAUUUCUAUCAUGGCGUGGACAAAGAAGGGAGACCUAUUUACAUUGAAAGAUUGGGGAAAGUUGAUCCUCACAAACUUAUGCAAGUAACAGAUCUCGACCGCUAUGUGAAAUACCAUGUCCGUGAGUUUGAGAAAAGCUUUUUGGUCAAGUUUCCAGCUUGUAGCAUUGCUGCAAGGAAGCAUAUUGACUCUAGCACAACAAUUCUAGAUGUUCAAGGAGUGGUAUGUUGGUUACUUAUUACAAUUUGUUACGCUUAUUUCCAUGAUGUAUUAAAGAACAAUCUCUUCGUUUUGUAUCCCUAGAAAAAAGAAUUCACCUUUUUCAUUUUACUCGCUUACAUUUAGGGAUUAAAAAACUUCACUAAAUCUGCUCGGGAACUUGUCAUGCGGCUGCAGAAGAUUGAUGGUGACAACUACCCCGAGGUAAGAUAAUUUCGCUUGUAUAGCUCUAAACGGUUAUUACUUAUAUAGUUAUAUUUUUAUCCUUUUGUAGAGAAUGCUGACUUGUUUAUACAAUGUGACAUUUGUGUCAAUACUGCAGACUCUACACGAAAUGUACAUUAUCAAUGCUGGGCCUGGAUUUAGGCUUUUGUGGGGUACCAUCAAGACAUUUUUGGAUCCAAGAACCAGCUCCAAGAUUCAUGUAUGAUUGUAAUUAUAAUUGUGUUAUAUUUACUGUAACUAUCCUGCCGAACCAUCCAAUGAACAAAAUUUGUUGUGUGAAUAUGUAGGUGCUUGGAAACAAGUAUCAGAGUAAAUUGCUCGAGGUAAUCGAUGCUAGGUAAGCAUGUUGCACUGGUUUAUAGAAGUGCCGAAUGCUAUUUUACCGGGAUGUUAUGCUAAUUUCUAACUAGUUGCUAACAAUGUGCAGUGAAUUACCCGAAUUCAUGGGUGGUGUCUGUAAGUGUGCUGAUCAGGGAGGUUGUCUUCGCUCUGACAAAGGACCAUGGAGAAAUCCAGAUCUAUUGAAGGUAUGCGGUUUCCAUAAUUUUUUUCCAUGAAAUUUUGUUCUUUUCGGGAAGUAACAAAUCUUACGUUUCUGCAGAUUGUUCUAAGUGGAGGAGCUCGUCGCUCAAGGCAGGUUGUAAAGAUCUUAAACAACGAGGGUAAGGUCAUUACCUAUGCAAAGCCUCCUUGUUACCCGAUGGUAAGACAUCGAUAAUGCUCCCUCGUUUUUGAAGGAUUAUGUGAAGGAGCAGCUUUGCUAAAUUGCCUUGGAAUUCUUGAGACAGGUCAGAAGUGAUUCCUCUGCUGCUGAAUCUGGAUCAGAAGCUGAAGAGAUUUCUUCCCCCAAGGCACUAAGGUCUUACUCGCAUCUGCGCCUGACUCCUGUUCGUGAAGAAGUAAGUUUUGGCUGUUCAUGCAAAAUGGUUUUAGUUUUUGGACUCAAAUUUUCGGUCUUCUGAUAUCCAGUUUGUUCAUUUGGAAUCUUGAAUGUGAAGUCUAAGAUUGUUGGGAAGGUGAAUCACCCUAGCACCUUUUCUGGGUAUGAUGAAUACGUUCCGAUGGUCGAUAAAGCAGUUGACUCUACCUGGAAUGAGCAAGCAGCCAUUCAGAAGCUUGCAAUGUCUAAAGGUUAGAACUUUAGUCGUUCAUUCAUGUUUCCUGCUCUAUUGAUUAUGUUAAAUGAAUAAAACUGAUAUCAGCUUCUACCACAGCAUCUGCAACUGUUCCGGAGACUCCAAAGACGUCAGCUGCUAUCCACGUUAGGCUUUAUUUGGCAGUUCUGGCUUUCUUCAUGACGAUUCUUACUUUCAUCCGUGUGUUGCCAUCGCGGUUGAGCAAAGAGGGUACUUCAGCCGGAUUAACCUUAAACACUCCAGAGAAAGAGCUGACACACCCACCUUCGCCAACUCCAGCUUACUCGGAGACCGACCUGCUCACUACUGUACUGAAAAGGCUGGGUGAACUUGAGGAGAAAGUUGACACGCUUCAAUCAAAGCCAUCGGAGAUGCCGUACGAGAAAGAGGAGUUGCUAAAUGCUGCUGUUUGCCGUGUUGAUGCCUUGGAAGCCGAACUCAUUGCAACUAAAAAGGUAACAUUGGUUUUGUCAAGCAUAGCUUCAUUCCGUUUUGUACUAGGUUUGUAACACAAUCUUAUGUUGUUGCAGGCCCUACACGAAGCACUUAUGAGACAGGAAGAACUGCUUGCUUACAUCGAUAGUCAAGAGGAAGCGAAAAACAGGGUAUAAUUUGUUGAAAAUAUGAAUCUUUUCGGCUUAACGACAUGCUAUGUGAGUACAAGUUGCUGAAAAUCCAACUGCUGGAAUGUUUUUUUGCAGAAGAAGGGUUUUUUCUGCUAUUAAAGACUUCUGCAGUUUGAGAGAGGGAUGAUGCAACCUGGGCGAGUUCUCGGAUGUGAGUGAUGCAUAUGAAAUAUAUUUCGGCUUCUAUUGUAUGUGGAUAAUGAGAUGUAACUACUCUUAUUUGAAACAACAUUGUGAGCAGACUUGCUCUUGUAAGACCUUGUGAAGACGUGUUCUUAACUACACACCUGCUAGACUUAUAAUCAUGAAUGCUGCUGCAGUUUGGUCUCUGUGAUGAUCUCUGCUAUCUUCUUACUUCAUUGUGGAUAUUAUAUAUUUACUUGUGGUAUUUCUGUGUUCUGAAUUUGUCUUCUGCGUCAAUUGUCUAUAGUUCGUAUCCCACCGCUGCCACUUAGUUAACACACUUAGGUUUGCAUAAUUCUCGAUUGAUUGUGGUUAGUAGGGUUAACUGCUGAUCUCGAAACCAGUCGAUUUCUCAGGGAAAGAAGCAUUAAUUUUUAUAUUGGUUUUUGCAUUAACCCCAACAUUACAUUCAGAUUACAAGAAAGUUUGUAACAGUCCAGAUUUUGCUCUGCUUUAUACACGGCUGAAAGCCUGAAGAGAGUAGUACUAUACAGAUAACUAAAUCAAGAAAUGCCAAGUUACAUCAGAUCCUCAAUUGGCCUUUGUCAAGUUGUCAUAAGAUGAACCAUUUCCUCCUUUAGAAUCUGAAGAACUGCAUUCCGAAACAGAGAAACCAGAAAAGUUAGCAGCUUUGAUAUAAACAGUUCCUGAGUUCAUGAUCCGGGCUGGGAAAGAAACAUUUUACCCUCUUCUUCUUCUUGUUCUUCUUGUCCAUGUAAGCCAGGAGUUCUUGCUGUUUCCCUACAGCUUCCACAAGUAACUGGAGCAAAAAAAACGUCGAAAAAAAAGAGGUUAAAGGUUCUUCCUUUAGACACUGCAUUCUGAGUUUGGUUGAUUAUUAGUACUUACAAUCUUUGCAGCAGAGAGCUCCUUCUCGAGGGCUUCAGCGCGGUCGAGUGCGUUCAUCAGCAUUGCCUCCUUCUCAGCCGGCAUCACUUCGGGUUUCGAGCAAAGGGCGUUCAGCUUCUCCUCGAUAUCUGCCAUCCUCAACAUCAUGUUCUUGUAAUCCGAGGAGGAGAUGGACGAUCCCUCCAUCCUUCCAGCUGAAGAAGGAUGGUCGUUGAGCGAUUCGGAGUAGUAAGUCUUGCUCCCGUAGAUUGCUGCCUCGGUCAGCUUUCGAGGCAUUGUCUUGGUCAUCUUGAUCAAGGUCACUACUCCCAUCACAACCGCCAUGAUCCCACCCAUCACCUGCUUCCCGUUUGCUGGCACAAGAGCAUCCUCUUGCAUACCUGUAACGAAAGCAAGUUUUCGACAGGUUUAGGGUUUUUCUUACCAUGUUCUUGUCAUGAACCGUUGCAUCCCAAUAACGAGUUUUUGAUAGAGGGUUCAUAUCGGUUUUAUAGUUCAUUAACAGUUUUGUACGCUUUGCCUUACCCUUUCCUGAAGAAGCUCUCCAGUCAGUGUUGAUGGUCUUCUCCACGACUUGGAUGGACUUCUCGCAGUUUUCAGUGGUGAGCCUGUUCACGGUUAUGAUCGGAAGAUGGUGAAUUACUUCUUCUUCAGGAACGGGAGAAGGUUUCAGGUCCUGAAGUACUUCGUCGUUCAAAACCUUGAUGGUUUCCUUGUCUUCAGGAAUUGGCUUCUCCUCAAUUCCUGACAGGAUUCUCCUGUGGCAUUUACCCUCACCAUUUUCAACCAUCUGCGACAAAAAGAUUGGAUUGAAAGAAGAUUAUCAUCAGAUCGAACGAGAUUGUUCUCGUAAAACCAGUCCUUGGUGCAUUAGGAUUACUCACCUUCAGGAUGUCAGGAUCAUUCCAUGGACCUUUGCUGGAGCGCAUGCAUCCACCCUUGUCAUCACAGUUGCAAGUCCCUCCGAAGAACGAUGGCAGCUCGCUGCAAAAACCGAUCCAAACCCAGAUUUCAGAGCCAAAAUAUCGGUUUGUAAGGGUUAAUUAGGAACAAAAGUCGGUACCUGGCAUCAAUUACUUCAAGCAACUUGCUUUGAUAUUUGGUGCCAAGAACCUGUAGAAAAGGUUGACUCUGGAUUAUAAAGAGCGACUUGGAAAGUAUCAGAAACAGAAUCAACAUUUAGUUCUAAAGCCAUGAAACUGACAUGGAUCUUGGAAGCAGUCUUAGGGUCCAGGAACUGCUUCACAGUGUUCCACAGUAACCUGAAUCCAGCCCCACCAUUGAUGAUGAACAUCCUGUUCAAUGUCUGCAAAUGCGGACGAAAAGAUCGAAACUUUACUCAAUUACUACAUGAAUUCCGUGAAUUAUUCACAUACCUCAGGAUAGUUAUCGCCAUCGAUCUUCUGGAUCCGGCUGAUAAGUUCCCUGGCAGUUUUGGUGAACUGCUUCAGACCCUGAAAACAGAUUUUAUGAUGAUGAGAAAUCGUCGAAACAACUGAAUUUUAGAACUCUAAACAUAUAGACAUUACCACUCCUUGAACAUCAAUGAUGGUGGUGCUCUGGUCGAUGUGCUUCUUAGCAGCAAUGGAGCAAGAUGGGAACUUGUAAGUGAAAGCUUUCUCAAACUCCUGAACAUGGUACUUCACAUAUCGAUCCAACGAUGUGACCUGAACCAGCUUGUUGGCAUCAACUUCGCCGAGCUUCUCGAUGUAGACUGGCCUCCCAUCUUUGUCUACUCCAUGGUACCCUUGUGGAUAGUACUGCAGGACUUCAUCUACUUCCUUGAACUCAAAGUCCUGUUUCAGAAAAAGGAAAAGAAACCCACAACGUUCUUCAGAACUGAAUGAGGGCAAAGUUGACAACUUUUUCCUGAAACCAUAUCAUGAUUGGACUCAUGUAGAGUACUAACCAUUCAGGAUUUUGCCGUAAAUCGUGAUAACAUGACUAAUUAACCGGUCUAACCUGACUAUACUUAGAGUUGGGGAUUCACCAAUUCGGUUUAACAUGACUCAUUUGAUUUUGUUUGUUUUACACACCACUCACGACCUUAAACCCAAGUCGAUAACAUAAUGGAUUGAUAAACAAUCGGUAGUUCUCCUUGCUCGGCUAACACGAAACGGUGAAACAUGUUAGAAACUGAGUUCCAACUUAGUUUGAGUUACUCGAUAAUCAAGGAAAACCAAUGUACUUAUCUUGACAUCGAAUAUCAGGAUUAAACCAAUGAGGGGAAACCAUUCAGAACCUAACGAGUAUCGGUUUAGCCUCAAUUACGAGUCCUUAGGCCUAGUUAAACCGAUCUAAUAACUUGGUCAAUAGGGUCAGAUUCAGUGGUUCGGUUUAGCUGAAUAGAUAGAAAUAUCGAGCUCCAACCAAAAAUCUGUCAACUAACCAACCAAACAAAACCUAUACGACAACCGGUUUCACAAACACUAACAAAUCAACAAAGAAAGAGAAUUCUAUGUAUGUAAUUUUACUUACCUCCAUGAUUAAAUCAGUACCAAACUCCUUUCUCCACUGGAUCAUAUCCCCCCACAUCUGUUUGGCCUUGUCAAUGUCAAACUUCCUGGCCUUGAGGAACCUGAGCAUCAUGUGAUGAUCAUCAUGGUUUGAAGGAAGAAGCUCAUCAAGGAUGAGUGCCUGCCUGAAUGCAUCCACAGCCCUGAGCUCCUCCCCGUUGAUUUCGUCGACUAUCGAGACCGACAUUACCCUGCUGUUCCUGCGGCCUUUCUUUGUCAGGGAGCUCCUGAACUUGUUGGAGGCAUUGAUUGCCUUCUUCUUGAAUGACUGCUUCUUCUUCUCAUCCUCUGAGAACUCUUGAUUCUCAGGUCCUCCUAAUAAAACAGGGUCAAAUAUCUGAUUCAUCCCCGUAACUUUGGACCAUUGGUUCAGUAUGUUCAAUCCGUAUAGAAAAUGCUGAAACAGCAAAAUAAAAAAAAGUUGUAUACCUAGUUUAGGAUUUUUGUCCGGAAGGACUAUAGACAUUGCAUCAGCCAUGAUGAUUGGUUCCUGGCAAUGAGUUUCUUAUCAGAGAUUGGUUGGGAAUGAAAAGGGUAUUGAAAAGUUUGAAACUUUGUUCAGAAUCCAUCUGGGGAAUUGAGCAAUCAACGUUGAUCCAUAUGAUCAUAUGAAUGGCUAAAAAGCCAGAAUCAUCAAAUUUCUUAUCGGAUUAGGAACAAAUGAUAAGUAAGUCUGAAACUUAAACCGAAAUCCGUACGAGAUUUGAUAGUCAGGACAAAUCAUAUAACAACGUUAACGUAUGCCAUCAUUCAUUUCCUCAACAAACACAAGAUGUAAACCAGAUUAUGCAACAAAACUACAUGUUAUCCAUAACUUCAAAAUCCGGGAAGAUGAAGGGAGAUCAAGAGUUACCUAUUGGAACUAAUGUAGGUGUGGGGAAGAAGAUGGACAAUGUUUUUUUGUGUUUGGUUAUAUGUAAUUACAAGAAGAAAGGGAGGACCUUUCUAAAACUAAAUCAAAAGGAAGAACCCAAUUUAAAACUAUAUACAUAGUCUUGUGUUUGAUUACUUAGAGAGAGAAGUGGGGAGGAGAGAGAUUUGAAUCAAACAAUAAUAAGAAUAUAUCAUACACACAAAUAACAAACUAAUUAAAAUGGCUAAUACAAGUUAAUCCAUUCAAUGGUUGACCUUCCUUAACCAAUCAUUUUUCCAAAAUCUUUUGGCUAAUUUUAUGCUAUUUAGUUAUAUGACUUAUAUAAAGUCAUAUCAAAAAUAAUUUAUUAUCUGCCGUUGAAUAUGUUGAAACCGGUCAUAGAUCAUUUGUAAUCUAUUAUGAGUGUUUUAUUAAUCUAACAUUUUUUUAUAAAUGUUCACACUUGUUUGAAUUAAGUAACAACUAGCUGGUGUCAGUUUUACAUUAUACGAUAAUUUUUUUUGGAAAUUAUCAACACAAUGUGGUUACUUUUGUACAAACUUCUUGUGACAUUAAAAAGCUUAUUGGAGUGUGAAACAAGCUCUACUUGGCUAUUUUCAAUUAAAAUUUCGAGACUAAUAUCAUAAAAUUAGGCUCGACACAAUAAUGUGCAUUAUGUGUGAAAAAAUUAAAAAGUGACACAAUAAAAAUAUACCAAUACAUUAAGUUAUAAAGGUUCAGUGACCAAUCCAUUACUUAACUUUAAAUUCAGUGAGCAUCGAGUAACUAGUCCAUCAUUUCUGUUCCUCUGACCCCUUUCAUAAUAGUCUCCAAUCAAGCACAAGCUUUCAACCUUCAACCCUAGCGCUUAUGCUCUAAAAUGGCGUCUUGUACCCACUUCUCCCAGCCGUUAGCUUCAUCAAGAACCCUAACUCAAUCCCGCGCUCGAAACCUAUAUUCAAAAGCCUUUUCUUUAUCCACUCCAAAUUACUCUUCCAGACAAUCCUUAGCUCUUCGUGCAGUUCUCUCGCAAAACCCUACCAAAACCUCUCCUCCACCGAAACUCGACAACCAAUUCGAGCAUUGUUUCUCCAAAUUAUCCGAUGGAUUUCUCUACUGCGAGAGCGUCAAGGUCCAGGAUGUCAUGGACACUGUUGAGAGGCGGCCGUUCUACCUGUACAGCAAGCCUCAGAUCACUAGGAAUGUUGAGGCCUACAAGGAUGCUUUGGAAGGAUUGAAUUCAGUAAUUGGAUAUGCUAUCAAGGCUAAUAAUAACUUGAAGAUUUUGGAGCAUUUGAGGAAGUUGGGAUGUGGGGCUGUUCUGGUCAGUGGGAAUGAGCUCAGAUUGGCUCUCAAGGCUGGGUUUGAUCCCACAAAGUAGGUUCCUUUAUUAUGUUGCUGGACUGAGUUUUUGUUCCCCCGUUCUGAUUAUGGCUAUUCUUUCUGGUGAUGGGAACAGGUGUAUAUUUAAUGGAAAUGGGAAGCUGUUGGAGGAUUUGGUUCUGGCUGCUGAAGCAGGUGUCUUUGUUAAUGUGGAUAGUGAAUUUGAUUUAGAAAAUAUUGUGGCAGCUUCUAGGGUUGCUGGCAAGAAGGUUAAUGUUUUGCUUCGGAUCAAUCCUGAUGUGGAUCCUCAGGUAUACAAUACGAAAUCAGAUAUAACAUGUUAUUUUGUCGUGCAAGUGUUUGAUAGGAGAGGUUAGAGAAGUUGUGAGGUUCUUUGGAGCCCAAAGCCAGUAGCUUUAGCUGAAAUUUUAUGUUUUCUUUCAGUUUUUAAGUUCUGCCGUAUGCUUUGAACAUAUUCUACUGCACAUAAUCCUUUCCCCGAUUGAAGCCCGGUAGCUAGUUGUAUUGGUUUUCGUGAUGUUUUUCCGAGCUGAAUACCAGUAGUGCCAACUGAAAGUGUUAUACUUUUUAAUCUGUGUUUGAUGAAUUUCUUUGAGUUUUUAAGCUAUUUUGUAUAAUGGGAUUUUAUUCGUAACCUCCUUAGACCGUGUCCAAAACAGUUGGACUAUUUAUGCCUUGAACCUAUUCUACUGCACAUAACCCUUUCUGUGAAUUUCUUCUACAUUUGAGAUCCGUAAGGUGUUCUGUAUUUGAAGUCGCUGAGUUUCUCUGGCUUACUAUUACUAUGUUUAUUUCAUGGAUUGCUUAGGUCCACCCUUAUGUAGCUACCGGGAACAAGAACUCAAAGUUUGGUAUUAGAAAUGAGAAGCUGCAAUGGUUUCUGGAUGCUGUAAGGGCACAUCCGAAUGAGCUGAAGCUUGUUGGUGCCCACUGCCAUCUCGGAUCAACGAUUACCAAGGUGUGUAGCACUGCAAGAUGCUUUUUUUUUCCAGUUUGUGAGAUGUUCUGUAUUUAAUAUGAUGAAUUUAUUAGCUCCCUUUUCACACUACGAACGGUGCCUCUUUGCAUUUAAUAUGAUGAAUCCUGUUCUGUAGAAACUGCCAUUGACUUAUCAUUAGCCCUUCAGUGAUUUAGUUCUUCCCAUUUUUUCCGUUUAGGUGGACAUAUUUAGGGAUGCUGCUGGUCUUAUGGUACACUAUAUCGACGAAAUACGUGCGCAAGGCUUUGAAGUUGAUUACUUAAACAUUGGAGGUGGUUUGGGGAUAGAUUACCAUCACUCCGGUGCUGUUCUGCCCAAGCCAAGGGAUCUCAUUGACACUGUAAGUAUCUUACACUUAAGAAAUCAUGUUCUAUUUGACAUCAAACGAUUCCCAUAAAGACUGGUUAUGCUCAGUGGUCAUGAUUUGUCACUGUAGGUUCGUGAAGUGGUGCUCUCUCGGAAUCUCAAUCUCAUUAUCGAACCAGGGAGAUCCCUCAUCGCCAACACCUGCUGCUUCGUAAAUAGGGUUACUGGCGUAAAGACAAAUGGCACGAAAAAUUUCGUCGUGAUUGAUGGUAGCAUGGCUGAGCUCAUCCGUCCUAGUCUAUAUGAUGCUUAUCAAGUAAGAAACCAAGUAGAGACUAGUUUGUUGAGCUGUUUAUUAUCGAUGUAUCUGUUCCUGCCAUUGAGACUUCUUCCUGCCAUUGAGACCAAGAACUUUGUUGUCCCUGUUCUUGCAGCACAUAGAGCUAGUUUCUCCUACGCCACCAGAUGCUGAGGUGUCAACCUUCGACAUUGUUGGUCCUGUGUGCGAGUCGGCUGACUUUCUGGGAAAGGAGAGGGAACUUCCUACUCCACCCAAGGUAACUUACAUUUUGCUUUCAUGGAUUUUUCAGUAGCUGCAAAUAUUAUUGAUUUGCACUUCUUACAGAAACAUGCAUUUGCAGGGAACCGGUCUGGUGGUUCAUGAUGCUGGAGCUUACUGCAUGAGCAUGGCAUCAACUUACAACCUCAAGAUGCGCCCUCCCGAGUAUUGGGUACGUAGAAUCCCAUACCACCACUCUCUUAUUUCGAGUGCUCGUGUUCUCCUCUUGCAUGAAACUGAUGAGAAUUUGUUAUGUGACUGUUCAGGUUGAGGAUGAUGGGUCAAUAGCCAAGAUUCGACAUGCAGAGACAUUCGAAGACCAUAUCCGGUUCUUCAAUGGGCUGUAAUUUGUGAGCUUUAGGUUCAAUCUACCAAGCAAUAAAGCCUCUGAGCUUGUUUAAUUUUGUACUGAAAUCGGGUUAUUUUGUAAGGCAGAAGUGUUGUUCCUUGUUCUAUAAGUUAUCGAGUUACCAUUUUGUUGAAAAUUAUCUCACUGGAUUUGUAUCUGCCUAAAAGUUAAGUGACCCUGAGCCUUUUUUCUUACAGUAUUGACCCGUGUUGUUGAAUCGGACUGGAUGGUGUACUAGACUCGUAACUCAUAAGAUCAUAAAUCGGUUGUCAAUCGGUUCUAACUGAUAAAAAACCAUACAUCCUUCAAAGAUGAAGAUAACGGUCAUUAGACAUUAUAUACUAAUCUUAAUGAUCUAAUGAAAUCGAGCUAUAAUGAAAUUGAGCUGAUUUUUUCACUAAUUUUUUAACCGAUUUAACUUCUUCCGUCAGAACCCCCCUCCCUUGCAACUUACAACUCACGAGUUGAUGCUCCGAUCCGGAUCUAGGAAUCUGAAUACCAAGUUAAGUAUAACUAUUUCCCAUAAUUUCCAUGAUAGGAUAGUUAAUUAAUAAUUACCAUCUUUUUUAGGUACCAAUUUAAGUAAUUUACUAUCUUCUUAGGUACCGUAUCUGCGAUUUUUUUAUACUGUAUUUCGGUAUUUUUAUUUUUUACAAUCUGGUGCAGCCGCCAUAUAGUCGUUUUGGCGGCACUUCCUUUUUCCACAAAUUUCCGCGGCAUUACCACUUCCUCGUUACUGCUCAAGAAACUCGAAACCCUAACUUGAAGUUGUGGCGCGAAGAUUCCAUUUCUCCCUCUCGCGAUUCUGCAUCGAAUCGGUCAGUAACAUUCCCCUCUCCUUCUCUGUUUCCGGAUUGCAUUUCGUAUUCUUUUUCCGUUCAUCUGAGCGACUUCGAUUCGGUUCAAUUGCAUGCAAAAUUCAAAGUUCUGAGUAGUAAAAUGUGUUUGGCGGUGGUCGAGGAUUCGAGAUUGCAUUGUCAAUUUUUCAGCUGCUGUAGUUUUCUUUCUUGAAAUUGUCCGUUGAUAUCGUCUUUUUUGUGCCGCUGAUUUCAGUUACCACAACAACUGUUCUGCAAGACUCAGCCUGCUAGGUCUCUCAGUUUCUGGAGAACUCUCUCUUCGAUGGCGAGUUCUGUAGCCAGCCUUUCCAAUGGCGGUGUUGGUGGACAGCCAGAUCCACAGAGGACUUACCAGGUUGUCGUGGCUGCAACUAAAGAUUGGGGUAUCGGGAAAGAUGGGAAGUUGUCUUGGAAGCUGCCUUCUGAUCUCAAGUUCUUUAAAGAUGUUUCCUUGACGACUUCCGAUUCCGGGAAGAAGAAUGCAGUGGUCAUGGGUAGGAAAACAUGGGAGAGCAUCCCACUUCAGCACCGUCCUCUCCCUGGACGUCUGAACUUGUUCUCACUCGAUCGGGGAGCUUCAAUAUCGCUACUGCGGAGAAUGUUGUGAUUCGUGGGAGCAUGCAUUCUGCUUUAAUUGGCUGCUUCUCCUUAUUGUCUAUCUAUUGAGAAAGUCUUUGUGAUUGGAGGUGGCCAGAUAUUGAGGAUUUUAAAGUUUUUUGGGUUUCCGUAACUUUUACAUUUUGUUUGUAAUGCUGGUAGUGUUUGUUUGUUUGUUUGUCGAUUGAAACGUGUGUUCUUUGCAGGGAAUCUCUUAAUGCAGCUAAGUGUGAUGCACACUUGACGGAGAUUUGACGAGCUUUGAAUGUGAUACCUUCAUUCCUGCGAUUGAUUACUCAGUAUUUCAGCCUCGGCAUUCGUCUCCUCAUGUUGUGGAGAAUGGCAUACGGUUUUGUUUUACUACGUAUGCUCGAAUAAGGAGUUUGGUUGUUGAGUCCGAGAGCGGACAUGAUGACAAGAUAUCAAGUAACAGCUGCGAAAACAGUAAGUUUGAGAUAAAAAGUUCUCGUUCCUUCCCAAGACGGUUUUUGAGAAACACGAGGAGUUCUUGUACUUGAGAAUGGUACAGGAGAUCUUGUCAAGUGGCAACUCUAAGGAUGACAGGACGCAAACUGGUACUUUGUUUAAAUUUGGUUGCCAGGUAAUGCACUCGGCUGUUUAGUACUUGUGGGAUAUGGUACUCUUUAAUAACUGGUUAUGUCAAGAUAACACUUACAAUUCCUGUUUACUUACAGAUGCGGUUCAAUCUUCGGAAAUCCUUUCCUCUUCUGACGACUAAGGUUUGUUACUUAUAAUGCCUUGUCCAUAUUUGGUUAAACAAUAACGUUACCAUCAUCGUUCCCUCUCUCUCUUUUUUUGCUAAUUAAUUAAUGAUCAUUUGCAGUUUUACGCGGCGAACGGGGAGCUGUCGUGCCAAAUGUAUCAGCGGUCCGCUGAUAUGGGCCUUGGUGUGCCUUUCAACAUUGCUUCUUAUGCACUCCUGACUUGCAUGAUUGCUCAUGUUUGUGGUAUACAUUUCAUCUCUCUUCAUUGCUCCAUUUAUCGGAGUAAUAGUUGUUUUGUAUCAUCAAUGUCAAUGCUGGGAGGUUAACUCUAUUCAUGUUCAUAUUGUUGCAGAUUUUGUCCCUGGAGAUUUCGCUCACGUAUAUCUUACUCAUGUUGGGCCUCUGGAGGAGCAGCGUAAGAAAUCACCGAAUACUUUCCCGGUAAUCGCAUAGUGGAAGCAGAACUAACUAGCUCAUCUUGUUUCUCUGUUACUUUGCUUCUAUUGUUGGUACUGGAGGCUUCACAUUUAAUCUCCUCUCAAAAAUUGGUUCUCAGAUUUUAAAGAUUAAUCCAGAGAAGAAAGACAUAGAUUCCUUUUCAGCAGCAGAUUUCAAGCUCAUAGGCUAUGACCCCGAACAGAAGAUCGAAAUGAAGAUGGCAGUUUAAAAGGCCUUUUACUAUAGUUCCAGUCAACUUUCAAGUUUAUCUAUGUUUCUUAAUACUUUUGAGGUACUUCUUUACUCAUCUUCCGGUUCUUGUUCGUUCACCUGUAACUUACUUCUUAGGGUUUGACAACUGUUCUUCCUUGUUUCCAGGUUUCGGUAUGGGAAGAACGAUCGAAGUUUUGUACAAGUGUCGAAUAUGAACAUGGUAAUCUGAUGGUCUUAAAGAGUUUUCUUUUUUGCUGGUUUAGUAAUGUGGAAUAGUUCGCCCACCCGGUGAUCUGUGGUGAUUUAGAUCAUGGUAGAACUUGGUAUGAACUCUGUAAUGAUAAAUGAAUUCCGGCUCAGUUAGAAUGAGGACGAGAGUACUGAAUUCAAUUUGUCUACAAUAAGAUCACUCGAAACAAACCAUUUACAGAAUGGAAUUGGGUAGAAGGUGUUACACAACUGGCUUACAUUUUCCUGCAGAUUUUAGGUUAAGAAUAUGCUGCAAGAGGGGGGCACAGAAAAAAAGGAGAUGAAAUAAGUACCUCCCAUUUCAUGCUAAUUUUGCACGAGCAAGCUCCAUUGCUUAUCCAAAGUUUGCAUGUGACUGAUGGAUCCAACUUGACUGAUGAGUGAACCACAGCUCAUCUCCAAGUACAUCCAUAGCUUUAUACCAAAGAACCUGCUCCCCCAACAUUUCCCUUUUCCACUUCUUGCCUGGUUUGCAAUGUCUUGCGUUGGUUUGGAUUGUUGAGGAAAAGAAAAGAGCUUUCAUAUAGCUUGACCAAACCGAAAAACAAAAUGUUAUACGAGUGAUGUGCUUUUCUUUUACGGUUUCGCUAUUUUAUCGUGAACGGUUAGGCUACAAAACAGGAGGUUGAGUGUCCCGCUUCGUUAAAUGGAACUAUUGAUCACAUCAUCAUCAUACUAGUCCCGCAUCAUUUCGUCUCGCGAAAUCUAACCUGAGUUAGGAAAGGUUCGAGCUAUCAUGAUGGGUCAAUCUGAGCCAACAUAGUGAGUCAGGAAUGAAUCAGCUCUAUCAUGUUGCUGCAUGGGUUGAUUCCAAAUUAUCACAAAUUUUAGACUUUCUGUCUUUUCUUUUUUAUUCCUUUUUUCCCCUGUUUGUCUGUCAAGUUUACCCAAUGAAGAACAGUUCUCAUAAUCUCACAAUCAUCUGGGUUUUCCUCUUACUGUUCUUUUCUUUCACUUUAUGGAAACAGAACGUGAGUUCAAAUUCUUACCACCACAUCUGUUUUUGAUCCCAUCAAGGAGCAUAUGGUGUCAAGUUCUGUCCUUUUACCCUUUGGAAUCACAGCAUAUAUUUCAAUUCCAUUCUCCAGUAAAGCUGUGGAACUUUUCACAGUUAAUCUAAACAAGCUCUCAGCUGGAGUCUGGGUUUAUCUGGAGAAGUUCGUAGCUGUAAUUAGGGAUUAUCUACAAAUCCAGACAGUAAAAAGUGGAAGCUCACGAUGGUAAAAAAACACAACUUUAUAGCUGGUUUGUUUGUUUUUACAUAGGGGGUAUCUGAUUUUUCUCAUUACAAUGUACAAAACCAUUCAAACAGGCUCAUCUGUAUAGAAACUAGAAAAGAAAAAGAUCCAAACUACCCAAAAAAGGUAACUUCAUCGCAAACUUAUGCUUAAGCUAAACUGUCACACAAUUACAGAGUUCUCCUCGUCUCGUCGGAACCUCUUCUGCCUCUCGAUGAACGCCUCGAUCGUACUCUUGAACUCCUCACUGGUCAAAUUAUCCUCAGGAAACUUAUCACCACCCUUGUUCUUCUGCUUCUUCUUUGUCAAAUUCUCAGUUGCAGAUCGCCUCAAUUCCUUCUCGGGCUUGUGAUAACUCGUCAGAUUCUCGGACCGACUCCUCUCGUAGCUCUUGACGAUCAUCGCCGAACCAGAAACAGAGCUUUCUUCCUUGACAGUGGCUUCCAGUUUAUCACUCGGUUUUACUCUGUUUUCUGAAACUCUAACAACGGCUUCCAAUUUCUCACUCUGUUUUCCUCUGUUUUCCUGAGCAGUACUACUGCUUUUCCCACUCAUUUCGACGAACUGUUCAUAAAGAUCGGAUUUUUUCCCGGUGCUCCCCCGAAGGUGGCCGGACUUGACGAAGAGGACGACGACGAUCACGUUCCCGACGAUGAACACGAACCGGGGGCUGAUGAGGACGAGCAGAAAGUCCUUGAUGUAGUCGCCAGAACCCUUGAGGGAGACCGGGAGCUGGACCGAAACCCGGGAUAGAACCGCCAGGACUACCAGGAUUUCCACCAGUCUCAGCAUGUUUGUGACGUUCUGGAUCUUCCUCUGCUUCUUCAUCGCCUUCACUGCCCUGACCGUGAACGAAUCCAUUUCCGUCUUGAAAGAGUAUCGAACCGGUGAAUAAUCAGGAUUCCUGUAUUAAAGUUUCUCAGGGGCUCUUUCAGUUCAAAUUGGCCUUGGAAGUAGCUGUAUACCCGAGAUGAGAUGCGACGAGAGGACGCCUUGAUUCGAUUACCGGUGUCGGAUUAGGGACGGAGGAUUUAAAAACAGAGGAUGCUCUGUGUUUUUGUGGAGAGCUUGUUGUGUUGCUCCUUGUAAGGUUUAAGUUGUGGGGAGUGGGGAUAUAUAUAGCUGAGUGGGCUUUGUCUGUACAACAUGAUUAAUAUCUUUUCUUUACUUUUUGUAACUAAUAUAAGAUUCUAAGCAUAUAGGCAAGCCUCUAUGCUCAUAACUGAAAUUCGGGACGAAAUUGAGUACCCAAACCCGUACUUCAUGGAUACCCAUCCCAUAAGAUUCUAACUUUGUUUUCCAAAUCCUAAACCUGUUCAGGAUUACGGGUAUCCUUAACCCGGGAGAGUAGCUCAGAUACAAGGUCGGGUACCCAUUCAUCCCAAACGAUAUGCAACAAACAAUUUAUGUUUCCUAACAAGUUCACAGUCAUGUAAGUUAAUAAUGCGUUUCUACAGAAGAUGCAAUUAGUUUUACUAAUUUCCAAUCAACAUUAGGAUUAGGAAGUUGUUAUACUGUAGUGCUACUGUUGUUUGGCACUGGGUAGCCAUACCUCCACUGCAUCUUUCUCUCUUCAUUCCAUCGUACCUUUCUCUUCAAUGCAUCUUUAAUACCCUACUAAACUCCCGAUACAAUAAUGGCUACGAGAAGCAUGGAGCCUCUGCUCAUGGCUAGCUUGAAAUUAUGUUAGUAGGAACAAGAACUGGUAAAUAUCAAAUAAGUUAUUGGGUGGAUCAGCGGGUUUUUGAUUAGGUGGGUUGCGGAGUAGAUUAGGAAUACGGGUAAAACUGGAUUAUGGAUUAACCUGCACGGGUAAAUGCGUACCAACGGGUACUAAAUUACACAAAUAUGCAUCCCAUGUCCCGAAAUCAUUGAUAAAGCAACCUCCAUACAUUUUAAAUUAUUGUGAUGUUUAUAUAAAUUAAUUAUAUGAAGGGUAUAACACUCGCAAUUGAGUUAGAUAAGUCAUGUCCCAACAAGUGUGAGCUAAAUAGGUUACAAUCAAUCAAAUAAUAAGAUAUGUAUGUUUUCAUUCUCCGAAUAAUGAUAUAGACAGAGGCUCAAUGAUUAGCUUCCAUACAUAUCAUGGGCUGCUUGAUUUAGUCAUGUUUGGUAAGAAACUUUAUAAAAAGGUUUGAAUCAAAGGUGACAAAUAGGGUUAAUUGGGUUAGGUUGAGCGGGUUUAUCCAAUCAUAUCGUAGUAUAUAACAUGUAUAUAGAAAAUAGUUAAUUUUAUGCAUUUUCAAUGAGCCUUAAAAUUGAAGAAAUAUAUACAUAGUGGAAUAUUAUUUUAAUUGGUCUGUUGAACGGACGGACAAAAACUAGUACAAAAAAGAGUUAUUCUCAUGUAAAGCAAGUGCAUCUAAAAAACCUACUACUUAUUUGUUUCCCUCUCUCAUAAUACAUAUAUGACGCUUCCUAGCCCUUGUUCGUUAAGUAGCUUCCAUGAUUGUUUAUAAUAUCUAGUAAGACUAGAGUAUUCAAAUUCUUUUAACUCGAAUCACUUAUUUCAGCUUCCGAAUCAAUGGAGCGAAAACACUAAAAUUGAAACAUUUUUACCCCUAGACACCUUAAGGUAAAGGAAUUGCAUUCCCCACCAUGCCAUUAUUUUUCUAGCUUUGUUGAAAUGGUUGUGGGAGGCAUUUCUUCUUCAUUUCUUUUUAUUGGCCCCCUUUUUAGGCAACUUUUUCCCAUUGAAUUAUUGCUCUUUUUUUUGUGAAAUUGAAAUGGGUUUGCCUUGAUAUAUUCCCACCACAUUUGGAGCUGAAUCAGCAAAAGCAUCAGAUUUUAUUUUCUUGAAGCAUAAUGGCAUGCAAGCAGAAUGAAUUCACAAAUCUAUCCAUAUUCUUAUUUGUGAGAAUAUCCCCUUACCUUAGUCCUAAGAACCCUAGAAUUGUGUCAUCUUAUUCUUUCUGGAUAACAUUAUUGUUACUAGUUGACACUCACUCAGUGUUGUUUGCGCGGAAGGAUAUGGACAAAGAAUGUCGAACCGGUUUCGUGAGUGAAUUCCGAGUUGAAUAGUGUGGUCUUUGUUCCAAAAUUAUUUAUAUGUUCUAUGUUGGUUUAUUUAUAUUGGUUAGGAUUUUCGUCUAUGGCAUGAUUAGCUCUUAAAAACUGACCGAGAGAUCUCCUCUUAAAAAUUAGAACAUACUAUUGAAAUCCAUUAUGUCAAUUAUUACUCUAACCACCAUUCNNNNNNNNNNNNNNNNNNNNNNNNNNNNNNNNNNNNNNNNUUAAAAAUAAUACAUAGGCUUCCACAUAUAGCCUAUAUUUUCAGACUAUUCGUCAAUUAGAUAUUAAAGCCGCUCAUCUAAUAACACAUUUAAUUCUUAGAUAUCUUCCAGGAUUAUUAUAAAUAGUUCUCACUCUAUCAAAUCAUAAUUAAAAUUAUUUAUAUUUGAUAUUUUUUUAUCUCCAAAAAAAGCUAUAUAAACCAGAAAAAAUAAUACAUAAAUAAGAAUACAAGAAAUGUGAUGGAAAAAAAAGUAGUUACCAUGGGAAAAGAAAGCAGAUAAGAAAUGGGCAGUUACAAAAUGGGGCCCACAAAAAAGCCCAAAUGGAAGAGUAACCAUAAACAUUAUCAAUUUCCUUCAACACUAAGAAACUAACUGCCCACAUAACAACCACACUAAGUAUUUGUAUGAUGUGAUUUAUGUCUCCGGUAAUUAAUUAGUGGGUUUUCUAUUUAUGAAGUGUGGAAUAAUAAAAUUAUUGAGUUAUAUAGUUUGCUAAUAGUUUACUAUAGAGUUAAUAGUUUAAUUUUUUAAAGUAUUUUGGUUAUAGUUACAUCAAAAUUCAUUAAAAGAUAAACGAAAUAUGAAUGUGGUAUGAAUUUUACUAUUUUUUUUACAUAGUUGAUAGUGUUAGGAUUGGUAGCGAUUAUCUUACCCUAUAUGCAUGCUUUUUGAGUGAAUACUAGUUUGUUUGUGCUGCAAUCCUGUGUGAUUUUGUGUUUUGGCAUUGCAUGCCUAUACCCGUUCACUUGGACCGUUUCGGUCCAUUUGAUGUGUUUCUUUGUAGUAUUUAUUAUCCACGGAUACUUUAGAGACAUGUGGUUUGGCUAUGAGGCUAUGAACGCGGAAUAGAGCAAGGCUGGAGCUCAAACGGAAGGACGGUGCAAGAAUUGAUAAAGAAGCAGGGCUGCAUGCCGUGCAUCUGUGCACCCCGUGCAGGCCCUCAGGCUGCAAUUACCCUCGUAGAAAAAAGGGGUGCACGCCGUGCACCUCCCGGAUCCAGCAAUUUCCAUAUAAAAGGAGCAAUUUGAGAAAAGAGAGAUCAUCUUCUCCAACGAAAUUCCUUCGAUUUCCCCGACUUUCCUCUGCAAAAACACCAUAUUUUCAUCCCUAAAAGUUUGAUUGAAGAUCCGAAGAAGUCCCCAUUGAAGAUUGAAGUUAGGAUUGAAGCUAGAAGAUCAAAAGUGAAGAUUGAUCCAAGUCUGAUUCAUUGUACCUUCAUCAAGAUGGUGGUUAGGUCUUUUAAUAUGUCCUCUUCUUCUAGAGUUAUGAGUAGCUAAAUUCUUAGAGUUUUUGGUUGGGAUGUAGGAUUUAAGUCAUGAUACUCUCCCUAAAAGUAUAGGGUCGACGAUUGUUGGAUAUUUGGAAUUGAAUGAAAGAUUGCUUUGAUUGUUGAGGUUUCAACCUUGUUCUUGUUACGACUUGAAUUAGGUCAAANNNNNNNNNNNNNNNNNNNNNNNNNNNNNNNNNNNNNNNNNNNNNNNNNNNNNNNNNNNNNNNNNNNNNNNNNNNNNNNNNNNNNNNNNNNNNNNNNNNNNNNNNNNNNUUUUCGUGCUUCUUUUGGUUUUAAAGGUUGUUAAUCGAGUAAUUAGCGGGUCUCUGAUUUGCACAUAAUGAACCAAGUUGGAUGUAGUUAUCAGUAGUGUAGAUGUUGAUGGACCAAGUUAACAUUAAUUUCAAUUAAAUGUGAUUUCCUUUUAAUUCCUAAAGAGCACCUUAUCACUUUGUAGAACUUCUCGGUGUUCAUCACUGGUUAGUCUAGUUGAGGUUAUUCCAACCUUGAUUGGAAAACUAGUAGUGGUAAUCCGCGUACAUGAUCAUACUAUAGAUUCAUACGAUUGAUAAUAGUUUUGAUUCCACUUAGCACUUAGAUUAUAUGAAUAAUUAUUGAUUGGAGAAUUAACAAAAGAAAAGCACCAAUUUAGAGAUAAUUUCAAUUAUAGUAGGGAUAAUUUCACAUAUUUCAAUCAAAAUUACCAAAUAUUGCGAGGUACUCGUAACUAAAAAUAGGAGAUAUAGCCGGUAAUCGAUCAUUGUCAAAUGUAAGAGAGAUAAAGAAGUAUGCGAAUGUCUCCUAGUGGAUCACCUUCAUUGGUAUUGGAUUUGAAAUUCUAUGUUGUAUAGUGUACUCUCAAUUUGCCUCAUAUGAAAAAAUGCCAGGUCUUUGUACCAACUUUUUUUAUCGUUCCAUGGGUCGAAUAAGUAAAAUGCACGGGGCGAACACCCGACAUCCGUCAUUGUGUGGCCGGUCGGGAUGACUUUGUGAACUGGCGGAGGAUGAACCUAUCAUAAUUUUCUCCAAGUUUGAUCGGCCAUGUGGCUAUCGGGACCAUAUCUCGCUGAGCCCUCAAAAUCAUAAUGGCUACAAUUUGACCUUUCAACAAACUUUUAAGUAAAAAUCUCAAGCUGGUAUGAACAAACUUUAUCAUUUAUUCCUAAACAUAUAUUCAAACAUGGUAUUUUCGAUCGCAAAAAUCUUAUAUUAUUUAGUAUUUAGUCACAAAAGCAAAAAAGAAAACACAAGAACUACACGCUCAAACGUCAUUAAAUCAAUUUCAUCAAAAGUGUGGAAUUAGAUUCUGUAGCAACGAACUCGAAUUGAAAUUUCGUUUUGAUAAUGGCAUUAGUGGUUCAUUUCAGUUGCUCAUAUAUUUUUAUUUAUUUAUCAUUUCAUAACAAAACCAACGACAAUAAAAUAAUAACAUAAUUAAACAAGGCAGCCAGCAGGGAAUAUUAUUUAUGAUUUUCUUUUAAUUAUCAAAUCCCCGUGCCCUUUUGAAAUAAUUAAAUAAUUGAUUAAGCAUAUUUCUUGUUAUUCAAGUUUGAUAUUCAAGGAAUAUAGUAGAAAACUAUAUAUCAAGUUUGAUCUCUAAAUUAUGUCUCAACCAAACUUUACUAGAUUCCAAUUCACUAAACACUUGUUAAAAUGAGACAAGAUAUUAUAUCGAACAGGUAACGUUAUUAAAAUUAUUGACUUUUGAAUCUCUCCCUACUUUCUAUUGACUUUUUUAUUGAAUAAUAUGCACAUUGGUGUAAGUGUCUUGUACCUUUAUAUGAGUGGGUCUACACCUAGAGCCAUCCUCACCAAAGUACAAAACUACUUAUACCAAGACGUCCAUAUUUUCCAACAAUCAUAUAUGGCAAAUAUAUAUGUCGCCUCUUUUGGGUUGCGAUCAAGACACCCGUGUAAAUUUUGAUCGACUGACAGUUUCAAUGUAUUAAGUCGAGGACGAAUAAACAUCGUUCUUAAUAACGUAACUGACCACAUCGUCAUACAAUUUCGAUCAAAUUCACACAUUGCAAUUUUGGUCCGUUACGUGAUUUCCUUAAUCAUUUGUUUUGUGGUCUAUGCCCUUGUUUUAAUAAUAACACAUUACCAUCUUUUUGUUUUGUGGGUCGUCUAACUUCAACUCUAAUCGACUACAUGACUAGUUGUGGUAAGGCCCACCAAUAUACGGGCCUCUACUGGGGCUAAGGCCCACGGAAAAGGCGCGGAAUCCCUGAACCAUCGUCGUUCAGAUAUAUAUUUGAAGAAAACCCUAGAAAUCCUCAAAAUCCUUUUGAUUUUCCCAGGCGCCGAACGAACAACCUUCUGCUUUUCACUGGCGAUCUCUCCUCAUCAUCACAAUGGUGUGAUUCAGCUUCGUAGAUUUGUGUUGUUGUUUCCAUAGUCAUCUACACUUUAUACUUAGUCUGUGUUCUGAUCGUCGAUUUUGAUUGGUUUCUUGUUGCAGGCUCCCAAGAAGGAUAAGGUUCCGCCGCCGUCGUCGAAGCCAGCCAAAUCCGGGGGAGGGAAGCAGAAGAAGAAGAAAUGGAGCAAAGGAAAGCAAAAGGAGAAGGUCAACAACAUGGUCCUCUUCGACCAAGCUACCUACGACAAGCUUCUCUCUGAAGCUCCCAAGUACAGGCACAUCACUCCGUCAAUCCUCUCCGAUCGUCUGAGGGUAAUUUAGUUUUGCCUUGAUUCUCUCUUUUGACUUUUAGUUCUGUUGAAUGGUUUGCAGGCUGAGCUGGUUUAGUUGUUAUAUUGUUAUGUUAGACUGACUAUGGAUUAGUCGGAUCUAGGCUAUCUUUGUAAAGCUGUGAAUCUGUUCUUGCUCUGGAAUUUCCGGCCAUGGUCAUCGAUUUGUGGACAUAAACUGAUGAGUAUUGUGGCUAUAGUUCGUUAGGUUUUGAAUUGCAUUCAUGGUUUUGCCUGGCCAAGAAUUUGAGCCAGCUGCUUGGUAGUCUAAUGUGUUUCUGCAUUUGUAAUCUAAGUAUGAUUAGAAAGCCAUUGCCUUUAGCUUUUUGUAUCGCAUGGUUCUAUCAACGAUAAACUCUCUAUCAUGCAUGCAAAAGAUGAUGAUUUCACUACGCAGUAAACCCAUGGUAGCUCAACAACUGGUUGUGUGCUUUAUAGCAUUUGGUUAAGUUAAUCCUCUCAUAUCAGUUUCAUGCAUGCUAGAACCUCUGUAGUUUCAUCGAUCUUGCUUCUUAUGAAUUCGUUGCAACUUCUUAACUCGAUUUGUGAAUUGGGGAUGUACCUGUGGUUCUUGAAUCCAGAGCUAUCGGACUAAUGGUUUGUAGUAUGAAUUGGCUGUUUCGGUUAACUUGAUUGUGCAAAUUGGUUUACAUACAGAUCAAUGGAUCGCUUGCAAGGAGGGCAAUCAGGGAACUCAUGGCAAAAGGAUUGAUCAGGAUGGUGUCUGCACAUUCAAGCCAGCAGAUUUACACUAGGGCUACAAACGCCUAGGUUUUCAACGUCUUAGCACCUUGAAUGUUCCCCCAGAGAUGGAAUCAGUCGGUAGUUUCUCAGAGUUGCUGAGUUAUUGCUUUACAUGUAUGGAGUGAUAUGCGGGGAAUUUUGGUCUUAAUGUACACCUUGAAUGUUUGGAAUUUACCAUUUUUGUUCGAUGAGGUUAGUACAUCUUUGGGUUGGGAAUGGCAAAUCCUAUGAAUUAGGAAUGACAAUGGGUUGAGUUUUGAAUAUGGGAGGUCGUUCCCAUGUUCAUUACUGGGUUGUUGGUCAAGCAAGUUUGAUCCAAAUUGGUUAAUGACCUACUAGGUGUUCGAUUGCGAAUCGAGUUAUCUUGUAUGAAUUGUUUUCCUUAUCGAACAUGCCAAGUUGCCAACUUGUCAUCCUUAGAUGAUUCAAAUGCUACGGUUAAAUUCACAUCAAAAUAACCUAAACGAACAAACGAUUCUAAUCUAACAAAGGGGUUGCGGGCAGAUGACUCGAAUUACACUUCUAGAUUUCUGUUCCGCAAAUAACCAAACCGAAUGAUGAAGCAUGUUGACUCAGGGCCGGCCCAGCCCAGCCCAUCUCCGGCCAAAAACUCGCUUCUCCCGUAAACCCCCAAAUUUUAUUAUUUUGAGAAAGUAAACCCCAAUUUCGUAUUACCUAAAGAUAGCCUUUCACCUUCUUCUCCGAGGCGAUUUUGUUCACUUGCAGUUCUUCGAUUCACUACCUCCACCACCAGAUGGCCCGUAUCGCCGUCGCUAGGUCUUGUCGACUGAAGCCAAGGCUGUAUCCAACUCUUCUCACCACACCCGCUGAACUAGCCUCCGUGGAUCCUCCACCUCACGUGCCUAAACCUCCGCCGAAUCAUGAAUCUUCUGAGAAAAUAACGCUGCUGUUGAUGUCCUCAAGGGAAUGAUUGGGCUGAGCAUACCAACAGAGGCAGGGCAUUUUGGUGUUUUGAUAAAGAACUUGUGCAAGGCAGGAGAGUUUGAUAGGGCGGUCAAGUUGUUGGAGAAGCUUAUUGAGAAGGAAAUAAUUUUGAGGCCUCGGAGUUCUUUAGAAAUGGAAGACAGUGCGUAUAAUCCGAUCAUUCAGCAUCUAUGUGGCAAUGGACAUACAAAAAAGGCAGAAACUUUUUCAGACAGUUGAUGAAGAAGGGCGUGCAGGAUCCAGUUGCAUUCAAUAAUUUAGUAUGCAGGCAUGCAAAAGAAGGAUUUCCUGAUUCUGCUUUUGUAAUACUAGAAAUAAUGGGUCGGAGAGGUGUCCCCCGAAAUUCAGAAGCGUACGGUUUGGUGAUAGAGAGUUAUUUGACUAAAGGCGAGCCUUCUGAUGCCAAGACAGCACUGGACAGUGUGAUUGAAGAAGGGCAUGUUCCAGAUUCUGUGUGAGAAAGGCAAGACUACUAUUGCUGCUAAAAAGGUGCUGGAUUUCGCACUGGAGAGGGAUGUUCAACUCGACUUCAAAAGCUACGACAAGGUGUUGGAUGCACUCCUUGAAGCAGGGAACUCGAACUGGUUAGAUCCAAUUUUCCAUUCGGAAAUGAUGAAUGACCUACUAAGUAAGUGUCUUGUCUGCAAAGAAUCGUUUUCUUCAUUCAAUAUCGCAAAUCGUCAUCUUGAUUCUGCCCAAAUGAAUGUGGAAUGUUUUUGAGUAAUGACCAGGUGACGCGGCUAGGAAUCUGAGGGUCGCUCUUGAUUGAAUCUGAAUCGAACCCAUUUCAUAUUUCGAAAACAUCAAAGAUCACAUCUUGGUUAUUUCCCUUAUGGGAACUCGAACUAUUGUUGUUGGCAUUAUGCUUUUUGGCGUUGAAACCCCAAUGGCAACAAACCCAUGUGAAGAAAAAUGGUUACCUUUCCAAUACUUGUACGGAUAGUCAUCAUCUUCUCCUUAAUGUCGUCUUCUUCUUCUCCCCCUAUUUGAUUCUUCUCCGACAAGACCCAUCUGCCUCCAUUCUUCUUUCCGACUCCCUUGUCUUCUUCCUGUCGUCGGGGAAGGAAAUGGUGUUCUUUAAGGAGUUUUAGCCACACCACUAUCAACGCCAAUUUCACGGGACAUUCAAAUUCCGAUAUAUCUCGACCGCAAUGACGCUACAUAUAUAUUGAAUUAUUUUGUUUAUUGGUCGUGAACUCGCCUUCGAUAUCCACGCAAAUCCACCACACCAAAUCGAAGAUAAUCCAUUAAAGUUCAGAGUAACACCGUAAAUUUGUACCGACAUAUUUUAAGUGGUGCCCACUAAUAAUACCAACACAAAUAUCUACAACAUACAUCAUAAAUUACAAUUGUUCAAUCUUUAUCAAACUAUGCUGUUGGGACACGUGUGCGGCGGAGAAAGAUGUCACCAGACAUGAGUGAAUGACCAAUCACCAAAUCAGCAACUUUAGGGCUUGGAGGGAUGUCCCAAAAAAACAGCACCAGCUUCACUCUUCCCGCAUUAUCGGAUUAGUACAUCAAUUCCCUAAUAGCAAGCCAACAAGCUCGUGUGUCCUUGUCACUCACUCAUUGCACCACCCACCAUUCCAACUAUAGCUUCAUACAUACCCUUCUUAGUGUCACGGAGUCGGAUAAAUCCGAUUAAUUUGGGGGAUUCCAGGUAUCAGUCUGAUGGAGUUUAUCGUUGGUUUUGCUAAUACAUUAUUGUGUAAAUAACUGGAAUGGAGGACGUAUAGAUGAUAUUACUAGUGGAAUUUGUACCAUCCAACCUAAAGAAAUUUAGGCGAUCCAUAGGAAUAAGUUGAAGUCUUGUGGGGAAUAGAACUAACCAUUUGAAUCAAAAUUUUGUCUUUCAAGAAACAAAAUAUGCAACAUUAUUCUUAUCAAAGUAGAAUGAUUAGGGUUUGUGAGAUUUGGUAGAGGCAGAGAGGUCAUGUGGGCCUAGUGAGAAGAAGGCACAUGAUGGUGGGCUUUCUCUAUGACAGUUUUGAAUGAGAGCCGUCCGUUUUGAGUUUAGGCAACAUGUGUGUCCAAACUCUUAAAUUUACAAUCGAUAAUAGUUUGUUUUUAUUUGUACGGAAAUAAAAAGAUAACAAGUACACAUAAUAAUUAUUUAUAUUGAUAAUAAUACUUAUAAGAGAUAUCUAAGAGUAGUAAGACGUGUCACUGAAUGGACGGUUUUGUUAAUUACAUGAUUGACGAGUAGUGUGAAGACAGAUGUUCGGCAUGAUUGUCAGGUGGUCCCGGAUCUCUUUGAUGAUAUCAGACGUGUCACUAAAUGGACGGCUCUCUUACGUGACCGACGAACAGUCUGAAAACGAGUCUCGGACGCGGGGGCGAGGAGUUGGAUCUCUCACUAGGUUGUUGAUGAAUCCGUAAAAACAUAAGUGGUGCGUAGCACCUCCGACAAAAGUGCGAGCAAUUUGAAGUUGAAGCAUCAUAUAUGAUAUCGGUACCCGCUUCCUGAAGUCGUAAGAUCUUCAACAUCAAUAUAGUUGGUUCUUCAUCUUAUUACUUCAUAUAUCUUGUACGAUCAUUUAUAGCGAAGGGCUUUGUUCUCUAAUGUUGGAUCAUGGAUGUAUAGUAACCCUAUUUUUGUAUCCAUGAAUAUUAAUCAUGAGUUGAAUUCGUUUAUAUAACUCAUAAGCAAGUUAUGAACAAUGAAAUGCAUAUUAAGAUGGUGAUUUUUUUUUCAAUUACAGAGAACAAUCCAAUAGUUGAAACGAUUCAACUAAUAAGCUCAACUCCAAUCUUUACUCUAAAUAAAAAGUUUAAUUGUAGUAACUAACAGUCCAACUCAUAUUCUGGAAUUGUUUACGGUGGAGAUGAGCUAUGGUGUCGUUUUCAAUUGCCCCUUUCUCUCUGCAAAAUCCAUGCAACAGUCUCACAGCUAUAUAGUCAAUCAAUUUCCUUUACUACUUCUCCAAUGCUUGUCAAUUUAAAGAAAGAAAUACCAAUAACUCCAAAUUGCAGGAUUUCUCGUGAUUUGCAGCAGCUCACAUGGCUUUCCUCCUAUAAAGGAAAGGAAAAGGAAGAGCCAUUGAACCCUUCACAAACCCUCUCAGAGAAUUCACGCAUUUCCAUCUCUUGUUCACAUUCAAUAAAAGAGUUCGAUUCUUCUUCCAUUCCGUUUCAGUAAAAGAAUUGAGGUAAGUUUUUUAAAGUUGUAGUGUCCUUAUGAACUUCUGUAUUCUGGGUAUGGAUCAAAUGAAACGUACCUAGAAAAGGUUGUUUCACCAUUUCUUGUUUCUAUCGAUCCAUUCUGCCUAGUGUUCAGUCAGUUUCUCCAUUUUCAUGCCAUUUAACAAUUUUGAGCUUGUGGACUCUCUGUGUAAGUUAAAGUUGUAACCUUUAUGAACUUCUGCAAUCUGGGUACGGAUGGAGGAGCAAUGCAGAACCAAGAGCAGUUUCACCAUUUUUGUGUUUAAAUUUAUUUCGUUUUGUUUUCUCACUCACUUUAUGUAAUCUGCACUUUAACUCAAGUUUCUUCGUUUUUAGAGCUGAUUUUUUUUUUCUAUCUGGGGAUUCGUUCCCUUUGCCUUAAAUCUUCGGACCCGUGAUCCAAUUUUCCACUUCUGGGUUUUUAGGCUCAGAGCUCUUCUUCCUCUGCAGAUGGGUUCCUGCUGCGUGGCGUUGGAAGCCAGUAACCUUCUGGUGAACAGAGAGCUGAGGAUUUCACACUCGCCGAAUGAUCCUUUCACUCGGUUGAAGUUUGAGAAGAAGCAGAAGAAGAGCAUCAAUAAGUCGAAAUCUCGUUUAGUCUCUUCAGUCUUGACUUCCAGUAAUGGCAGAGGAACUGUGGUAAGUUAUGAUCCAAGCUGUUUCUCUUAGUGGUCCUUUCAGUUUCUUUUUGUAAUGGAUGGUCAUUUAUUGUUGAUUGAUGGAGUCUGACGGAUUGAACAUUCAUGAGCAACUAAACUAAGUUCAAACCUUAUACGGGGUCACGGGGUCAGUAGUUUGGCCGAACUAAUCAGUUUUGUCCGUGUCGGUAGAUGGUUUGGGUUAAUCUGGUAGCUUGUUUCUGAUCACCGUAAUUGGUAUCAUCACACAACAUAGUAGUUGAUAUCUCUUAGCUUGGCAUCGCCUCAGACAUACUCUUCUCGCAAAGGGGAGCUGGGUUAACAAAUCCAUGUGUUCCUGCGUUCGUAUUUUUGUUCGUGAUUGCGUUUUAUUCCAUACAAUGUAGACCUUACAACCAGAGCCAAGGCCAGAUAGGAACAGAGUGGAUCCAAAAGAUGUGGCUUCCAUAAUACUGGGAGGAGGUUCUGGUGCUCAGCUGUUUCCUCUAACCAAAAGGACUGCAACUCCAGCUGUAUGUCUGUGUUUUAAUUUUCUCCAUAACAAUGAGAUUUGGUUAUGGUUUUUUACUUGGGCUUUUGUUUCUGUAUGGUUUUGAUCUUACUAGGUACCAAUAGGAGGAUGCUACAGGCUGAUUGAUGUGCCUAUGAGCAACUGCAUCAACAGUGGGAUCAACAAGAUCUUCGUCCUUACCCAGUUCAACUCGACAUCCCUCAAUAGACACAUAGCUCGCGCCUACUUUGGCAACGGCAUCAACUUCGGAGACGGAUUUGUUGAGGUUCUGGCCGCCACUCAAACCGCCGGACAAGCAGGAAUGAAGUGGUUCCAAGGAACUGCAGAUGCUGUCAGGCAAUUUACAUGGGUGUUUGAGGUGAAAUAAUUUCGUCGAAAAAUAAACCGCAAAGAUCCUCUCUUUCUAUACCGAAGACUGAUUAUUUUUCCUUAUCCUUGGUCGUAGGAUGCCAAGACCAGGAACGUAGAGAACAUCAUAAUCUUGUGCGGCGAUCACCUUUACCGUAUGGAUUACAUGGACUUCGUUCAGGUAAAAAUCGAUCUUAACAUUCUUCAUGCUCUAAUGUUUUACGGCAAGACCGGUUUUUUCACAAUGUGCAUGAAAACAGCACCAUGUUGAUAGCAAUGCGGAUAUCACCAUUUCGUGUGCUGCUGUGGGCGAAAGGUACGGACUUCAUCUUCGUUCUUCUUUGCUUUGAUAUGUUCUUUACGUUCCGGUCUAAAUGUUCUUUUGGUGGAUUGGUUCUGCAGCCGUGCAUCAGAUUACGGAUUGGUCAAGUUAGACAGCAAAGGUAGAAUUAUCCAGUUUGCUGAGAAACCAAAGGGUGCUGACCUAAAAUCAAUGGUGAGUUCUGAUUUCUAAAUCAGGAUACUAACUUCGUUGCGGGAAAGUGAUUUGUGUUAUAUUUGGCAGCAAGUGGAUACGACUCGGAUAGGUUUGACUCCGCAGAAAGCGAAGCAGUCGCCAUUUAUCGCUUCGAUGGGAGUUUACGUGUUUAAAACCGACAUGCUGUUGAAGCUCCUGAAGUGGAGGUUUCCUACAGCAAAUGACUUUGGCUCUGAGAUCAUCCCUGCAGCAGUUAUGGAGCAUGAUGUCAAUGCAUACAUCUUUCGAGACUACUGGGACGAUAUUGGAACGAUCGAUUCGUUCUACCAAGCUAACUUAGCUCUCACCGAAGAGGUAAGGAUUUCCAACAAAUCGAUUGAUUUGUUCGUGGGGUUGAAGAAAUUAUAACCUGUUAACUGUGUGUGCAGCCUCCAAUGUUUGAGUUUUACGACCCUCAAAAACCGAUUUACACAUCUCCAACGUUCUUGCCGCCAACCAAGAUCGAUCAAUCUCGGGUAUGCAACUUGGAUCGGAGCUUGAUAUAGUGUUGUUGCUUUCUCGUUGAUGUAUUCAUCUGUCGGUUCUUUGUUGCAGAUUGUAGAUGCAAUAAUCUCCCACGGUUGUUUCUUGAGAGAUUGUUCUGUCCAGCAUUCGGUUAUUGGUGAGCGAUCUUGUCUGGAUUCUGGUGUUGAGCUAGCGGUGAGUUUGCCUGAAAUAUGUUCUUAAGAGCAUUUUUUCCCGAUUUCACAACGAGAUGCAUGAAUGGCUCUCAACAUCUUUGAUCUCCAUUUUUUUACAGGAUACUGUGAUGUUAGGAGCAGAUUACUAUCAAACCGAAGCUGAAAUAGCAUCUCUUCUGGCAGAUGGAGGAGUCCCAAUUGGCAUAGGGAAGAACACCAAAAUCAGGUAAAGAAAUCAACUUUAACUUUUGCAACUUAGACAAAUGAUCGUCCCGAAUCUGAAAUGAAUCCGACUCUUGCAGGAAGUGCAUUAUCGAUAAGAACGCGAAGAUAGGGAAAGACGUGAUGAUCGUCAACAAAGAUGUAAGUUCUCAGCCAAAAAUUGUCUUUCUCUGUCAUGCCGCCUGUUAUCUGAACGAAAGCUGUUGCCUUGCAGGGUGUAGAAGAAGCUGACAGGCCAGAACUAGGGUUCUACAUUCGAAAAGGGAUCACCAUUGUAGCAGAGAAGGCGACAAUCGAAGAUAGAACUGUCAUAUAAAACAUAAAUCCACACUUCGACAGUUAGAAAAAUGGUUCCAAUUCAGAUAUAUCGCUGCAGAUGGUUGAAACCCAGAAACAGAAGACACAAACUGCAACAUCAUCUACAUGUAACGUAAAAGAAACGAAGCUUCUUCCUUCUCACAUAAAAGUUGGGAUCUUUUCGGUCCUACAAGUCAAGUUAGAAGAGCAGAACUAUAGUAAAGGCAGCUUUUCAUAGUUUAUGUCGAUAAAAAGUUGUUUAAGAUUAGCCUUUCUGGAAAAGUUGGUAUCUUCGUGUAUGGGAUAUGAACAAUAAGUUACAUAACAAGACUGCAGAAUCUUGUACUGUUACCUCUUUUUUCAGAUGGAUAAUGUAAUAUUAUUAAUACUAACCAAACCAGUUAAACUUGAAUCAGCCAACGGGCUGAUAAUCACACUUACAAACAGAUCCUACGAAACAAAGAGAUUCAGUGGGCAUGGAAUGGCAAUUUAUUGCACAAAGAUUGUCCAUUUCCAUUGCUAACUCCAUAAUAGAACUAGCAUUUUGGUUGAACUGCAAGCCGACUUGAAAUCUCCAAAGCAUUGCUCUCGUAGAUGAACAAUUCACAAAGGCAACUGUGAGAUUAUGGUUCAGGUACAUACUUGUUGGAGCUGUACACUUAAUGUGAUCCUUUCUCGAACAGAGCAAUUCCUGAUCUUGAUGAUGACGAAUCACAUUGCGAAGUUUCGAACACGUAAGCUGCAUUGUUGAGUUCUUAAUGCACUUAGCUUGCUUUGUUAAUUCCACAGACUUAAGUUUUUGGGAUAGAUCUCUUCUCAAUAGCCCUUGGUACUCCAAACUAUAAGACAUCCCCUUUUCCUGAACUCACAAGGUUGAAAACCAGUCAUGGCCUUUCCCAUGAGUGCCAUAGCAGCUAUACUCGGAAACUGCUUCUCCGGUACUUCACCUGAUGUUCCCUUUCCGACUCGAGAUUCGCUAGCCAUCACACAAUCAGCUUUCCUUCUCAGGGAAGAAGCAACUGGGUUACGAGACCAUCGUCGAAUCCAAGGAUGCGAGUGGGCUUCGACGACGUCAUGAGCUUUCUCCUCAGAAUCGGUGGAAGUAGAUUCAGCAUUCCUUUCUGACAAUACUGUAGUAGGGCAAUCAAAUCCCGGAAGAUCAUUUCCAAUGGGAUCACUUAUCAUUUUGGUGAAGACUCCAUUCACUUUUCCAUGAGAGGCUUCCCCUAAGUCUGAACCUUUAGAACCGUAGGUGUAGGGCAAGAGUGCUGGAGCACUUGGCUUGAGACGUCUUACCCAUCUACUACAUGGAUCGAGCCUGACAGGGUCGGGACAAGCCCUUGACUUCAGAUUUCUGGAGUUUCCAGGAUGAGUGAGCAAGCAUUCCACAUCCAGACUUUGUGUUAUUGACGUGCUCGUCUCCUUAUCAUCUGCUGUCCCAGAUACAUCAGGAUGUAGACAAACCUCUUUGUUUAUAUCGGGUAACAGCUUUUUCACCAUUCUACCCGUAACUUCUUGGCCGACUGAAGCGAUUAGAUCUUGAGAUAUAGGUGAUGGUAAAUUUACCUUACUUGAUGGACGUGAAGCCAAACCUGAAAACAAAACAUCCACAAAGCUUCCUCAGUAUUUGAACAUAGAACAUCCUUGUAGUCUUCAGUGAUAGAUAUCAUACUUCAUAUCCAUACUAAUGGGAGUCGAUAAUAUAAUAUUCGCAAUAAUGGACGUACCAAGAAGUUGGUUAUGUCUGGCAGCAUCGAUGUCCAUAGUGUUGGUCUCGGAGGAUGAUCCGUUCUUUGAAUCAUGUAGGAAACUCUUGAUAGUUUCAGUGUCUUCUUUGCCCUCGCAUUCUGCGGAACUGUCAAGUUGUUGCAGCUUCACUCCUUGGUUAUUACGAGAGUGAUCAUCAGGUUUUAAACCGAACAAUUCACAUAACGAUUUUCCUUUGAACUUUGUGGAUACUGACGACUGUUGGAACAUCUGACCUUCAUCCAUAUCAGUCUUCUUUGUGAUGAAAAAGUGGUGAGUUGUAUGUGAAACCUUUGCACAACCGGCAGGAAAUUCUGUGAUGGAAUCGACAGUUGUACGUAUUCUCAUAGCCUGCACACCGUGUGCAGAAGAAGAGGGCAUUCCUGUUAUACUGUGAGAGCUACGAAAUGCCUCUUCGGUAGGGCCACUCUGGAAGGGAAAAUGAUCCGGAAGAGGCAUCAUCUCAGCAGCAAAGCCUCUUGAUUCAUUCUUGCUGGUUGAAGAGUCAUGCACCGAAAGAGCUCCACCGAAACUGAUCUUGUUCGAGCGAUCCCAAGAUGAAUUUCCCGCUUGAUUCGAAUUGUCUUCUACACGGGAAGCACAUUGCACUCUAUUCCUCCUGCUGUCAAAUUCAUAUGGAACAACCUGAGGACUGGCACCCGAAAGGUAGCCUCGUGAAGGAAAAACACCGACCCCAUUCCUCUGAGGUAGAAGUGGAGUUCCCAUUUCGCUGUUACCAACCAAUGCAGCAGAACCAGGCAAGUGGCUCUCAACUCUACUCGAAGAAGCAUCCAACCGAGAAAUAUCAACUCUCUUUUUCACUGGAGGCAAAGCAAUCUCCUCGUCCAGCGAAACACCUAGCAUGAGAUAAGGCUGACCUUCAGACGGCUCGUUCCUUAACCUCUCCAACCCGUCCCUCGUACUCGUACUACUCCCACACACAAAAUCUGCCAUCUUCCGCUUCCCCACAUCUCGAUACCGGUCUCCACCCUCGGAUCCUUUCCCAGAAAGAUCAAAUAGACGGUGAUACUUCACUCCAUGAUGAAUCUCUUCACUCACCUCAUUAGUCACUGAAGUUGCUGCUGCUUCAUUUCCCACCCUACAAUUCCUACCCAACCAAUGACCAAUCCAUGAAGACUGAGACCCACCACUUCCAGACAUCUCAUCCUUCCCGUUCGACAUUACAACACUGAAAAUUCAAGUCAACACAGUAACAAAAGGAAAAAUUCAUCAUCUGUCACCUGAAAGAUGCAAAAUUUAACCAACCCAAAAUUCUGAAAGCUCAAACAAUGACAGAAAAACAAAACAAAUCCAUGCAGAGAAAAUGAAAACCCAGAUUCUAAAUUCUCUCUCCAUCUACUGAUAGAGCUAACGAAGUCAAAUCCCAGUCCCACAAACAUUUAAAUGAAGCUACCGCUUACCUGAAUGGAUCGAAGAGAAGAUGGAAUUAUUCUUCCCUACAACUUUCGGGAGGAUAUGAAUUCCUAAUUCAGCUUCUGAAUCGGAUGAGAAAGAAGAGGAAAUGAAUCCAUGGCUGAACCAGGCGUGAGAGCUUGAGCUGCUCCCUGGUACCCUUUUUUGUUCUGGUGUCUUUUUGCUUUCUCUUCAGUUUCUUUUUGGAUUAUGACUAAAAUGGCCCCUAUACUAUUACAAAUUAACAAUUGAGCCCUUAUAUUAUUUUCUUUCUAAUCAAACUCCUACAUUUUUCUCAAACCAUCAAAUAAGCCCCUUCUUGUUUUUUUGGCAAUUGUGAUGAUUUAACACGUCCAGUUGAACGUUUUGCUAAUGUGACAUUUAUUGAUUUUUAUUAAUUAUUAAUUAGUUAGGUUUUAAAUUUAACAAAAAAAAUAUUAUAAAGAAAAAAUAGAGUGGGAGAAAAAAGAGUUGUAGGCCGAUUAGAAUUAAACAAUCCAUCUCCUAAACAAAAUAAAAUUAUAUUUUUUAUACUUCUCCAAAUAAAAUCAAAUAAUUCUCUACAAUAAAAGAUCAAACUUUUUGAAAAAAAUUUUCUUAAACGUGUAAACAAGAAAUAUGAAUUUUUUUUUAUAAUCUGCUUCAAUUGACAAACACAUAUCAUGGUGCCAAUUGAAGCAAAUUAUAAAAAAUAAAUUCAUAUUUUUUAUUGAAACGUUCAAGAGAAAUUCUUUCAGAAAGUUUAAUUUUUUAAUCGUAGAGGAUUAUCUAAUUUUAUUUGGAGGAGUAUAAGAAAAAAUAUGAUUUUAUUCCUUUUCAGGAGAUGAAUUGUUUAAUUCUAAUCGGCUUAUAACUCUUUUUUCUCUCAUCCUAUUUUUUCUCCAUAAUAUCUUUUUUUUGUUAAUUUUAAAACCUACUUAAUUAAUAAUUAAUAAAAAAUCUCAAUCAACAAGUGUCAUGACAGCAAAACGUUCAACUGAACGUGUUAAUUCAUCACAACUGCUCGAAAAAAAAGAAGGGACUUACUUGAUGGUUUGAAAAAAGUGUAAGGAUUUGAUUAGAAGGAGAAAUAACAAAAAAGUUCAAUUGUUAACUUGUAAUAAUAUAGGAGCCAUUUUGAUUAUAAUCCCUUUUUUCUUUGACCUCUCCUUUAUUGUGAAUUUUUAAUUUUAUUGUUAUAAGUAAUAAUUGAUGGGCUCUCAGACAGCCACAGAUGCGGAGGGCCCACCAAUUAGAAGAAUGGGCCCCCAUUUCCCACUUGCAAUUAUGGGGUCAUUUCCGAUUUUUUUUCCCCGUGAAGAGAUAUUUUCUCGUACUAAAAAAUAUGCUUUUAUUGGAUUUCAAAAAGAAAAUUGCUUUUAUUUUUCUUCAUACGUUGUACCUCGACGGUAUGGGCAUGAGGGACACCGGAUCACUUUUCUUUUUGGGAUAUUUGUGGAUAUUUAUCAAUAUGGAUCGGUAGAUUUACGAUCGGAAGUAAUGUUAGAUUGAUAUUACAAUUUGUUUUUAUUUGAAUUCGAAAUAGAUUAUGAUUAAAAAAAAUAUUCAUAGUGAUGUAUGUAAUUCCUAGUUUCAUUGGUAUAAUGGCAAGUACCAAGCUAUAAAAGGAUCAUCUCAGGGAUAUUUUUUCGAAAUAAAUUGUUUGAUAUUAAUUGUGAGGUAUUUUUUCUUUUUAGUGAUUAAAAAUCCACAAACAAAAAAAUAAUUGAUAAUAUUUUUUUUUUGGGAGGAGACAAAACUUUAAUUCAUUAAAAUUCGAGGUAUUGAAUUUGGUUAGAGCGAUCAGAUAUAAAUUGUGAUAGUGUGAUAAAUCUAUAUAAAUCUACUUAAUUAAGAUGGAAAAUGAGUAACGGUAAUUAUUCACUAAACUACACCAAAAAUGGAUAGUUUAUAUAAUCUUUAGAUGGUAAUGUUUGAAUUAAACUUAAAUUUAGAUGGAUAUUUGUUAUUUUGAAACUCGUUAACAAGCUCAUUAUCACUUUAACCAGAAAGUCAUGAGUUUCAAUAUUAUUAUUUUUUUUUUGGGAGGAGACAAAACUUUAAUUCAUUAAAAUUCGAGGUAUUGAAUUUGGUUAGAGCGAUCAGAUAUAAAUUGUGAUAGUGUGAUAAAUCUAUAUAAAUCUACUUAAUUAAGAUGGAAAAUGAGUAACGGUCAUUAUUUGGCCACAAUAAAAAAUUGUCAUCUCAAAAGAAUUUGUACUUGAAGUAGGAAUAAAGUUAAGAUGAAUUAAACCGUUUGAAAAGUGGCAUAAGUAAUCGAGUCUCAAAUGAUAUCAAAAUAGUUUAAAAAUUUAUGAAUGUUAAAUAUACAUACCAUUUUGUCAAUAUGAAAACUGAAGAGUGACCUACAUAGUAAUUCUAGAUCGAUGACUGAACACCUCUCAUGUUUGUAAUUUUUCCUCGUUCGAUAUAAAAGACAUCAACCGAAAUAUAAUCUUCAGAAAAACCCUAAACCCUUUACUCCCAACUGCGCCACGGCAAAUCUCCAGCCAUGGGUAAGGUGAAAGGUAAGCAUCGUUUGGACAAGUACUACCACCUCGCCAAGGAGCACGGCUACCGUUCCCGUGCCUCGUGGAAGCUCGUCCAGCUCGAUUCCAAGUUCAAGUUCCUCCACUCUUCCCGCGCCGUCCUCGAUCUCUGCGCCGCCCCCGGAGGAUGGAUGCAGGUCGCCGUCGAGAAGGUCCCCGUUGGGAGUCUGGUGCUAGGUAUCGAUUUGGUGAGGAUCGCUCCUCUCCGUGGCGCGUUAUCGAUCGAGCAGGAUAUUACCAAGUCCGAGUGCAGGUCGAAGAUUAAAAAGAUUAUGGGGGAUAAUGGGGUGAAGGCGUUUGAUUUGGUUCUUCACGAUGGUUCUCCCAAUGUCGGCGGUGCUUGGACGCAGGAGGCCAUGUCGCAGAAUGCUUUGGUUAUCGAUGCACUGAAGUUGGCUACACAAGUGUUGGCUCCCAAGGGGAAUUUCAUCACUAAAGUGAGCUUGCGUUUUUUGUUACUGUUUGAAAAUUUUGGAAUGCGAGAUCAAGGAUUAGGAUGGUUUUUAUCCGCUUAGUUGCUAAUUUGCUAUUGAUGCUAUUAUAUGAGUCAUUGGUUGGUUGGAACUUACAAGUUAGUGAUGAUUCGUUGGAAGUGUUAACCUUGAUGCCCAUGUGGUUUUCGUUGUUGUAGGUGUUCAGGUCACAAGAUUACAGUGCGGUUAUCUACUGUUUAAAUCAGGUGAAUGACAAAAUUAAAGAUGGGGGUAGAGCGUAGAUCGUUUGCUUAUCAUGUGGUUCUGAUUAUCUUACUUGUGCUUUCAGUUCUUUGAGAAGGUUGAGGUUGAUAAACCAUUAGCCAGUCGUUCAGCGUCUGCAGAAAUAUUUGUGCUGGGGCUUAAGUACAAAGCACCUGCAAAGAUUGACAAUGACCUGCUCGAUAUUAGGAAGCUGUUUGCGCAUGUUGAUACACAAAGAAAGGUAGCUGUGAAUUAGAGAUGUUCAGUAUUUUCAUUUUAAUCGUCCUUGAAACCGUCUUUUUAGUUUGAAGUAUAUUCGCAUUCUUGUCUGAAUAAAAUUCUUAAUUGCAGCCUCUAGAUCCCCUCAGAGGAACAAAGCAAAAACGUCAUCGUGACGGGUAAGGAAAUCUCAAUUUAUCUGGCUGUUUAAUUUGUGCAAGGAACAUUCAGAAUGUAGUUCAAAUGUGUAGUUGCUGGGUGCCCAUAUAAAAUCUCACUGACUUCAAUUUUUGUUUGGAAAAUUUCAGUUAUGAAGACGGACAGUCUAUGAUCCGGAAAGUCUCAUCAGCUGCAGAUUUUAUCUGGUCCAACACCCCUCUUGAUGUCCUUGGCUCAGUUACUUCAAUCACCUUUGAGGACCCUGUAUCCUUGCCGAUAAAGGAUCAUGAGUUGACAACGGAAGAGGUGUCAUAGCUAUGCUUCCUUUGGUAGUCCACUUUGUGGGUGCUUUUCCUGAGUGAUCUUCAUUUGAAUAAUUUCUUCUAUGGCCAGGUCAAAGCCCUUUGUGAGGAUCUUCCUGUGUUGGGGAAGCAAGAUUUCAAGCAUCUUCUCAAGUAAGAUUUCAUGUUUAUUGAAAAAAAAUUAUCACAUCAGAAGGAACAUCUUUGUACAAUGAAGCAAAAUAGAGGAAUUUUUGAAUUAAAUCUAAGUUUCUUCCGAACUACCAUGCUGUGCUUCAAACUUAUCCUUUUCAAUUUAUGUAUCAUGCAGAUGGCGGAUGAAUUUAAGGAAGGCGCUGUCCCCUUCUGAAAAAGCUAGCUCUGCUGCUGCUGCUGACAGUGAGGAAAAGAAAGAAUUAGAUGAAGACGAUAAGAUGCUUAAUGAAAUGGAGGAGUUAACAAAGGCUAUGGAGCGGAAGAAGAAAAGAGAGAAGAAAAUAUCUGCUAAAAGACGGGAAAAGGUUAGUAAACUCUCGAAUCUACGAAAAGACGGGAAAAGGUUAGUAAAUAUCUGCUAAAAGACGGGAAAAGGUUAACAAAGCCUGUUCAUGAAGGCUUGCAAACUCUCGAAUCUACUAGCCAUCAGAUUAUGUGAAUAGGCCUGCUUCUUGCAGUAGUUCUUUAGUUAAUAAGGUCUCCAAUAUGAGGUUUUUUUCGCUGACAUUGAUGUUGUUAAUUUAAUUCCUGUUGUAUUCUCAGGACAAGGCCCGGAAAGCAUCUGGAGGAAUGCCAAUGGAUGUACAUGAAGAUGGUGGCUACACUGAUAUCGAGUUAUUUUCUCUUGCAUCAAUUAAGGUUAGUUAAAUACUUAACACAUUUCUCGUACGCUUUCCCUGCGUGUAAACUUUUUUCGAAUGAGGUCUCAAUGCAUGCCUCUUCUCAGCCAACUGCUGAAGGCACGACUAACCCUGAUUUUGAUUUGUAACCACUCAGGGAAAGAACGAUUUGGUUGCUAUAGAUAAUGAUGAGAAUGGUGACGCGAGGGAUAGUGACGAGGAGGAAAACCCUGACAAUGAUGCUCGGGAGUCAUCUGCCGAUUCAGAUUCGGAUGCAGAGCGUCAAAAGUAACUUUCAAUCCUUAUGUAUCUUCAAUCAAUCGAUAAGCAACUGUUUAUUAUAAUUACUCGUGUGGCUUUUUGUGUGUAGAUAUGAUGCUACAAUGGAGGACUUCCUCGACAAUCUCUAUGAACGGUUUGUAACCAAAAAGGAAGGAAGUACAAAGCAGAGGAAACGUGCAAGGCAAGCCUACUCCGAGCAGCUCUUGGAUGGGGAGAACGACAAUAUGGAGCACUCAGAUUAUGAUUCGGACAGGGAGCCGGCCGAUCGCGAAGCAAAUCCUCUCAUGAUUCCACUCAACGACGGCGAAGAACCGACAAAAGAAGAAAUUGCAAACAAAUGGUUCGCUCAGGAAAUAUUCACCAAAGCUGCCGAGGAAGAGGAUCUGGUCAUGUCUGACAGCGAGCAAGAGGAUGCCCCCGCGACGGAGGCCGCUGUGAUGGAGGUAGAUAAGAAGCAGCAAGAGAAACGGGUUGCUCCCAAGAAGGCUGCGGUAAAAACUAGUGAACCCGAUUUUGAGAUUGUUCCUGCCCCUGAAACUGAUUCUUCUGAUUCGUCCUCGGACGAAUCAGAAGACGACAGCAUCGAGAAGAAGGCCGAGAUACUGGCGUGUGCGAAGAAGAUGCUGAGAAAGAAACAAAGAGAGCAAAUGCUCGACGACGGGUACAACAAGUACAUGUUUGACGACGAGGGCUUGCCUGGGUGGUUCCUCGAGGAAGAGAGGAGGCAUCGCCAGCCUGUCAAACCGGUCACCAAGGAGGAGAUGAACGCAAUGCGGGCCCAGUUCAAAGAGAUCAACGCACGGCCCGCUAAGAAGGUGGCCCAGGCCAAGGCUCGAAAGAAGCGUGCCGCCAUGAGGAAGCUGGAGAAAGUCAAGAAGAAGGCCAACGCGAUCUCAGACCAGACCGAGAUUUCCGAGCCCUCGAAGAGCAAGAUGAUCGAUAAGCUGUACAAGAACGCUGCUCCAAAGAGGCCGAAGAAGGAGUAUGUAGUUGCGAAGAAGGGGGUCGCUGUGAAGGGUGGCAAGGGGAAAGUUGUAGUGGAUCGGAGGAUGAAGAAGGACGUCCGUGGAGUUAGCAAGAAAGGCAAAGGUGGCUCGAAGAAGAACGGUGGUAAGGGCCAGAAAGGCGGUAAUGGCGGUAAAGGAUCUGCAAGCAAAGGCGGUAAACCGAGACCCGCUGAUAAGGAAACAAAGAGAGGAUCUGCUCGACCGAGGUCGUUUUGACAAAUCUUUUUCUUAAACCUUCACUAGAAGGAUGAGUUGUUGCUAAUCCAGUUUUGUGCUUUUUUUUUGUUUUCAUUUCCCUUCUGAAAAACUUUGCAGUAACGUUAUAUCUUUGAACACACUUUCAGUAAUGAAGUUCAAUUGAUCUAUCUUAUACCUUGCUUUCUUAGGAUUUCCAAACCGAAUGGAACCCUGUAGGCAGUUGGUCUGAGCCGUGCAUCGAUCUUCUGUACACCUUGUCCCGGUGCUCCAGACUAAACUAUUCAGCCGAGCGAACCUAUUGUUGAUAUUGAACUAUCUGCCCGGACCUGGAUCCGUUUGCCCUUCUUCCUCCGACCUGGCUACCUAACCAACCAACUACCAGUAGUACAUCUGAAUUCAUUUGUCCUUCCUACCUGACAACUACCAGUACUAGUACUUACAUAAUAAAUUAUGGUUGAUUACAAGUACAUUGGUACAAAAGAUAAAGAAAGUUUGGAAAAGUUCAGUAUGUUUAUGUAGAGGACACGAAACCAUAAGAGUUUAAGAAGGCAGAUGGGAUUUGUCUAUGGAACAUAUCUGGGGAAGCAAACUAGUGUACUAGAAAACACAUGACAUAUUGGGUGCCUGCUGUAUCAUUUCUGCGGUAGCUGUGAAACUAAAACUGAAUCUUCAACUGUAAACUGAAUGUUAAACUCGUUGAUGUACUUCUACGAUGAGAAGCUCCGGUUCAGGGACGUCAUGGAUAUGGACAAGUUGAGGUACCGGUACGAGGAUGUGGAUGAAUGUCAUACCGAAACCUUCGAUCGCGCUUAGGUUAACCAAACGCGAACUCAGGAGGGAGAAGGAACAAGAUAGUAAUAUGUUGGAAAUGCCGUCCCAGGCCCAGCAUCUCCAACACAUUGGUCAUGUCCUCGACUCUCGAGUAACAAUUCGCGUGGUUCGGCCGAGGGCGGUCAGGACCCGAAAGGAGAAAGACCAAUUUGAAGAGAUAUUGGUGGUGGAAGGGAUUGUCGUGAAGGCCGAAGAGUUUGUGAACUUUGACGUGUACAUCAACGUGGUGAACAGGACGAUAAUGAGCGCCAAGUACCGGGAGUUUGCAGGGACGUUCACCGAUAUCCCGAUGGGGGUAUAGUUCGGUAAGAAGAAGACGUUGGAGCUCGGGAUUUCAGAGGUGUUGGAGGAUUUGGAGGCGGAUCGAGACAUAUCUAUAUGGGUGACAUUGAUGCCAAGGACACAGUAGUAACAAGGUUACAUUUGAUCGGCUAAGCAUCAAGCACAACAAGAAAUGAGUCUGAGAAAAAAACCAGAGGAUAAACUGUUUGAUGUCUUUAAUUGCAAGGAAUAAUUGAAUAUCUUUAGAAUGAAAUAUUAAUAUGCUCUAGGAGCUGAUGAAAUUAUCUAUCGUUCUCAAAUUGAUCCUAUGCUUUGUGCUCAUAUGGUUUCGAAACAGUCAAAGAAACCAAAAUGGAGUCGAUUGAUAAUCACGGUUUUGAAACAGUCAAAGAAACCGUUUUCUGUUAAGAGAUCAAAGCUUUGAUUUAGAGACCUUCAAGGAUCAGAAAGGGCGAUUCAGAACUGACAUCAUCAAAUCUGCAGAGCAUGCAAAAGGGCAGGAUUAUUCAAUUUACUGUGUCAUUUUGGUUUGUCAAAGGGAUGGUUUAUAGCUUUUAAGUUAUGGAUGCUUCAUCUUUCUUUGGUGUUCUGGAUUCCUUGAUUGUUUAUUAUAACAUUUCAACAGAAUCUGGAAUAACAACAUGAGAAAAAAAGCAAACACGUAGGAUCAAGGAGAUGACAAAGUUAGAGAUGGAGAAGGAGAAGAAGAAGAAGAUACAACUAAUCAGAAGAAGAGAACGAAGUCCUGAAGCUAGUAGUAUCUACCCAUCUUCAUUUUCUGUCCAUGGUCUCGCAGUUUACUCCUCCACCAUCACAUCAACUGAGGUUGUAGAUGGUGUUGGCUUAGACUUGCUUUUCUUUUUACCUGUCGAUUAGCAAGUAAAUGUCAGUCUUGAGUUUUGUAUUAGCGAUGGCUUCAGCCUGCAUUAUUACACCUCUAUUACAGCCGGACUAAGAAAUAAAUUGGAAUCUGACCUUUUAUACGGUCUAACUGCUUCAACUUGAGUCCCCUUUUUACGUUAAACAACUUGGUGGAAAUUUUACUGCUAUCUUUAGAUGAGCCUUCACCUGCAAAAGACCAUGUACCAAACUGCAUAUUAAAUCAAGCAAGCGAUAUCAAAGCCAGACUCCUAGGACAAUCCAUUUGAGUUUAUUGGGAAACACCUACGAUCAUGAUUCUUGUUGCCAAACCUAACCUAACCAUAGUCAAAAUCUCAACCUAACUAAGCAGCGUUCUUAAUGUCAUCAACAAACAGAUUAUGGAAGAGAAAAGAGGGCUAAGCAUCAAAAACUAACAAAACCAGCAGCACUCUCACUCUCCCAGUCGUGGACAAAUCAAGUCUUUAUCACAAACCAACAACUAUGGCAGUUUGGACAGAAGUUGAUCCAAGUUAGUAUGACUUGUUCUAAACAUGUCACGAGAAUCCAAAAUCCUAUCCAAAGCGGAUGCUUAGUCCAAUUGGCUGGAUUUCUGAAUGGGGGCAGUCACUCAAAGGCUGUAACACCAAGUAAAGCACUUGAAAAGAAGUGAUUCAAGAGAAGACAACAAUAAAUACCAUCUGCAACCGCCAUCUCUACAUCUUCCAUGGUGACAAGUCCUUUUUCUACAGCUUCUUUCUGGUCCUGUAUUGUAUGUAGUAAUUAACCGCAGCCAAAAUGAAUAUUCACCUAUAAAAACCCUUUGCUUCUGCAUUAGGGAAGGACAAAAGGAACAACAUACUUACUCUGCGCCAUUUGUUCAACAGCUUGCGCUUGCGUUUACCAGAGACGGAUUGAUUCUGCUGUUUAGCCUUCAAUUUAGCGGUGAGGGGAUCUCCGUGAGCGAUUCUCUUUUUAUCUGCUAUCGCUGCCCUCUUCCUGAUUGAACUUCGCCAUUGUUCUCUAUCUUUCUUUCUCCGUUUCUCUCAGAUAAUCAUAAAACCCUAAGCGAACACAUUUUUUGGGCUUACGUAUGUAUUAUAUGUAUGUGACCAAUCCCAAUUUGGGCCUGGUUUUCAAAAAUAUUUGGGCCUCUCCAAUCAAGAAUGUUUCGUCCAAAAUAAAUAAAUUUUGAGAAUCCAACCAUAGGUUUAACCCUUACUUUCCCGAAUUGCUAUUCGCCUUUCUAAAUUAUCGACGAUGAAUGUUGGGAUCGACGGAUGAUCGUUGGGAACUCGAAUAACAAUGCUGAUAGACGGAUGAUAGUGAAUGAUAUAUUCAGAUAAUAGAAUUUAGAAUUUGUGUGCUCGAUAAAAAAAUAAUUCUGUCAUUUAUAAUAAUUAGCGUGUUUUAAAAAAAAUGGUAAGACGGUGAAUGACACGCCCCUUACCAAUAAUUUUGAAAAUGUACCAUGCUCUAGGAGCUCAUGAUUUGUGCUCAUGUGGUUUUGAAAACAGUAAAAGAAACCGAAAUGCAGUUGAUCCAUAUAUAAUCAUACUUCAGUUCUGCGUGUGAAAAUUUAUUAACCUUCUGGCCAGUGUUAACAGAUGGCAUUAGUUUCUCUACAAAAUACCAGUAACAGAAACAACUACACAUACUGGUUCAGAUACUCAUCAACACUAGUAUACUUAACAUCAGGGUAAAUUUCCGAUGCCUCCACACCGAACGAAUCCUCUAUCUCGAAGCUUGUCUGGCAUCCCUUCACCAGAAUAGAAUGGUUCAGCGCCAGCAUCACAUCUCCUGCAAACCCACAACACACACAUUUAGGACCUCCAACAACAAAAAUUGAUCUAGCUGUCUUUAUAUAUUAAAGCUACCUCUAGUGUGCUUCAGAAUCUCUUCUUCAGGAACAUACACCCUUUCCAGUUUCUUCCCGAUCUUCCUCUCCCACAGAGACGCCAGAUCGUUGAACGAGUAUAUGUUGUUCGGAGGCCUAAUGUACACAAGCUUGUUUAACGUCCGUGGAUCGUCCACUGCUCGAAUCGUAUACGUCCCGAUAUCAUCCUCCCUGUUGAAAACCGCUGUUUUUUCGUAUCGAAGAAAAAACAUCAUCAGCACAAUUGUUCUUCAGCUUAAUGAUAAACUGAAUGAAAUAGUUUCAAACAUUCCAUCUAACCUUUGGCAUUGCCGUCUCCCAAGAUGAUAACUUUAUCCCUGGGAGGGACAUCACCAGAAGGCUGAGCCAAAUUGCUGAGGAAGUAACCAGCAAAGCAGUUGCAGGAGACAUAUGUGAAUGGGAUCCCUUCAGCUUCGACAGCUCGACGAAUCUGAACCUUGACAUUGUAUGCCGAUUGCGCUGGCUCCACUGCCACCACUCGAUCCACGUCGUUCCCAAACUCCGACGGGAAGAACCUCUGGUCAGUAAGAAACAUGGAAUCAAUCAGACAACGAACUAUUUCUACAUUCAAAUGAACCAAACCCUAGUAGCAAUUCUAGAUUCGGGGAGUUUGUGUUUACCUUGACGUUUCCAGCUUCCUUAAUAGCGGCUAUGAUUUUCACCUGCUCAGUCAGCAUCCCAUGCCCGACUGUUGAAAUCACCACAUCAACUUUCUUCAUUGCGUCCACCAAGCUUCCAUGAUCAUUCAAAUCCCCCUGUACAAGUUCCGUUCAGAUUAGAAAUGGAGCGGAAAUUUUAAAUCUGAAAAAACAAAACACCUACGAUUAGGAAAUUGACGCCCAAGUUCUUCAAGCUGCUGACGAGCUUGGAUCUUCUGGGAGCUGAGAGAGUCGAUUUCCUGACAAGGGCGUAAGUCGGGUGGCCGGCUUUGGCGCUGGCUUCCACGAUGAAUUUGCCGAUGUAACCAGUUCCUCCGAUGAACAGGAUCUUGCUCUUGGUGGCGGAAGCCAUUGGUGAAAGGAAUCGAUGAAUCUUCUUCUUUGUGGAGAAUUGGGGCUGGGAGGUGAUGAUGGAUUUAUUCCUAAGGUUGACUGAUGAGCUUAUAUAGUUGAAAUGUGGGAAAGAAUAUAGUAAAGGUGGUGAUUUUGGACGACGACGACGAACGAGAAAAGAAGAUUCCGGCGGCUGUUGGCAAUGGAGGGAAAUGAGAUUGGUUGCCAUUGUUGACCAUCGUAAGCAAACAACCCCACUGGUUCCGAACCCGCGGUUUGUUGUUAAAGCCGGUUUGGUUUGAUUUGGCUUGACACUUUGGGUCAUGAGCGGUUAGGAGAUUCGAACUCGAAAUUUUCCGUUCGUGAAAACUAGGGAUAAGACUAGUUUUCAAAACUCAUCUCCGUGCACAUAAUGUCUCGAAUACCCAAGCACAAUCGGUUAAUGCAUCCCUAGCCGAAAUGAACGGCUAUAAUCAGGUAAUGCCCCUCGAGAGUCGGGUAAUAUGAAAGAGAAUGUCCAACCAAAACCCUAAAUCAAAAUCGGUUUCUUUCCUUAACCACAAAAGUCCAAUUUCACUAACCACAAACACAUCGAAGCACAACGCAAUUCACCAUUAUGACCAUAUAUGGAACCCAACACAUCCCUGUAAAUCUUUCGAACUUGGAAAUUUUCAUUUCGAAAAGUUACCACUAACCACUGGAAUUCCGCGUCAUGAAAAUCGGUGAAUCAAACCAAGGAGGACAAGUACUCAGCAAUGGUAGUAUACUCAACAUCUGGAUACAGCUUCGAGCCUUCGACUCCAGUAGCAGGAUCAAUCUCAUAGUAGGUAUGAUCUCCUCUCACAAACACCGAGUAUAUGAACACCAGCCCCAUAUUCCCAGGAUACGAAAUCUCUGCACCAGUCCAAAAAACAAACCAAAUUCAACAAAACAAGCAGAUAAACCAGCAAAGGAAUCAAAAUCAACUACCCAGUAAGUAAACCACCAUUGAUUCUCUUCAACAUCUGUUCCUCCGAAACGUAGCAUCUCUCCACAUUCAUCCCAAUCAGCCCUUCCCAUAGCGUCACAAUCUCGUUCAUCGAACACACGUUCCCCGGAGGUCUCAAGUACAGAAUCUUGUUCAGCGUGGAAGGAUCGUCCACUGCUCUCAUCGUGAAGGCAGCUACAUCUCGUUCCUUCACAAACACACCUGGAAACCAAGGCAGACUCGUUGUUCGAUAUCGUUCGUCGAAUUGUUUGAAACUAGGUACAUGUACCUUUGACAUUGCCGUUUCCGAAGAUUAUGACCUUGUCUCGAGGUGGAGAUUUGAGUCCCGGCUGGACAAGGGAAGGAAGGUAGUAGCUCAUUAAGAGAUUGCAGCAGACGUAUGUGUAUGGGAUUGAUUCGGCUUCUAACAACCGUCUGAUCUCAGAUUUCCUGGAGUAGAAACCAUGAUCCAUUCCUGAUAUCUGUGAUCUGUCUGCAUCUGCUCCGAACUCAGACGGGAUGAACCUCUGGAAAAUGAUGAUCAUCAUGAAUGAAACCUAUGUUAACAUUGACAGUAGAUUGAACACAAAUGAUACACAAUCGGCAAUGGAAUGUGGCAUUUUAAAAAAUUCCAUCAAAGCAAUCACUUCAAUUUCACUAAAAUCAGUUAGCAAGGAAGAAAGCAUUUUUGAUAAUCACAAUCAAUAGUUACCUUUAUCCGGCUUCCUGCUUGUUUGAUGACUUUGAUAAGCAGCUUCUGAUCGUGAGCUUGUUUCGACGGAAUCGAACAGAUUACAACGUCAACUCGAUUCACUGCCUCCACAAGGCUACUCUCGUCUUGCAAUGAACCCUAAAAAGAAGAGCAGCAGCAGAAGAAGAAGAAGAAUCAAGAACAACGAAAAAUUCCCCUAGCAGGAAAAGCAUUAUCCCAAUUGAAUAAUACCUUAAUGACGGAGGCGCCGGCAUUGGUGAGGGAUUGGAGCUUGUGAGCUUUGAUUGGGUCGUGGAAAGCCGAUUCUCUGACGAGGAGGAGAGUUGGGUGAGAGGAUUUGAGGCUGGAUUCUGCUAAGUGGUAACCCAAAUUGCCUGUUGAGCCGAUUACCAACACUCUGCUCUUCUCCUUCUCCAUUGCAGUCAGCUGGUUUGAUCAAUUGGGUUACAGUCUAAAUUGCUGCCAGUGCCAUGCACAAUCCAGUUGAAGGUUUUGCCUUUCCAGUGUUCUGUGAUGGUUUUCGUACAGUUAAUUUCAUUCCGUAGCACCAACUUUGGCCAAAAUGCAAAAAGUUACCAUGAAGUUUCAAAAGUAACAAAAUAAUAUUGUGUGUACAAAUUCAAACUUAAUAAUGUGGAAAAUGUUAUAUAUGGUGAGGACAUUAUUUUUGUAUUCGUAAGGAAGGAGAACACUAAUAUCAUCAAAAAAAAUAUACAAAUUCGUACUUAUUUAUUAUUCUAUACGAGAUAAAAAUAGAAUAUUAAGGAAAGUUAAUGGAGAUGAAGAUCUACAGUUUCAAUGCCUAACUAUAGGAAUGCCAAUCUAAACUCAACACUCUUAAGAUAAUAAAUACAUUCGAAUAUGGUUAAUGGCUAUAUAUGAGCCGAUAGGUAUAACCACUCUUUGUGCUUCAUACUUAAGAUAUUGAACUACCCGCUCUUAUCAGGGUCCAUCUGUUAUUCCUACUUAAUUAAAAAUAAAAACUAAAUAAAUAUUAUUUUUUAAUUAAAAUAUAUCAAAAUUUUCGAUCAAUAUAAAAUAGGUUUAUUAAAACCUUAAAACUCCGAUAUUUGAUUGGGAAUUCAUUUUACAAUGAAAAACAUGAUUCGUAUGGUUAUAGUAUUAUAGGAUAUUGGGUUCCCAUUGAAAGGAGGCGGAUUCUCGAGUUUUACUUGGAAUGACACUCGCCACCCUCAUCUUUGCAUAUUAUUACAAAAUUGCUACAAUAAAAUCCAAACCUACCCAACAAAGUAAGUAUCACCAACGCGGCCAUUGAUCCAAAAGGUGCCUUUGAGAGAUGUAACCAAUAGAUUUUAGUCAUUACAUCUGGUUAUUUUUUUGACCAAGUUUCAUCUACCGAUUAAAAUAAAUCAAACGAAUUAAUUUGAAUAAAUAUAAUUUUUUAAUAAAAAAUUACAUAAGCGGAAAUCAAUUUUUCGGGAAAUAAUUUUCUCUCUUUCUUUUAGUCAUUUUUUAACUUUGAUANNNNUUAACUUUGAUAUCACCGUUAUGUUUAUCGUACAAGCAUGUUUAGUAAGUAAUACGAUCAUUUUAUAGGCUUGUUACGCCGUUGCUACGUUAACCUUACGAGUAGUUGAAUUCAUUAUCGUUAUGUCCAGUUUACCACUCUUUUAUGUCGGUGAUAUAUACACUUUAUGAGUCUGUUAUGUGUUUUUAUUAUGGCUUUUAAAUAAGUUCAUUAUAUAGAAUUUAUAAGUAAAUUAUUAUAUUCACGUUAUCGUUAUUAAAUCAUUAUUAUAUCAUUGUCACACCCAUUUUACGAGUAAUUAUGUUAUCCAUGUCGACUUUAAUAAGUUUUUCCUAUCUAUUUUCUCUUUUAAAGAAAAGUUGAAAAAAAAACUUNNNNNNNNNNNNNNNNNNNNNNNNNNNNNNNNNNNNNNNNNNNNNNNNNNNNNNNNNNNNNNNNNNNNNNNNNNNNNNNNNNNNNNNNNNNNNNNNNNNNNNNNNNNNNNNNNNNNNNNNNNNNNNNNNNNNNNNNNNNNNNNNNNNNNNNNNNNNNNNNNNNNNNNNNNNNNNNNNNNNNNNNNNNNNNNNNNNNNNNNNNNNNNNNNNNNNNNNNNNNNNNNNNNNNNNNNNNNNNNNNNNNNNNNNNCUCAGCCAGUCAUCCUACCAACCGCACGGCACAAUCUUUUGUCUAACAACCACAUGCCAACCGUCCAUCCCUUCUCUAUUGUGAAUGUUUAAAUCAAAUUUUUUUUUUAAAGUGACGUGUGGACUCAGAAACUUUCAUUCAAGUUUCUACUGAAUUUAAUUGUUUAUAUUUAAUGGACUAUUUAUUUUUAGAAACAUGUUUUUAUCGUACUAAUAUAUUAAUUAUAAAUAUUGAAAUAAAUAUUCUUUAAAGAACUUUGAAAAUAUAAGCAAAUUUGUUACAAUCUCCUCGCACAAAACGAAUCCUAAUGUUUCGAAACUAAAAUCUUCCGACAUCGUCCAAUAAUAUCUCCAAACUUCAACCUAUCCUACACCACACUCGCAUUAAACGGCACCACCUGCAAAUCUAACUCCAAAAUGACGUUGUCUAAGUUGAGUUUAACACACCACCAAAAACCAUUCAUCCAACAACGUUAGGGCCUCAGUCUCCUUACUACUAUAACCUCGUUCCCGUUUCAUUUGGUAAUGUAUCGCCGUACCCAUCUCAUCACGCAAGCACGUUCCUGGAUUCCUGCGCCCAUUUCUCCCUGCUCUGGAAACAGUUGUGAAUGAAACCUUUACCUAUAUAGUUGGGGGGUUUCUUGGUUGUAUUAAAUUAUAAUUUAUUCCAUCUUAAAAUGGGUUGGUUCAUGUAAAUACUAAUGAUAAAUUUAUAUUGGUAUAACCUCAAAUAAAUUUAUCAAUUAAUACCAAGUUCUUUUCGAAAAAAAAGCUAAUACAAACCUCAACGAUCAUUUCAUAUUCCAAAUUUGAAGAUUGUAAUUAAAUUCUCACUUCCUUUAUUAUUCCACCAUCCAAAUAGUCGAUUCAUAUGUCUAGUACCGAUGCUCAAAGGUGACAAGUCUACAUUUACGACCACCGGUACCUCCAUUUUCAGUAUUGUCAACAUAUGUGUAUAACAUUCUCGACCAUAACCACAAAAUAAUUACGCAACUCUAUAGAUUGUCGAUACCGUACUAAACUUCGAAUCGGCCAACACCGGUCAAACCAUUUUGGCAUGUUACGGUCCACAACUAUUUCGCACCAUCUCUGGCCACCUUAUCUCUGUCUUCUUACUCACCACACACACGACUCUUCCAGCUCCUUCCUCCUCCGAAGAAAAAACCCAAUAUAGUAAUAUAUAUACACCAAAGCUCUUUGAAGAACAGAGCUUCACCCAGAUCUAAAAAUCCCCUGCUCCAAUGGAUCCUGGAAAAUGGAUCCUCCCACUCACCAUCUCCACCAUUCUCGCCGUCACCCUCUUCAUCUUCUCCUCCCCUCAACUCGCCACUGAACUCGUCGGGUAACUCAAAAUACUCUUCAUAUCCCACACUCUGUUUUCUUAUUCAGAUCUGUGUUUAGUUUCUGCUCUAAUUUGUACUAACUUCUCUCUUUCUCUGUCCACAGGAAGCUAAACGGCGUCGUACCAGACGUUUUCUUAGGGUGGUCAACGCCGGUGAACAAUCUGCAGAAGGGCAAACUCCUCCCAGUCCAAGUCAACUUAUCAGCCUGCCUCCCGACAUUCGGCCGACCGGGGAAGCCAGUCUACUGCUGCCCGCCGCGAAACAUCCUCGACGACCCAAUCAUUGACUUCCAGUUCCCCGACCCGGCGACCAACCCGGUCCGGGUCCGCCGCUCGGCGAACCGGCUGGAUGAGGAGUCCAUUGCCAAAUACGAGAAGGCGGUCGCGAUGAUGAGAUCUCUACCUUACUCCGACCCGAGGAGCUACACGCGCCAGGCGAACUUACACUGUCAGUACUGCACCGGAUCUUUCCUCCAGCAGCACUCCACGCUUCCGGUUCGGGUACACAAGACGUGGAUCUUCUUCCCCUGGCAUCGAAUGCUCUUGUAUUUCCACGAGCGGAUCUUGGGGAGCUUGAUCGGAGACGAUACAUUCGCGAUUCCGUUCUGGCCAUGGGAUCUGCCGGAAGGGAUGAUGCUGCCGGAGUUUUACCUCAACGGGUCGUUCAAGAACGAGCAGCGUGACCCGACCCAUUACCCCCCGGCGGUGGCGGAUCUGGAUUUCCAGCUGGCGGAAGGCGGGUCGACGCCGGAGGAACAGGUGGAGUUGAAUCUGGCUCUGAUGUAUAACCAGAUGGUCUCUGGCGCUAAGACAGCGGAGCUAUUCAUGGGGUGUGCUUACAAGACUGGCGAAGGUGGUGACUGUUUCGGACCCGGGACAAUGGAGCGGGCCCCGCAUAACACGAUUCAUAAGUGGGUCGGGUCGGCUUUCCAUACUGGGAGGGAGGACAUGGGGGUCUUUUACUCGGCAGCUCGCGACCCGAGUUUCUACGCUCACCACUCGAAUAUCGACCGGUUGUGGGAGGUUUGGAGGGCGACUCACCCUGAGAUGAACGACCCGGAGUUCCUCGACUCGUCGAUGUACUUCUACGACGAGAAGCUCCAGUUGAACCGGAUCCGGUUCAGGGAUGUCAUGGACAUGGACAAAUUGAGGUACCGGUAUGAUGACGUGGUCAAUACGUGGAUGAAUGCGAGGCCGAAGCCCUCGGUCGAGCCUAGGUUAGCCAAGCGCGAGCUAAGGAGGAGGGAGAUGGAACAAGAGAACGUGUUGGAGAUGCCGUCAGAGCAUUUCCAACCAACCGGUCGGUCACUCGACUCCCAAGUCACGAUCCGGGUGGUUCGGCCUAGAGCAGUCAGGACUCGAAAGGAUAAAGUUGAAUUUGAGGAGAUAUUGGUGGUGGAAGGGAUUGACGUGAAGGCGGAGGAGUUUGUUAAGUUCGACGUCUACAUCAACGUUGUCAACGCGACGAUAAUGAGCCCCAAGUAUCGGGAGUUUGCGGGGACGUUUACCGAUAUUCCGAUGGGUGUAUCGUUCGGAAAGAAGACGACGUUGGAGCUUGGGAUUUCGGAAGUAUUAGAGGAUUUGGAGGCGGAUCGAGACCGAUUUAUAUGGGCGACAUUGAUGCCGAGGACGGAAAGUUGUGACAAAGUUACGGUUGAUGGGUUAAGCAUCAAGCACAAGAAGAAAUGAAGGAGAGUACUAGUAUAGGUAAAAAUAAUUUUGAAGAAAUUUUAUUGUAUGAUGAUGUUGCAUUAAUUCUGUGUGUAUGGCAUUGAACAUUGUUAGAAUUAAAAAUAUGAAUGUACCAUGCUCUAAUAAAAAUAUUAGUGUUGCUGGCAACUAUAAUGGAGCCUUGCAAGUGGUACGGUCCAUCACCAUGUUUAUACACCAUUAUUUCGACUUGUCGGUGGCUGGCAACUCUUUGAAAACUACAUUUUGAUACCCUUUUAUACCCUUUUCAGUGAAAACUAAAAAUCAUCGUCCAAUUGCUCCUCGCCUCUACUCGUCGAAACAAAGAGUCUACAAUCUUCAUUUUAGUUGCACCUCAUAAAUACUACAUUACGUGAAAUAUUUUAUAUACUUGUACCCUUCCUAUGAAAUAUGAGCAUUAGAUUAAUAUUAUAAAUAGAAUAUUUGAGCUAAUCAGGAUGAGUCAUGGCUGUCUUGAUGGGACAUGAAAACACAUGGUGACAUGAUUUACAAUAAAUAUAUUAUGCAUAAAAUCAAGACAUAUUGGAAAGUGUAAAUCAUGUCACAUGUGGCAAGUGGUUUUUUUCUUAGAGAGGACCAAAAUAUGACGGGGAGGCCGAAACAACUCAAAACGUUCGACUUGGGAAGAAAUCGUCACUGUUUAGUAUUUUGAGUAUAACUCAUCGCUCGGAAGUCCGAUUGAUGCAUGGUCAGCGGUUCAAUACAUUGCUAGCUUUAGAGGAUUCAAAUUUGAACAACCUUCAUUCCAUAUUUGAAACUAAAUCUCUUUCAAUUAUUUUCUUUUGAUUUACAUUCUUAAUUUAUAAUCGGAUACUUCAACAAUCAAUAAAAUAAUCACUUAAUGUUACUUAGUUUAGUUAACUUAACCAAUUUGAAUAAUAAUGUUAAAAAACAUCUUAUGAAAAUACGAUUCCAUUAAAAUUUAUUCUAAUAAAUAUUUGAUUAGCGGGAUAAAAUCCGCACAACCACAAUUUCUCCGAACCAAAUAAAACCCAACUUGAUUGUUAAUGCAAGUUGGUGAUGCAUGCGUCGAUUUGAAUAAUAAAUUCUCUUAAAAGAAGAAAAACGAAUAUUCACGUGGUACUGCCCGGUUUGAUCAAGUGGUUGGAUUUAUUUAUGUGUGAUUCUUCGUCCCCAAUACUAUAUAUAAUAAAAUCCGAUACAUUGAUAUAUAUUCUAGCUCUAGCUGUCGUGAAAAUGACUACUUUGAUUGGGUGUACAUUUUUGUUUGUUUACGGUGAUAAUAAAUCUCUAAUACUUUAUAAUAAAGAGGACAUCCAGCUUGAGGAGCAUGCCCGAACGAGCCAACCUAACAAGUAACAACCCAGUCGGCUCAAGCGACACGAUCCGUCCAAGGAUGCCGAAACAGGACCAAGGUCGAUCCUUCGUCGGCCUCUUAAGUGCCGAGGCGAUGGGCAAGACAGACCGGAAGGGUUUUGAUUGAACCUUCAAUGGAGGACAAAACAAACCUAGAGGAUAGCGUAUGUGAGCUUCGGCAACAAUGGUGGAGGAUAGCGUGUACAUUCAUCAUUAUACUCUCUUUCAAUCACUCGAAUUAUUUCGAAACUUUUUUUACUUAACAGUCGUCCAGAGGCCCGGGAUGCUUUUCCUUGAGCCCUUCCUCAAAGCCAAGGCCCAAGGCAACCUCGCUGCCUAGUAAGCCCUUUAUUCUUUGUUUUCACAUUAACAUUAUUGGGCCAGGGCCCAGGCUUCUAAUUAACAUGUUUGGGUGAAGAGGAGUAAUGGGUCAGGUGAUCAGCUUGUUGUAAAUUCAUGUCAUUCACAAACAAAUAACAAGUAAUAUCACUUUGGUUUAAUUUUUAUUUUCUUUCAGGUCAUUGAGGGAGUUCCAUGAGUCCCAGCUUUGAAAACUUUGGACCCAAUUCUGAAGAACUUAGGCUUGGCCCUAAUCCAACUCUUCCCGCCAAUCAUUUCUUUACUCAGAAAAGGCGAAACCUCAUCGAUUGCGAGCUUCUUCGACCAAGCUACCCUCUUCGAUCUAUUAGCUCCAGGUCCGUAAUUCUUGUGCUCUCCGUAGAACACAGUCCUACAUAUUAAUGCACACACCGACAACAUAAUCAAAAGAAAAUAUUGAUUGAAAUAGAUAGAAUAAUUAAAUACGCGGGAUUUUAUACCUUUGUUUCGAUUUGUCUCCCCAAUCACUCCAACCGAUUGGCAAGACAGCAGAGGUUAAGUAAGAGUAGGCAUAAACCACCCUGGAAUAAGAACCCCAUGCCCUUCCUAGAAGUGUUGCUCCAACCCCGGUUACCUUGCAUCGCAAGAAAACAUACCCGGUUCGAUCCGACUCCGAGCCCCUAUCUUGGGCGGUUAUCGAGCCGUUGCCUUUCGAAAGUGAAUGGAUAUGACACUUCUGCAAAUCAUACAAUUAUGGACCAUGCACAUAAUUAGUAAUAGGUGUUCAAACUUAUUGAUCGGAAUUUCUCAUUCUCUACUGUGAAACAGAGAUGUAACAAGCAAAGAGAUAUCGCUCGCCUCGAAGAGGGAGGAAGCGUCUCCGCAGAUGAAAUCGGUGGCUCCUUCGAUGUAACAGUUUCGAUAGUAAUGCGAUCCAGUGUCGUCGAGAAGCGUAUCCUGGUACGACAACAUCUUGCAAUCGAAGAAUGCAGCUCUGUCUCCCGAUACCCUCAACGCCACAGCUUUGCCUCCUCUCCCGAACGUGUUCUACACCAUGCAUAUGCACUAACAAACAUUGAACAAAUUCGAACUUUGGGAUCAACAUACGUUCGUAAUUACGUUACCUGGAUAGUAAGGUAUCGAGCUACAAAGUACGGAGCCAGAACAGACAGAGUGGCAGACUCGAAUAUAUCCCCCUUCUCGUGCCACGUAACGACAGUGUCGUUCGCAGCUGGCUUGGUACCACCUAGGGUGAUGAAAGGCUUGUCCUUCGGCACUAUGACUUUCUCGACGUAGACUCCUGGCUUGACCCAGAUGAAGACCAGCUCGGAGUUGUUAGAAGGAACCGAGUCGAUUGCUUCCUGGAUCGUCUCGAAAUCUCCUCUCCCAGCGGCGGAAUUGUCCACCCUUAUCAGAUUGGCCACUGACCAGUCCUUUGGAGGAGUAGGUGAAGCAUCAGAAGCUAGGGUAGUUUGGAAUUGGAGUAAUAGUAGUGCUAGGAUAAUGGUUGUUGCUAGACGGUGGAUCAUCAUCAUGUGGAGCUUUGGAUAAUGGUGGACUGGAGUACAAUUGCAGCUAUAGAAUCAGACAUUCUUAUUGUUCAGUAUUUCCGAAAAGGCUUGGGACUCACGCCAACGCGUCCAAGAAAUCUGCAGAAAUGAAGGGAUCAAUUGUUUUCCUCUUUGUCUGCACAAAUUCAACGUAUGAUCAUACGCCUCAUUUCUGGGAUUAGACUUUAGGCCAAAAAUUAAUCUUAUACUACAUUGGAAGUAUUGGCUUUUAUCAAGUGGAUUAACUAACUUGAUCAGUUUAAAAUUUUGCCCGUUUUUUGGGCGUAUUGAAAUGGAGCCGACCGCCAUCCACUUGACGGCCCCCUAUCGACGAACAUUAUCAUCCUAUCGACAACCUCGAUCAUUGUCAUCAUGCCACUGUUAUCUUGUUCCAAUCUCGUCAACCACCGCCAUACCGUCCAUCAAAAUACACCGCUUUUGAGACUCUAGCAUGAUGAUUUCCGUGUUUGAAGAGAAAAUGCAGUCAACACCAUGAUCACAAUCACCAAUGAUUACAGAAUGUGCGUGGUAACUCCCAUGACAGUUGCCUCCUCUAGUAGCAAUCAUCCAUGACAGUCGCCUCCGGCCUCCUAUAAAUACAAAAGAACCGACCAAUGGAACAAUAUGAUGAACAUAAAAAAUUAUACAAAGCAUACACUCUUGCUCAACUUACCUUUCUCUUCAAUUUCAUUUUUCAGUAGCCAUAGACAUAGUUUAUUUUUUAAUUUGGAGCCUUUUCAGAAUUUCUACAGGAGUAAUGGUAGAUAGAAUAAAUACUUAUCAUAUACAUCAAACCAACGGUGUAAACAAUGUAAUUAAUCUAUUUUCACAAAAUCAAAACUAAUUUAUUGUGUUCAAAGACAAAGAGUUUUUUUAUUUUUGCGACCAAAAGCAAUUUCAAAUUUUAAUAAUUUUCAAUUUAUAUACAUAAUUUAUCGAAAUUGUACAUAUAAAAACUAUCAUUUGAAGGUGCAAAUGAUAUCUGACCUUAUAGCUGUUUGAAAACAAAGAUCAAAUUUGGGUCUGCCACGUUGUCUUCCAUGUUCUUUUCAACGACAAGAAAAAGUUAAUAUAGUAAUAAUGAAAUUAAAGAAAGAGGAGUUGAGGACUUAAAAUCAAGGAGAAAAAAGUUUCAGGAAUUCCAAAAAAAAUUUAUUGAUAAUUUUGGUAUUUUAUAAAUAUAUAUAUGUUAUUUUUCCAAAUUUCUAAAACUCAAAACUGAAAAUCUAAUAUUUUAGACUCUAAAUUUAAAAAUCCAAAUUCAAAAUUUAAAAUUUAAAAAAUUAUAAUACUUUCUACAGAUUAUUAGAUCGGUAAAGUGGUCAAAUCCUUAAAAUUUAAUUAUUCAAAACCAUCCUAAACAUCAAAAGCACUGUCCUGAGGCCCCACCAGAGCAAUCAAAGAGCGCAAUUAGCGGAGCAUGAAGCUCCUAAUCGAACUUUGUCGUUUAGCGACGGAAACACUUAUAGCAAAAGGCCACGAACUCUCUGCCUUCUCCGGCGCCCUUUCAAAUUAAAAUCCACUCCCCCCAGUCAGUCACCACCACCGCCACUCAUUUUCUUCACCGUGACGCCGCAGAUGGAGUGGGAUUCCACCGCCGUUGGUUCUAAUCACAAACGCCACCACGAAAGCUGCAACAACAAUAAUAAUGGAGACCCGAAUACCGCCAACAGCAGUAGUAGCCCGAAUGAUCUGCUGUACGUGAAGGUAAUGACAGAUGAGCAGCUUGAGACUCUCCGGAAGCAGAUCGCCGUCUACUCCACCAUCUGCGAACAGCUCGUCGAGAUGCACAAAACCCUGUCCUCCUCCCACCAAGAUUUUGCCGCCGCAGGUGUGUACUGUUCCCCUGUUUUUCCACUGCUCUGAAUUCGAAUUAGAGAUCUAGUCGACAUUAAUUUCGUCGGGGGCAGUUACUGAUCUAGGUAGAAUUGUCCAAUGAGUGGGUUAAACCGGUUAUGGGAUGGGUAACUCGAGUUACGGGUUCAAUUGAUUGGAUUAUAGAUUAAUUUGGUACAGUACACUUAGUUUGAAGAUUUUAUAGACUUUUGGGUCAUGUAACUUUUGAAUUGUUAGCAUUUGAUCAUUUGAUCGAUAUAAGUUAUUGAUCGUAUUCGACCAGGUUGGAACUGGAUCGAGUCGGGUUAAUUUUUGCCAGCUCUAAAUCUAGAGGAGGUUCUCCUUGUCACAAUACGGUCCAUCGUCGAGUCUAAUGCGUACAUUUAACUAAAAUAAUCAAAUUUUUCAUAUAGUAAUGAGGUUAUAAGUUUAUUGUGCCGUGAAUUGAUUGGAUUAUGUGAUUAAUUUAGUGAUAGUAUACUUAAUUUGAUGGUUUUGUGCCAGUUUUGAAUUGUUUACGAAUUUAUAUUAUUGAUUGGAAUUGGAUCGAAUCGGGAUAAUUUUUGCUAGCUCCAGAUCUACAAAAGCCUCUUUUAAAUCAGAUCGGGCGGGCUGGUUGGGAAGGGGUUAUUGACCAAUUGAACUACAAUCCCAGGAAAAUGAAAUAAAGUGGACACCAACAUACACAGAUUCAUAUGAUUUCAUUCAAAUCUCCCUUAUUUAGUAUUUAGCUAUUUCGAUUUUAGCUUCGAAUCGACGCGCUGUAACAGAGAGGGGGUAUCUAUAUGAUACCCAUAUCCGAUCAAUUUAUGAAUUUAAUACCGCAAUAAUACAUUUUACAGUCCAUUUUUCAUGUAUGUAGUUUACUAACACAAUGAAUAUAAAUAUUUUUAGUAAGUGUAUAUAAAAAUAUAGACUGUGCGCUAGUAAUAUAUAAUAUAGCAUAGCACCGUGUACUGUAUUUCAACAUGAUCGUCACCGAUGCAUUAAAUCAUUCUGCAUCCAGGGAGGUUGGGAAAUAUGUACUUGGACACGCUGAUGGGCGGAGGAGGAGGCCAGAAGCUGAGCGGCGGGCGACAGCGGUGGACGCCGACGCCCGUGCAGCUUCAAAUCCUUGAGCAGAUCUUCGAGCAAGGGAACGGGACACCGACGAAGCAGAAGAUCAAGGAGAUCACGACCCAGCUCAGCCAGCACGGCCAGAUCUCGGAGACCAACGUCUACAAUUGGUUCCAGAACCGGCGCGCCCGGUCCAAGCGUAAACAGCACCUUACGAAUCUCCCGACUUCCGCUGCCGCGGGCACGAACAAUAAUGAUAAUGCUGGUGCUACUAGUGGGGAUUUGUCGUCAGAAGUGGAGACUACUACUGCUACUGAAGUUGAUUCGCUUAACGAUCAAGACAUCAUCAUCCAGUUGUUGGCUCAGUCUCAGUAUCAGGAAAAACAAUGCUGGAAUUAGCUGCGUACAUGUAUAUGUUGUAUAGAGGGAUGUAUUUGUCAUGGUUGAUUCACUACACUCUUUUUCUCCAUUUUAAUCUUGGUUUGGUUGUGGUAUGGGAUAUCUCGAGAUAGCUUGGUAUUUUUCGAGGAUGUUGAUAUUGAGUGGGGGAGGUGGUGAGGUGGAGUUUCUUGUUUGGUAUGAGACAUUGAGUUGAUGAAAUUUGUUUGCCUAUUGAUUGUCACAUAGGGUUCUCUAAGCAAUCGUCGUGCUUUUGGUGGUGCUGUAAUCGUAAAAGUAGUGGUUUAUUUGACGGCUUGCCCUAGGUUCCGAUUGCAAGUGGUCAGGCAUCUAUAAGUAGCGUUGAGGCCGAUUUCAUGACUCGAAUAGAUAUUUAGAUUGUUUGUUCUUUUGCAACGUGUUGUUUACUAUCACAAUGUAUCCCUUCGAAGCUCCUAUCUUGCUAGAACCAAAUAGACAGGAGCUAGAAUUCUAGUGGAUUCAGUAUCUUCAUCCAAAUUUGCAGCAACCAGUUGCUGAAGAUCUUAACUGCAGAAUCAGUUUUGGGCCAAGGUUAAUGGGUUUUUAUAGGCCCAUUUCAGAAUCUAUUUUCGGCAACGGCUGAUUGGGUAUGGGAGAGGCCCAUUUCAAAUCAUGUCGCUUAGGUAAUAGCCGAAAAAGCCCAUCUCUGCUGCUAUAAAAUCCUAGGCGUCGAUCACUUUCAGAAAACUAACCCUAAUUGCAAAAUCUCCAUUGUUGUCGCAGCUUCUCUUUUCCAAUAGCAAAUCUCAGCUGUAAUAGCUGUUGUGUAUAGUUCAAUUUCCGUCUCAAUUCGUUUUCUGUUUGUUUUGUCACUGUUGUGGAGGAAGGAGGGUUGCGAUGAUGAUGAUUAUGUUAUAAUCUCGUUAAUCCGAACCAAAUCUGUGAGGAUAACAAACUAUCCAUUACCUUACUGAGCACUCUCCUUGUCCUACAGCUCCACCUCAUUUACUCUGGUUUCGUUCUUAUGUUUUAAUGGUGUUCAUUUUUUAAUCAAUCUGAUCUUGUCCCCUGGAUGGUACAAAAAAGAUUUCAACUGUCUCCAGUAAAUGCUGAAUCUUUCUGUUUCUUUGACUGGUUUCAUAGAUUGUUGAUACAUUCUAAGUUUGGCAGAUCAACUUUGAUGAUUAGUUCAUGGAUUGAUGGACUGAGAAUCAUAGAAUUGUGGUUUCACUGUGGAAAACUGGAAAAAACCACACCAUAGUUUAAGCAGGGACAUUAAAGAAGAAGCAAAACUGUAAUUAACUUCCACUGAAAUCUGAUGAACAACAUGAACAUUAUAUCUGAGGCAAAAGUAUCUACAAAAGGAAAAGGCCCCUCUGGUUUGUACGGGUAACGUAUAAUAAUUGUAUCAGAUGACAUUUGGUCCGUAUAGAGUGCUGGAUCAAGAAAAACAAGAGAUUGCAACAGUGUGAAAGAUUCCAUGUGUCUGGUCAUAAAAGGGUGGUUUAGAACAGCAGCCCACGGGGAGCACAGCUCUCAGCCAAAAACUAAAGUUAGUAGUCUUUUUUCUCUGAUCUCUACUGUUUGUAAACAGUGUUACCCACCAUUGACGAAGAGGAAGGAAGAACAAACAAAUCUGAAGCGAACGAAAGUUACAGAAUGAAGCAAUGGGUUACGCAUUGAUUCAGAUUCAGAAUGCAGAGGGACCUUUAGCAAUUUGUUUCUAUUUAUUUGCAAGGUUUCUUGGCUCCUUGAACAAUUGAAGCUCUGGGAUCUAUUUGUUGAGUUUGAAUGUUAAUAUUUUUCGAAAAUCUCGAUCAAUAAAAGAGUUUAAGAAAUAGUACAUUGAUGUUUGUUGGGGUGGUUUGAUUUGAAUUUUGUACUUUCGAGUCACCAACCCACAAUCUUUUAUACUUAUGGGUUUAAUUGUUUCAUGUGACUUUUUUGUCAUGAAUAAAAAAUAACUAUGACCAAGUGAUUAUUUUGUGAUAAAUAAUAUAUUGAUUAUGAAAAUAAUUUGCGACCAACUCAUUAAUGUAUUAAAUCUCUAAAAAUAUAUAUGGNNNNNNNNNNNNNNNNNNNNNNNNNNNNNNNNNNNNNNNNNNNNNNNNNNNNNNNNNNNNNNNNNNNNNNNNNNNNNNNNNNNNNNNNNNNNNNNNNNNNNNNNNNNNNNNNNNNNNNNNNNNNNNNNNNNNNNNNNNNNNNNNNNNNNNNNNNNNNNNNNNNNNNNNNNNNNNNNNNNNNNNNNNNNCAAAUUAAGAUUUUGUUUUCGUAAGUUAAUCGAAUUACGCAUCAUUAACUCUUGAGCAAAUCAGCACUGAGCCGAUUUGAAUUGGGAAAAUCCUUAAAACCUAAGCAUAGUUCAUUUGAUAUGAUAAUUCGUUCAAGAUUAUUUUAACGGGCCGAUUGAAUUUUCAUUUUUUGUAAGCUAAUAAGGUUACGAUCAUUAUGUCUUGACCAAUUCAAAACACUGAUUGGGUUGAUUCGGUUUGAAUUGGACAUACUCAUCAAACAUAAGUGCAUAUAACAUAAUCUUACAUUCAAAGUUCUUUUAAUGGGGUCAAUUGAGGCCAAUGGCCAAUGAUUAAUCUUGAAUUAUAUUUUCUCUCCAAAUGGGCUCGGAUCAACAUAUAUACAUGAAUAUUCAUAUCCAUCAUAUAUGAGUGACUGAGUGAGAGUUUGAGUGAACAUAUAUAGAUGUGCAACCCUCUUUUAUAACUAUAUUUUUAUAUAUGAUUCAUCAUUCCAAUGUCGAUUUAACAAUCAAAAUUAUCACAAUUAUAUCAUCAUAUGUACAUGCUUAUAUAUAAUAAUAGAAUUACUGUAACAAAAUUUUAACUUACACAUAUUAGUUAACAUACUUUUACUUUUAAUCACGGGUCUAAGCUCCGCUAACAGGCUAUGGCUAAUGGUACAAAGACACGUAUUGGUAAAAGUAUACUAUUGGGCGAAAGUAUAUGAAAAUUUUUUUUGGAUCNNNNNNNNNNNNNNNNNNNNNNNNNNNNNNNNNNNNNNNNNNNNNNNNNNNNNNNNNNNNNNNNNNNNNNNNNNNNNNNNNNNNNNNNNNNNNNNNNNNNNNNNNNNNNNNNNNNNNNNNNNNNNNNNNNNNNNNNAAAACAUAUUAAAUAGGAUAGUAUACUGCUUAUUACCUAACUAUGUCUUUCUUUUAAAAUUUUUCAAAUAAACAGUGUUUUAGUUCAUUAGACUUUCGGCCAACCGGCCGGACACGAUCUAAUAUACUUUAUAUGCUUAUGACCAAUGAAGCUUAAAUCAAACAAAACAGAUCAUUAAAACGCAAGCCGUUAUAUAAAUCAGCCAACCAACACUAAAAAUUUCCGAAUAUGUUUUUGAGAUAGUUGAUCCCUUGGAACCUAGGACUUAGACCAUCCAACCAAGGUACCAAAAAAGGUGCUAUAAGCCCAACACCACUUAAACAAUUUGGGGGGGGGGGAGGAUACUACCAAUCUAGAUGAUCCAUCCAAGACCAAACAUGUCAAGUAUGAUGUUUGCUUCUUACUUGCAUCUCCAUACUCUGUAUAGUCACUUUUCAAGGAUUCCAUUUGCAAGUGAGUAAAGACACAACACAACUAGCUAAGCUUAACCCACAACUCCAAAAUUGACAAAAGAACACUGAAAGGGAGAAUCUUUCAAUACUUUGGGGCUGUUCUGUUGUGCUUUUAUUAUAUUCCCACCCUUGGAAUUGCACUGAAAGGAAAAUUGAACCAAGGAAGAAGAAGGGUGACUGAGAAAUGGGGGCCAAGUGGGGCUAGAACAGAAAUGGCUAUAACACAAGAGAGAAUCAAAGAUGAGAUCUUUUGGGGAGGUUUUGGGUGAGGUUUUUAGGUCCACAAAGAGUCCACUCUCUAUCCCUCAACUGUUCUGCUAUGUUGUUAGUAAAUGAACAAAAACUAUAACCAAAAUACUCCUGGCCUAGUUGGUAAAACUACCGGCUAGUAUUAGCUAGAACCUGUAUCAUAGAUCUUUCGUUUCGUUUAAAUAUUAGCUUCGAAUUAUUCCUUUUUAGCGCAUUUUUUACUAUCGUUUCCCCUCAAUAGACUCGUUACGGUUUGUUGAGAAUGUUAAUACAAAGUUAAAAAGUAAUUAACGCAAGCUGGGGUUUUUUCGUCUUUGGUGUUGGUUUUGACCCGAGAUUGGAUUGACAGGUACAUCUUAUUAUUCUCUUGCUGAUAUUUUGUUCUGGAGCUUCUUUCUUCCAGUGAUGAAUGGGUAUUUUCUUUUCAAUAGUGAUUGCGCUUAUGCACGACUCAUUGUGCUGGUGGUGACGCUGUUGCAGCAAUUAUUCUACAAUUGUGUUGCUGGCGGGCCUAUUAUGGCAAGGAUCCCAUCAUUGUAAGGUGUACAACUCAGUUACGAGUUUGUACCGUCUGAAGUACACUGAAUAAAGUCGCCCAUUCCGUAGAAAAACAAUAACAAUUGCUCAAACCCAAGAUAUUCAAUUGAGGGGAAAAAAACUGGGGUAUUUGAAAAGUCAUGGCAAUGAAGAUCCAAAAGCAACAACACUUUCAUUCCUUGGAACAAUAAUAUAAGAUAUGAAGAUCAGGUUUGAUAAGGAGAGCCUUGUGGGGGGUAAAGAGUCUUAAUAAAAAAAAUGGUCCACUUUGGGUCUGGUCUAUGUCUUCCAUGGAUAUGAGUUGGCCCCCUCUUUUUACAAGAAAAAUACAAACAAAUAAAAAGCAGCAACACAAAAGAAUGCACAAGUUGUGUCUCGCUUUCGGCGACCCCGGCUUGACGAGCCUCGCUAUUAAUUACUAAUCGACCUAUCAUGGUCCUUUUACGAUAUGCUUUUGAGGGAAGUCUGUCUACGUUACUCAAAUUCUUGACCUAAUAAUUACUAAUUGACUAUCAUCAUCGUUAAGAUUACACGAAUCUUCGACCUCGAUGUUAAUGCAAAACUUUUAAAGGAUGUACUUAAAUCAUGUUCGAGUAAUCGCUCAACAAUAUGCCCAAGUGGGUAAUGGUGGGUGAUUAUGGUGUUUUCCUUCCACUUUAAUUCUCUAAAAUUCUUCAUUGUUUUUCUUUCUGUUCUGUCCUUUGGAAUUGCUGAGGAGAGAUGAAGCUUUCUGUGACUGUCAACACCAAACCCCCCAAUUAAUUCACUCCAUCAGGUCCCCCAUGGCCUCUCCUCCAUCUCCAUCAAUCACCACCAUAUAUAUCGUAACUCAAACCGUCACUCGAAAUACACUCAUAUCACAUAAUUAACCAGAUUCGGACUCCAAACAACUCGGUUUUUGGAAGGUCAAGAUAACAGAAUGUAAAAGCCUCACCAACCAUUAGUUGAUUUUCCCGAUUCAUUCUUCCUUGAGACAUAACUAGUUGUAUCUAAUAAGUUCGAGAAGUUAUUCAGUUAUUAAGAGGCUACAUGUCAGAUACUAAAGGAAAUACGACUCCAAAUUGAGGUUAAUUCUUUUCUUCUUAUUGAUAGUAACAUAUAUGAUACAUAGCUACAAAAAUAUACAUAUGGCAUGUGCUUGAACAAGCCAAAGAAUCAUCGGAAUAGAGAUCUUCAAUUGGCAGAAAAUUUCUCAGUUAAAAACAUGUAAAAAUCUCUUCUUUUUUUUUCCAAGUAGAGAAAAUUCCACACUCUUCACAUCUCCAUCUUCAGAUUAGAUCCUCCAACUGAACCUGCAAAAAAGUGUCUGAUUAGGUUUAAAGCUAAAGGGUCACCAAAAAAAACCAGUGACUGUUGUUAUCUGAAACCAGAAGACUGAUAGACACAUCUUAACUAACUUCAUUCACUUCUGUCUCAAAAGUGGGACAAAGCAACCUCAUAAUUCGCAAAGUCUUAAAAGAUAUCCCAAGCUUGAACAAGCCAAAGAAUCAUCGGAAUAGAGAUCUUCAAUUGGCAGAAAAUUUCUCAGUUAAAAACAUGUAAAAAUCUCUUCUUUUUUUUUCCAAGUAGAGAAAAUUCCACACUCUUCACAUCUCCAUCUUCAGAUUAGAUCCUCCAACUGAACCUGCAAAAAAGUGUCUGAUUAGGUUUAAAGCUAAAGGGUCACCAAAAAAAACCAGUGACUGUUGUUAUCUGAAACCAGAAGACUGAUAGACACAUCUUAACUAACUUCAUUCACUUCUGUCUCAAAAGUGGGACAAAGCAACCUCAUAAUUCGCAAAGUCUUAAAAGAUAUCCCAAAGACUCAUCCUUUUUACUUUACCUGGUGGAAAUGGUUGAGAUGAAAAUGCUACGUUGUAUAGGCUUGGAAGGUCAGCAUCCCAAAUUGAUGCUUGCUGCUACGAGACACAUAACAUAAAGUGAAUGUUAAUACAUAACAGCUCGAGUAAUUGGGAUGCAACAGUGCCCUUAUGUAAACACUUACAGGGAAAUCGAUGAAGGGUUCGGGUUCAGGGCUGGUAAGACUGAUUGUUCUUCUGAUCCCCAAAUCGGUAGCAGAAGCAGUAGUAGUAGUAGCAGUAGUAGCAGAGUUGAUCAUCCCGAUAUCGAAACCAUUGCAGCAUCCCAUUAUCUGUUGCUGGAGUGAGUUCAGCUGCAGGUAUGCUGCUGCCAUUUGAUCUGAUGAUCCCAUUCCUGCAAAGUUGCUUCCACCACCUCCCUGAAACGCCUGUUUCGCCAAUCUCAGUCAGUAAUGCCACAAACAAAGACUAAUGUCGGUUUCGAAAACUCAGGAUGUGGUGGAUGGUUUUUCCGUUCGGUACCUCUUUCGUGAACAAGCUUUCAAAGUUGAACUCUGCCCCUGGGUUCACAGCCGCUAGCUUCAUUGACAAGAACUGUUUACAAAUAGUAUAUAAGUGUCGUUGUAUAAACUAAUUAUGAACAUUUCUCUGUGUGGCAGAUCGAGUUAAGUAAUAAGUAGUGUACCUCGACUUGGCGUUGAAGGGAUUGGACAUAGUUAAUGAUCUCAUCAAGCAUCCCAGCUUUGCCAGUGAUCUUGUUACAACCUGGAACCAAAUCUUGCAGAUACUUCAUCCUUUCACUGAUCUUUUCCCUCCUUACCUAAACAAAAAUUCACAAAAAUCCAAUCUUAAUUACACUCUACUGAUUGAAAGUAACCAAUUCCACAUAUAUAUAGCUAAAAACUCACUCUUUCUGCUAAGCUGUGACUAUCAGUAGCCUGGCCACGCCGAGCUCGGACAUGAAUGUAAUCCUUCUUCUGAUCAUCAGUCACCUUCGAGUUCUCCUUGGAACUCGAUCCUGAAUUGCUAUGGCUUUGAUUCUCUUUGAUUCUCUUCCCUUCCUCCACCUAAUUCAAAACAACCAAAUUUCAAUUCAAUUUCACUCCACAAGUAAAAUUUCAAUUAAUUUGAACGAAUUUUGUUUCCUUACCUGCGAUUUCACCGAUUUCCGUUUCUUGGACGGCGGCGACGGCGGUGGAGGAGUGCCGGAAGCGCUGAAAUCGGGCCAGCCGUUGUCGUCGAUGACAAGACCCGGGUCGGGUUUCAGCUCCGACCGCAUCAAGCCGUUGUUGUAGACGCAGCUUAUCAAAUCGUCGCCGCCAAAGAAGCCCUGAUCCAUCUCGGCGUUAUGUGCUCUAUUCAUCGGAGAAUAACAGGGUUUGAUCAAAGAAGGAAUCUUUUUUACUGGUUUUUAUUUUUUGUGGGUUUUGGUGAGGGGAGAAUAUGGAUGGACAUGAAGUUGGGUGGGUUAUAUGUAAAGGUGGAAAUGGUGGUGAGGGUGAAGAGAUUGGGCGUCCAUAACCGGAGCCGGGUCGGGGGUGUGGGGCCCAGAUGACAUGACGGCCACGUGGGAUUGUCCCCGGAGGUUUGCGAGGGGGAAAGAAAUAACGGCGUUUGGGUAAUAGAGGGAUAGUGAUGGCGGNNNNNNNNNNNNNNNNNNNNNNNNNNNNNNNNNNNNNNNNNNNNNNNCAUCUCACCGAACCACAGCCGUUCUUAACGGGUUUUUUAAAGAAGAUGAUGUGGGAUUAGCGACGUUGAUAAGCGCGGGAAUGAGGUUUGAGUAGAAUUUGAAUAUUAUUUAUUGGUUAUAAUAGGGUGGUUUACUUGUCUUGGGAUUUUCUUCGUUCUUUGAUGGAGGUAAUAAGAAAGUUGAGUGGAUUUUUUAGAGAAGAAAUGUGUCCAUUUAGUAAAUUUUAAUAGAAAUUUUAUCAUCAUAUUAAUAAUUUUAAUAAUUUAUUUAUUUAACAAUUCUUAAACACCUUAAUUCAAUAAUUCAUCAAGUCGCUUUUUUAUUUUAUUUGCUAAAUAUUAAACAUUUCUUCAAUAAACAUCUAUUUAGACUCUAGUAAAAAAUUAUUAUUAUGUAUUUCUUAGUUCGUGUGGCGAUCAAUGUCAUAUUUAUUUAAAUUUCUAAUAUUAUACAGUUUUAUUUGCUAUCUUGAUUCUUUAAGCCCAAAGCUAUUUAAGAAAAAAAAUAAAAAAGUUAAUUUAUACGAUGUUCAUGGGCAUGGACGUGAAGGAAAGAAUGAUAUUUUUUUUGUUCAUCGAUUAGUAGUGCUUAUUGCAUCACAUUCAUUGUCAUUCUCAAUAACCGGAAGCUUUCAUGGCCAUAGAACUGCUAUAUUGGUCUAGAAUUGAUAUUCAAUCUCAACGAAGACGUAUCAAGAUGAAGUUUGUUUUUACUUUUUACCUCGAAAAAUUGAAACAAGAUUACUAAUUAGUUGGCAAUGGCAACGAGAGCACACAUAAUUCAUCUUAACUGGUUGUUGGUUCUAGCCUAUAAUAAUAAAUGAAGUUUAAUGUUUAACAAAAAAAAAGUAAAAUAUUUAUCAUUAUUCAUGAAAUCUAUGCAUUGGGCUCUCCCGUAAAAUUCCGUUUAGUAAAAUUAUGGGUUUGCUGGUUUGUUUAUUAUUAAACUCUUGGCGUGGUGACGGGAACUCAGUGGGGGCGGGCCCAUGUCACGUCUGGCAUCCACAUCCACGCCUCCACGUGUUGGUCACGUCAGUUCGAUCUCAGUGAUAUAGCACGUAUGCUUUACGUGCAUAAUUGAAUAUCAUAUUAUUAAGUAUGAGAUUUAUAAUUUUUUGGGCACGUUGCAACAUAUACUCACGGGAGUUUUGACUCUUAAUUAAAUAAUUUUGCUGGAAGCAAAGUGUAAUGAAUAAUUAAUAAUCGAGCGACAUAGAAAUUAAUUGUACUAAUUAUAAUUAAGAAAGUGAUUGACGCGUUAAUUAAUCAUGGGAUAUAAUCAAAUCUGUCAACCAUCAUAAUCCUAGGUUGACAAAAACAACGUAGGAUAUUAGGAAUCUUUUCUGGAAUUUUCUAAUUAAAGAAUUAAUUAAAAAAGGGCUAAUCAUGGGUUGCACCACAAAAUCUAACGAAACAAAUCAUUUUAGCUCGUUGUUCAAAGUCCUAUUAUUUUCAGUUAAUCAAUCAUUAUCAUCCACACAACAGAAAAUGUGAGUGAUUACUGAUUAGCUAAGCUGAAAACAACAAUAUUAAUCAUUGAUUUUCCUACAAAUAGGAACGAAACAAAAUGGACCAUAAUUAAUUCCCAUGUUGACAAAAUUAAAUUGGGCUUUUCUCAUUAAAUCAAAAAAUAAUUUGGCCAAGGAAAUAUCUUUCGUUAUAUGAAAAAAAAUCAACUAUAUAACAAAAAAUAAAUUAUUAGCGGAACAUAAANNNNNNNNNNNNNNNNNNNNNNNNNNNNNNNNNNNNNNNNNNNNNNNNNNNNNNNNNNNNNNNNNNNNNNNNNNNNNNNNNNNNNNNNNNNNNNNNNNNNNNNNNNNNNNNNNNNNNNNNNNNNNNNNNNNNNNNNNNNNNNNNNNNNNNNNNNNNNNNNNNNNNNAAUAAUCGGUGAAAGAAAAUAACAAAUUAAUAAUUUUUAUAGAAAAUAAAAUCAUAAAAUAUAUAAAAAAUUAUUGAUUUCACAACAUUUUAAGAUUUAAAUCAAGAUUUUGACAUCCACUAAAUACCAAUUUUAAGUAGAAUUAAAAUCAUUAAACAUCACUAAAAUCAUAAAACCGUAAAAUUUUAAGAUUUAAACACUAUUCUAGUCAAAUAUAAGCAAAUAAAUUGUUUCCCAAUAAUCACAAAAACACACACACACAAUAUAAUGGGCUUCCUUCCUUCCUUCUAAUUUCUUUCUCUUCUCUUCUUCUUCUUCUUCUUCUUCAUCAAUCAUCUUCCCACUGCACCACUUCUGUCAGAGUUUGUCAGACUCAAUUCUCACCAUCUUUAUUUUAUACAAUUUUUUUGUCAUUUUAUUGGGGGGGUUUUGUCAUUUUAAUUUCUUGGAUAUGGAGCCAUGAAAUUAUUGAGAUCAUGAGAGGAUGUCAAUGUCAUGCUCCAAAUGCAUGGGCAUGCACUACACAUUCAUACGUAAGUUGCCAUCCGUGUAACAACAACAUUACUUACUUACUUAGUUCCCAACUUCCAACACACACAUACCUCAUAUCUACUUUAAAGACAUCCAUGCUUCUUUCUCAAAAAUUGAAGUUUUACAUAGCGGAUGGUCUCAUGAUUAACGGUACUUUAAAGUCGUCCUACUUAAAAAGUAUAGUCAACUCUAACUGUAUUCACAUAAGAACCCCACAUCCAAUCCCAAACAUUAAAUUCAAAAACAAAUUUAGGGUUCUUCCGAGUCCGACUAAGUACAUAUUUUUCAAAUUUGACUCAAUGCUAUAUUAGUACUUACUCAGCUUAAUCAUCGGUAUAAUAUAUAGUAAUAUUUAGUCAUAAAUAAUUUGAAUCAUACAAAAAUUAUCGUGACACAUUUCAAUUUCCAUUUGGUUUGAGUAUUGCUAACUCUUCUAGGAACAAAUAUCAUGUCCAUCACAAAUGUAUUACAUAUUUAAAGCAAGUAAUAUAUAUAUGAAAACUUUUAAAUGGAGUUCUUUGUCAUAUUUUAUAAUAGGAAUCUCGAGUUUAAAAUUAUAAUAAAUUAAAAAAAAACACACGUAUAUACGAUUAACAGGGUCAAUUUGGUCCCUAGCUAGCUAGAAGGUUUUGGAACCCACUUGACCCAUCGUAGCUCUCUCAGUGCUUGUGUACAAAAUAACACGACGCACUAAACCAAACUAAACGAUACUUAAAAAAUACAAUUAACAGAACUAAUUACUUAUUCUAAAGUAUAUAGUUUUUAGACCCGUCCAUGAAACCCACCUUACGCAAUGACCUGAGAUUGCCCACCCCAAUUCCGCCAUCGAAUUAAGCAUUGCGUCAUCAACUAGACAACGUAACCAACUAAGCAACAUAACAAAACGUGACAUAAUAAUAUGAAUUUGAUGAUGAUGAUCCAUGGAAACAGCCUUCUCGAGUCUUUUUUUUUUCUGUGGGUAUGAACCGGUGUGCGUUAAUCUUUGAAGAACGAGAUGACGCAAUUAAUUUAAAUUCCUUUUUUUUUAAAAAAAGUAAUUAAUUAUUUAACCAUAUAUUCAUAAAAAUAAUGAUUCGAAUAUCGUGUCACACUUGUAAUACAUUAUGCAUAUGGAGAAUAUGCAUAAAUCCUAACUCCAGACUUUGUACGUACAUACAUGUAUAAAUUUCCCCUUCAAAGAUUGCAGCUUUCUACGUACGUAUACGCAUAAAUACAUGUCGUAUAUAUGUACGUAUACAAAACGUAGAGGUGUGACCGUAUUAUCCUGCUGAAUAUACUGUCCUCGAUCGGGAUCAAUCCAGAUGUACAAACCGAUGCAUGCAAAAAUAUAUUUAAUUUGUAUAAUUUGUUGGGUGUUAUUGUGUAUUCUCUUUCAAGAUAUUAUCUCGAAUGGUAUUCUCGAUCGUCACUACUAAUUUUUCUCCGAGGCGUCCUACGGAAUCUAUCUAAAGCAAAAACAUUCAACAUGGUUUCAAAAGAAGGCAGAAUAUCCAUAUAUAAUUAAUUUCAUAUACCUUAAUUAUUUGACCAUAUAUUAUAAACAUUUAAUAUAAUUGGAAUUAUUUUUCAAAUAAUUCCUACCUCAAAAUCUUGCUGAAGUUGAUGGAAUUGUACUUAUCAUCAAUUUGUUAAUAAUAAAUGAAUAAAAAUAAAAAUAUCAAGUUGAUUUGAUCUUAUCGGUUUUGCCAGCCCAAGGUUGAACAGUGUUAGUGGGCCUCCACCACCGAGGAAAAGCAUUGGGCCGAAAACUGACCAACUGGACUGCACUUCAUAUUCAGACAACCAGUUUUAAUUAAUAGUGCUGUCAUAUUGUUCCUCUCUUGACAGACAUUUCUUUAUUUAAUAUUUUAUAAGUAAGCAAAUUCCUAUGCCUAUUGAAUUUUUAAUUGUAUCUGAAAAAUAAAAUUUAAUAAAUAAUAAUAACUUGUAACUUUUUUAAUUUUUAUUAUAUUUACUGUUUACUGUUUAGUCGGCAAUAUAAUAUAUAUGUUGAGAUAUGUUUGCUUUGGUAAAUUCACGGCCGGAAUUUGUAGGAGUAUGUGUUCAAUCUGUCCAUUACCAAAUUUCAGAUUCCAUUGUUUGGAAUCUUUGGAUAGUGCAGUUUUCAAACGAUUGGGUUAUGCGGGUAGAAUAUAGGCCGCGUCAAACGGGUUACAAACAUUAAUGUUAAAUGUGAUUAUAAGUUUUUUGGGUUCCGUAUAUUAUACCGGAUUGCGAUAAAAGUAGCUCAAGAAUCACUCAAGAUCGGUCCUUAAUUAGCACUCAAUAAUUUAAGUUGUUGGAAGAUGAGGAUAUAAAAUUAAGUUCAAACAGUCCAGUCUGACCAAUAUAACUGGAAACUCUAUGCAGUCUAGACUUGACAUUAUAUAAUAUUGUUUGUUCAAUAGAUGACAAGAUGGAAUCAAUGGGAAAAGAAGAUCAUUGGUGGGUGUGGGACUGGUGAACUUAUAAGCUACAGAGAGGGUGCAUGCAUGGGAAAACUGUACAAGUAUUAGUAAUAUAAUGGUCAAAAGGACAAGAAGACCAAAUACACGGGAGUUGCCGGCCUGCACCAUCAAACACAUCGAUCUCCAUUAUAUUAUAUAUAACAAACAAUGUUAUAACAAAGGACAAAACACUUCUGCCCCAACUAAAUACGCUACACACUUAUCCAGCUACACCCAUCGAGCUAACUAACAAGUUUUAAUCGAGUCAACUCUCAAGUCCUAGUCGAGUUGGUAACAAACCUCAAAACUCAAACAAACUGGCUCGCGAGCCAAACUCAUCGAAUUCAGGAGCCAGCCGAGCUGAAUCAGAAUUGGGUUGAGCUCGUUUAAAAUCAGAAUCAAGCUUCAAUAAAUUUUUUUCCUCGAAACGAACAUCGAAGUGUUCGUGAGCAGUCUCAUUCAUCAACAACCCUAUGCAUAUUGUGACGAUAUGGAAGUAAAGGACAAGAUAGCAUGUUUGUAGAACAGCCAACCAAAAACUGUGGGCUUGUUCAUCAGGUGUUGUUAAUGGAUCUUCAGUUCCUUAAAUGAAAAAGGACAACUCUAGUCUCUAGCUUUGCUGUUGAGUUAAAUGCUCAUGUUCCCUAGCUAGCUGCUGCUUGUAGGCCAUCAAGUUUUUGCAUAUUAUGUGGUGGUGGUGGGUCGUUGGAACAAUAAUCUUAAACAAAGAUGUGCUGGAUCUAUGAUAGAAACAGAAGGCUAUCUAUUCUUCUAAAUGACUGGAAUUUCAGGGUUGUUUGAAUAGGUGAUUUCGUUGUGCUAUUUGAAGGGAUUUGGAAUCAAAAUGACAUUCCGAUGACAUCUAAAUCGGAAAUCUAUUCAUGGGUGAUUUUGUUUGACGAGUUUGAGAUUUUGGACACUAUGUAUGGAAUUAUUCCGGCGAGGUAUAUACCAGAUAGAAGCCAUAGGCAUGGUGGAGAGAGCAUAACGACAUUCCGUGAAUACUUGCGCGACGCAGAAUGUUAGACUGGAGUAGACGGGCAGCUUCCGCAAAAUCAGUGCAUAUGGUGAUUAGAUGUAGGCGUGGUAUCCGCCUAAAAUCGCUUGCUGGAUUGCCAACUGCCAAGGUUAGUGGAUCUAUGGUGUGGCUAAUGACUUAACCUGUGGCAGAUACAACCGAGCUAAGAUUGUCGAUUAUUACCAAUCCGAUUCUGCCAAAACACCAAGAGCCAACGAUUGGCCAGCACACUGCCGCAUCGACGAAGAAAAUACAAGACACGUAUGCUUCGGUGUACCUGAUAUAUUUGUUCGAAACCGUCUCAGAACUCGUGUCUCCUUGAGCCAGAAUCGCACCCACCAAAAUGAGUUCCCAAAUGUAUUUAUUUUUCUUUUAACAACUUAAUACACACAACUUACACAGAAAAACCAUUAAUAAGAGGCAUCUCGUAGUCCAAUCGCCAAAGAAAAAGAACUCGCAAAAAUACCACAAAAUCUUUCCCUAUCUACAUUAAUGCCAUUUACUAUGAACACACACAAAACUGAUAAAAACAUAACAUUACUACAUGGACGGUUUAUAUGUUGAUGGUUGCUUCCCACAACCUCAGCACCCCGUUCCGGCCACCGCUGCAGAUCCUCUUCCGUUCGAGAUCCGAGGCCACACAUCGCACCUGCAUCGUAUAGAUUGAGAUUACUAAUCCUUCGUCUGUCUUAGUUUCGGUCUAGAGUACCCGAGUUAAAAUCGCUCUAACUAGUUGGUGUUUUAGCGGAGAAUGCAAACAACAAAGAUAUACAAUGAAGAUAGCUUGAUUAAGUUCAGUUGGAGAAACAACGGCACAAGGGUUCGUACCAUGGCGACGUUCUUUUGGGGUGUCCUGUAAAGUUGCCAACCGGGCAGUUUUGAACCCGAACCAGGAGCCAUGGCACCGAGUCGGUCUUGAGGCCGGUUGAAGAGGGACAUGGAAUUGUCAGCUGCUCCUACUCCCAGCCAGUUCUCGCCAGCGUUGAUGGACAGUAUGGAUGCUGUAUGGAUCGUAACGUUCUUCGUGCAUUUUAUGCCUCCUGCGUAGAUGAGAUUACAAAAGGCUCGUUCAGAACUAAUAUUCUCUUAUGAUUAUUUAAAUUGUGAAGUUUCAAUUUUCGGCUGAAUAUUCUGAUCAUACCUUCCUCAUUUUCCCAGAAUCGUAAUAGCCCAUCAGUUGAACCUGAGAUAUAUCACGUUCAAGGUUAAACCUUUGAAGUUUAAUUGAUUCAGCAGUGGCUAGGGAACUGGAAUUAAGAUAUUAUCAGUUUAGUAGAUGCGUCUCCAAACCUGUUAUAAUUCCUCGAUCUGCUUCGGAGUACUCCACACACAAGAUUGGCCCAGCAUGGCAGGCUAGUACGGCAUCGCACGUACCUCGCGAGACAGACCACACUCUGGCAGUCCAAUCAUCACUACCUGUUACCAAAGUAUCUCCAACCAUUCUAGCAGACCUGUACAAAUCGCAACGUAUAAGUUGAAAAUUCCUUUAAGCUUUGUCCAUGGCUUGGUAUAAUGAGACGGAUAGGAUAGGAAUACACGUGGAAUCCCAGUGUAGACAUUUUAGUUGAAGUUGCAGGGCUAUUAUUAUUAUUAUCAUAAUAUUCAGUUUUCAUUGUUAGUUAAGAAGUCGGUUAGAAGGUAAAACCUUCCACGUUGUUAGUGGGAAGGGGUUCCUAUUUCAUAGAAUCAUAGGAAACUCUAAGUCAGUAGUCUGUGUAUUUAGGGGCUGUUUUAUCUUCAAAGAAGCAUAUCGAAAUUAUUAUUCAGAAAUCACAAAGAGAGUUUUCUCAAAAGUUUUUCUUUACUUUUUCUGCGGGAUUCAGGCUGAAAUUAUUAUAAACAGAGGCAACUUACAAUUUGUAAGUUGAGGUUCGUAUCAGAGACAGGCAGGAAAAUGGUAACAGAAGAAGAUGGUCGAAACUCACCGAAUCCAUUUUGUGUGGCCUGUGAGCUUAUGCAUUUGUUUUCCGGCUCGGAUAUCCCAGACAUUUGCAAUCCUGGUAUGCAAUAGUAAAGGUAUUUCAAAUUUCAAUUAGCAUGCAAGGAACAGAUGUAAUUAAAUACAUUAGGCAAAGUAGCAGGGGAUGUGAAUUUUCGUACGCAUCUCUGCCAGCAGCAGCAAGGAUACCAGUGGAGUCGUCGUAUUCCAUGCACAUGACUGCACUAGAGCAACGGCCAACUGUUGCAACACAGGUGUCCGUUCUAACAUCCCACAUCUUCACGGUUCCAUCAUGAGCAGCGGUGAGUACCCUCUCACCUGACAGCAUCCGGACACAGCUGACCUGCAAGAAAAGAAAGGUAAGCUAUCUCAAGUAUUGAAUACCACAAAACGUUUGCCUUCUUUAAUGGUUAGGAAACCUGAGCAUCGUGGCCCUUUAAUUCUUCAAGAAGCUGUGACGUUUGUUUAUCCCACACAAUAACAUUCUGGUCAUCAGAUCCUGACACCACCUUCCCUCGAUCGGAACUUAUAGCACGAACAGUUCUGCAUAGAUAACCGAGAUGAAACAAUGAAACCAGUUUCAACUAGUACCAUAACUGAUUUUUUUAAAACAAUUGUGCAAAAAGGAGAAAACCUACUUUUUAUGCCCUUUCAAAGUUGCUCGGAGUUCGGAACCACGAAUGCUAGGAUCCCAGAUCUUAACCUGCAUCAUUAAUUGAAAAACUUAGACAGCUAUUUAUUACAAAAACUGAAAAUUUAAGCUUAUAGCUUAUGGAAAUAAGUCGGAUCACAGUAAACAUAACUUGCUCACAAUAAGUUAGAUAAGUUAGAUCCGAGCACAAGUAAUAAUGUCAAUGAAUAUACGUAAUCCUACUUGAAGAUUGAGAGAAUGGAUUAAUUCUUAUUCACAUCCCGUAGGCUCAAUAUAUAAAAUAGGCCUCCUACUGAUUAGGGAAGAAAAUAUUUACUAUCACUACCUAAUAGGAUCUGCUAGCUAAAAUAGGGUAGGACUAACACUAACAUGGUAACUAUCUAACUAGCAAAUAAAAUAAAUAAGAUCCUAAUAUAUAUAGAUAAGGACGGGAUUUCUUCACUACUUACCAAGGAGUCUGUGCUUCCACUAAUAAAGAAACCGGCAUCUUCACGGUCUCCCACCAAAUCCCAGACCUCUCUUCUUGUCACACAGUGCAAAGCAGUUACGGCACCGUUGUGGCCCCUAAGUACUCGAACAUUGGUUUGCAGCUUCUUUUGGCCACCAGCAGAAGAAUCUUUUUGCAGGGAGUAACAGUUUUGUAAUCAACAGAACGGUAAAAGCAAUAGAUGAAGUGAUAUGGAGACUAACAAGUGAUGUGUGCAAUACACAAGCAUUACUAAUUUUAUAAACAAACCUGAAGGACCAUCAGAAGUCCAUUUACGGACACGAGAAAACGAGUUUACUCUUGACGAAUCUCUACUAAACAUGCUCUGAACCCAGCUCCUUCCAACAACAGAUGCCUCGGCAGGUUGUUGGUUUUCAUCAGUGCCAUCUUUAGGGCGAGGAGAAGUCAAUCCAAGAGAUGUAAUGGAUGGGGUCUUUAUCGAUGAGGCUCCCCAGUACCCAAUGCGAAGUUGCUGUAUAUGUGUUAAAAAUCCCCGAAGUUGGAUCUGAAACAUUUAAAGCAUCAGAAUCAAUUAGCAAGGAAGAGGGUAUUCUCCGGGUAAUGUUAGACAAUGGGUAUAAAUGACUAUAAACGUUCAUUUAAUUAAUCUUAACCGGAACGUCAAUAAGUUGUAUCAAAUAACUGUAUCCUUGUAUUGCUAAGAUAUUUGACAAUCAACCGCAACUUUGACAGUACUUGACUAGUGAAGGUUUACUUACAAGCUGCUUGUAUCCAAUGCUAUUCUUCUCUGAUAUCAUUUCGAUCAUAUACCAAGCAUCGGUAUCAGGAAUUCCUAGACCAGCCUUUCCAACAUAACACAAAGACGAAACAAAUAAAAAAUAUAGACAUUUGAAGGAAGUUAAGCCACAAAAUGAAAUAUGGAGAAGAAUUUAAACCAUGUGUGAAGAGACUAGGAUUAGCUGUGUUGUCACUUGAGCAGCAUAAUUGGCCGACCUGAGGAAGAGAUAAAUGACCGUCACUAAUUAGUAUAUCUUUGGAGACUAAAAUGUCAUGAGCAUGAAUACUCGAGAGCAGGGAUACCAUUCUUAAAUGGAUGCAUGCAUAUUGCUUUGUCAGAUGACAAACGAAAGAACAAGGUAAAUACAUGCACAUUAUGCUCAAAAUUGAUACAACAACAUCCAUGAACAACGUUCCAUUAGAUAGUCAAAGUAUCCUUCCCAGAACCUGCAACAUAAUCAAAGACAUGUAAUAUAGCGAUAUGUAUGAAGCAAUACCUCAUGAGAGAAAUUAGAUAGGGAACUGGGAGGUAGUGUUUGAUUCGGAAAUUCUAGAAUACAACUUUAGUUGAUAAUCACAUAUGACAUUAACCAAAGCCUCUGCACGGUACUGAGUAAGAGAAAAUGAGGAUAUCGAUACCAAAUCCGUAUGGAUCAAUUUGUAAAACGUACCGUAGUUCUUCCCAUAUAGACAAAGAGAUAAGAUGGCGUUGCACAAAGUCUGGUACACUGUUGCUGUCUUUCUUAUACAUCUCAGCAGAUACCUCCAGUGCAUCUCUAAUGGUUGAGAGAUCAUUCCGUGAUGUUGCCCGACCAAUUGCUGUUUUAAGCUAAAGAUUGAAGAAACACUUCUUUUAUCAGUCAAGAAGACUGCUAAUUUAUAAACAAAUCUAAACAUAACCCAAUACUCUUCCAGUUGACUCUAUAGAAAAUAUGCCUCCUUCGGUCCUUCCUCAAACAGAUGGAGGGAGGAUUUGCAUUGAUUUACACAUAAACAGCCAGAUAUUCUCCAACUAAUAAGUAAUCUACAAACACAUAGUCGUUAACUAUAUCACAGAAGUGCAAAGGAGGCCAAAGGCCACAUAAGAAAUAGAUAACUAUACAUGUGUGUAGUUAUCUUGCAUACAAUUACAGGUUGCUUAUGUAGUCAACUUACCAAUUCUUUAACUGCAACGAAUUGCUCAUCAGUCAACUGACACUGCCAACCCUGCAAGGAUACACAUGUAAAGGUUCUGCUCCAAAACAGCAUAAAAAAUCAGCUUCAGCUUUCUCAAGUCACAUACAGAGUGUAUAUGCUCUCUUAUACAUUCGACAAAGCCGCUACCACCAAUUCCCUCUGCAUCAGACUCGAUCAGUGCUGCAAAGGAAGUGUAAACAGCCUGUUAAUCAGCAGCACUCUUUGGACAAAACAGGCUGAGAGGUUUUACACUUGCAUAUUUAUACCUAGAAUUGUCCCAUAUUCAAAUGAGGAAAGUGGAUCAUCAGUGACUCCCAAUUUCAACAGACGCAGCCAUAAGCCCUGUGCAAAAAUUUACAUUGUUCAUUAAAUAUGAGAAAUGAAAGGAUUCAUUGUAUGUAUUUCCUUUUUUUUUUGUACACACCUAAUUUACAUUAUUCUAGUUUUUGAACCCAAUAUUUAGUACCAUAAGCAACUUUUAUGCUAUUGCCAAAACUAUAUCCACCAACAAGUCAUGAUAAAAAAGUUGCAAGUAGUUGGUUAUAGAGCUAUAAGACAGUUAAUGAUAUGUUAUCAUGAGUGGACAAGGAAUCACAACAGAACAAAGAAGAUAAGUGAUUUUUGUUCACCUGCAGCUUAACUAUAAUGUCGAGGACCAUGCGGUCUCUUUCUGCCUGCAGAUAGUUCAAUUUUUUAUGAGUUCUUGAACAACAACGACCCUCUUUUCUAGAUUAGAUAUAAGUAACUUACAGCCCUCUCCAUUGGACUAAGAGCGUCCUUUCCCACUUGCACAGAUGGUGAGCUGAAAGAAAAGCAAUUACAUCAGAACGGCACAACUAGACAAAACAGUCCAACUGGACCUCCCACGAUUCCCCUCUCUCCCUUCAUCCAAAAAGAUAAGUAUACUCAUCCAAACACACAUACGCGGGAGCAGUUUUAAUAUACUCAAAAGCUCCACUUGCUGCAGCAAGAAUCUGUUUCCUCUUCUCCUCCUGCUCUUCAGAUCUUAUAUUAGUAGGAAACCUGUCAUAAAUAUAUUUUGCACCUGAUCCUGAAGAAACAAAGACAAUUUAGGCUUUAAGUUUGAUGGUCAAAAUUAGAAAUUAACUACCGACACAUCAUUAGAUGCAUUAAAAUACAGACAUGCUGAUUUAGAAUCCAAUUUUACCUGACGAUCCCCCAUUUGGAUCUGGUAUGGUCACAAAUUCAGGUUCUGCCGAAGAUGAGGGAAGAAUUGACAUGGGAUUUUGACCUCUUCCAAUGGCAUCUUGUAACUUGUCUAAGAGAUUAUUGUCACUUUCUUCGAGGCUCCCAGUUCUUCCCAGAAAAUCCAAGAAACCAUGAGUAUCCAAAAAUUGAGAUAUCUGUAAGCAGCAAUGAAAUUAGCAUCAUGAAAUGAGUGUCAUACACUUAAGCCAACUACAGUCGAACAUCCAAAAUGUAAUCCCACAAGGAAGUACCAACAUCAAACUUAACGUCACCCCUCUUUGCUCUAACUUUCCCUAACACCACCAAUUACAAGCAAUGACAUCAGCACGAGAAAAGGUCAACUACAAACCUCCAUUCAACAAUGACAACGACUCGUAAUUAUAUUCUAUUACCAUAUCAUUCAAAGUACACCAACAACUCAACUAGCAAGACUUUUAAUGAAGGUCACGUUACGAAUUCGAUAAAUGCAAGUGCAGCAAAGAAAUACAAUCCAACCAUGGCAUCUGGGGGUUGAUGUGUUGACCUAGAGCGCUUCUUCAAGAAUGCCUGAUUAUUGAAGGCCUGAGCUGCACUAUUUUCCUGAUAAAAUGAGUUAUGAGAAAACAAAUAUGAGGAGAUAACAAUGUCAUAGCUCCAAAAUUGAUUCCAGAGAACAAGAAUGAGGAAAUUUUUUCCAUACGAUGAAGUUGCGGUAGCCACCUAAGAUUGACGCAAAAAACCUGAGGAAUAUUAACCUGUAGAUGCACAAAAAUUUCAUUAAUAUUCAAACCAAUACAUGAUUAGCAUUUUUGGAAAUAAUUUAUGCUACUCAAGAAACCAUAGAGCAGCAACUAUAUUCAGACAGAAAAGACCGAUCCAGAAAAGGAGAUAAAAAGAAAGGAGAAAGAAAAUAAGCAUUAAACAGAUGGGACUCGGUAAUGAUAAAAGAAACUGGUCAGUCUAAUCGUAUAGAUGUGCAUUUCAUAUUCAAUAAAAUUCUCACUUCACGCAGAACUUCAGCUGACACAGAUAACAAGACUACAUUCUAGAGUAUGAAGAAACAAAAAGAAUGACAGAAGGAGAGAAACAGA
RNAcentral lists this long non-coding RNA (92232 nucleotides) under Linum usitatissimum (flax). RNAcentral's name for it is "long non-coding RNA (LUSI_LNC002837)". The stretch from base 72162 to 72244 matches the Rfam family "Small nucleolar RNA U30". The record is from RNAcentral. Lineage: Eukaryota; Viridiplantae; Streptophyta; Magnoliopsida; Malpighiales; Linaceae.